AGUAUAAGUCACCACCACCUCCUUCCCCAAUUUACAAGUCACCAUCACCACCUUCUCCAGUAUACAAAUUACCUCCACCACCUCCUCCAGUUUACAAAUCUCCACCACCAUCAAUUUAUAAAUACAAGUCUCCUCCACUACCUCCUCCAGUGUACAAGUCAUCACCACCACCUGCUUACAAGUCUCCACCUCUUCCAGUUUACAGUUCCCCACCACCACCAAUCUACAAGUCUCCACCUCCACCCUACCAUUACUACUACAAUUCUCCUCCUCCUCCUCCUCGUCACUACUAAGCAAUUGUAUGCAAGUUUUUGAGGUAAUAACGCUUAACCAAUAAACUAACUUUCGCAUGAUAAAACUUAUCUCUAUCAAGACAAACUGCCAUGUGUAUCAUGCCAAAUACGUACACCUAGAUCCAUGAAAAUGAAUGGUAGAAAAUUUUCUUAAGAACUAAGGAACAGCAUUAGUAUUCCCUCUGCUUCCAAAAACUUGUGUAUUAAAUAGAUUAAUGAAUUGUUUAACAUGCUCAUUUACUUGAAAAUACACAAUACCCAUAACCUACUGAAUUUUUUGCAGGAAAAGGGAAAGACAAUCUGUGUUUGAGAGCUUCAUGAAGAUGUUGAAGAAUAAGAAUAAAAGCCCAAUGCGAGGAUGUUUCAAGUUUUUCUAUGUUUCCACUUUAAUUUGUAAAUUGAAUUUUGUGACUCAAUUAAUUCCCUGUUUGUGGGGUACGUGUUGUUUUACGUACCAUGCCGUACAGGUUUGUAAGGAUUUCUAUCCUAUUGGCAAAAGUCGGUUCCAUACAAUUAAUCAAUUCAUUUCACUUCUAUUGGCUCUACUAUUUAUGCAUGUUACGACAUUUUUUCUCUCUUUCCCUUAUAUUUUGCCUUUAAUAUUAUUGAAUCAAUAUUAAUAAUGGGCCUUUUUCUUAAAAUUAUACUAUUAUACAUAGGUUGUUUGGUCUAACGCUAAAUUCAUGUUUGUCUUUCUUUUAUUCCCUUUACAUCUCAAAGUAUACUAUAGUUUGUAAUCAUUGUGGUGAUGAUAUUGCCAGCUGGUACUUAUAGUUUAAGGCAGAGACAUGAUAUUAACAACUAUCUCAUUGAAACAUAAAGAAAAAUCAUGACAAGUGUGAGUCUUGGUUAAUGCACAAUUUGUUAGUGGAAUUUAUAUUUAUAAAACUCAAAAAAAAAUUUUGACAAUGCUAUUACUAAUUAAUUAAGGACUUUAUUGCUAUAAUUUAUCGCUUACUAGUUUAAACUAUAAAUGAUCUCAAUACUUUUCUCCAUGAUGUCGAUUUCUUUAGAUUACGAAAGGGAAAAAUUAGUGACAUAUCCCUUACUGAUUACAACAUCAGCAAAAAUUAGUUAUAAAUUUUUCCGGUGGUUUUAAAUCCCUCGGGCACUAAGAUUUUUUGCACAUCGAGUGAAUUGAGGAACAUAGGCAAUUCGUUCUGCAUACCAAGUCCUUGUUUAAGAUGCAAGUACUAAAAUGCAUCCACUUCAUUAAUUUGGGAAAUUGCCAUAGUUUUUUUUAAGCAUUUUGAUUUUUUACAUGAUUCAAAAUUUUCUUAUUGGAUACAAUCACUUUGUAUCAAGAACAUUUUCAAUCAUCCUUUUUAUCUUCUCAAUAAGAAAAUAAAAAUUUAUUCAUGCUUUUCUAACAUAUCCAAUCAUUGAUCUGAAAAAUAAAGAAUUUAAAAAAAAAGACAUUUUCAAUCAUUGCUUACAGGGCAACUUCCCCAUGUGAACCUCUUCAAACAAAGCCAAUAAUAUGAAGGAACAUCUAAAUACACUUUUGCCCUAAAGGCUGGUUGCCUUGGGGUCAAAAUUUAACCUUCGGGAGUAUAAUUACCCUGCCAAAUUUAUUAUUUUUUAUGGGUAUAUAGUUCCAAUUUUUCCUCCUGUUAAGCUUAUAAAUAUAUUAUCACCCAGAAAAUAAAGGAAUCUUGAAUACUAACAUGUCCAUUUACUUGAGUUGUCAUCAAUUUGGCUACUUCGAUUCCAUGAGGGCAAUCCAAUUCACACUUGCUAGAGAAAAUGGUGAUAAAGGCACAAAGAAAAUUAUAUGUAAUAUUGAUUGGUAGUAACCACCUUGUAUUGAUCCCACUAUUGUGGAUACUCGUGCUCUUAUGAAAAAAAAUUAUAAAAAAUUAGCAAAAUUUAAAAGAACAAAGUAAAUUUAUUCGUACAAAUCAGUCAAAGAAGUAGCAUUUUAAAGACCAUGAUGAAAUUAAUACUUUCAAGGUCUCUAUUAGGAAGACUUCCUUUGUUGGUGAAACUACACUAGGUACGGUUACAUGCAGAUGUUUACUGUUUUGGUACCUAAUUUCCUUGCCUUGAGUUGGGUGCAGAUGUUUAUAUUACAAAUAGAUGGUAUCAUAAAUUUGUUGUAUUAACGUCUGUUCUUUUUUUUCUUCCUUAAGUUUUUUUCUUUAUUCUCGUGACUUCAAAAAUACGAACUCAAGAAAUUAACUGCUUCGACAUUAAGGUAUAACUUCACAACUAGAGCCAAUAGAAAUCGUCAAAUGAUUUUUUGACAUCCAAAUUAAGCAAUAAAUUUUGUUUUCAUUUCACGGGAGAUUUUAUAGUUUCUUUUGGGUAUCAUACCUACAAGUGAUAAUUGUCAUUGGAUAGUGAAAGAAGUGUUAAUGAUUGUAAGAUUAAAUAUUGAAAAUUUAAACUAUUUAUCUUUAUUGAGAGAUACAACUUAAAGAAUCGUAUCCAAAAGAGACUAUAGAAUUUUCUCUGUUUUUCAUCAUCUGUAGACAUAAACUUUCUACGGUUGAUGUACUAUAAGGAAAUUUUGCCUAUACAAUGUGAUACCAUUUUUUCAAAAAGACAAGAUGGCAAAUUGCCCCCUUGAACGGAAAAAAUCAUGAUCUUUCCUCAAACUAGUCUACUUGUCAAUUCUUUGAAAAAGAAUACACUGCCCCGCAGAAUUCUAGAAAGUUAGGCAAAACUAGACAAGUUGACAGCUAUAAUCAUACCCAAGAUCAGGAACAAGCAGUUACACAUUUCAAAAUUCGCUGCUGCAACAACUAAUUUGAUGACUUACAACACUAAAUGGUCAAACUUUGAAUGGCAAUGAAUCUUUUGUUGUACAUCAUGAUGUAAUUUUCAUGUUACAUAAUAGAUUGAUAUCUAUGUUCUUUAAAUUAUCAUAAUAAUUAAAUUUAACUGAUAAAAAGAACACAUAUCAAUACACAAAAGUGUGUAACGUGAAUGUUAUAUUAGUGUAUUGCAGAAGACCUAUAGUCUCUUCACAUCUCUUCCUGCAUCUUUUAUGUUUUAUUACCUCCAAAAGCCUUUACAGGGUCUUUACCCUAAAAAUCAAUUCACCGACUCGCAUUUGAUGUCAGAAAUUCUUAAGACGAAUUCUACUUUACUCAAAGAUUGACUGUUAAUAAUGAGACAACGACCAUUUUGUAUUAUUACACCGUCCUUCUUGAUAGGCAAAAGAAAUAGAGAGGAAAGCGGGUCCGUAUAUGGUCUUUUAUUCAUAGAUAAUACAACAUUACGCCAUCGAGCAUUCACACAAUAUUUCAAAGUCAUUGCAUGCCUAAAGCCCCGCUUGAUAAUCCAAUUUCAUACUUAAAUUUAAUGGAUUCAAAUUUUAACACAUUCAAAUUGUUUGAUAACAAAAAAUUGAACGUCUAAAUUAAUUAAGUAACACUAAAUUUUUUAGACAAAACUUGCUCCCAAAAUUAAGUGAUAAGCUAUAUCACUUAUCACUGAAUGUGAUAUGCAUUCAAAUGUAUUAUAUUUAAUACUUAAUAAUUUAAUAAUUUAAUGGAUUCAAAAUUCAGAUUUUAGAUUUCAGUUUUAUCAAACAUACCCUAAGUUGCAAAAUAAUACCAAAACUUGUUAUUAUAUAGCUUGAGAUUCAAAAAUUUAGAGCAUAAUUCUCAACCUAACACAAUUGAAUAAUGAAUAUUCACGAUUGUCAAAUCUAUCAAAGUACAAUUUGAGGACAACCCAUUCCAACGCGUACACAAUUUCUCACUUUUCUAAAGUUGUUGAGAGCUGUUAAAAGAGAUUUACCAUGUUUACAUCUUCCAAGUCUUGGGAGUAAAAAAUGAAGCCACCGAGUGCUAUAAAAAGGGGGCUAGAGGCUGCCUAGAAGCAUAUCAGCCUAAAACAAGAAUUUGUAGUAACAAUGGGGAGCAAAGCAAAAGCAACGGGGUCUAGGCUGACUCCUCUUCUUACCACUGUUUUAGUGGUAUUUGUCGCCCUUGGCUUGCCCUUGGAAACUGCAGCUGAUUAUUACAAGUAUUCAUCUCCUCCUCCUCCUCCUUACCACUAUUCUUCACCACCACCUCCAGUGUAUUCACCUCCACCAACCCCUGCUUAUAAGUUACCCCCACCAUCUCCUCCAGUUUACAAGUCCUCACCACCACCUUACCACUACUCACCACCUCCGGUGUAUUUACCUCCACCAUCUCCAGUUUACAAGUCACCACCACUACCCCCUCCGGUAUACAACUCCCCGCCUCCACCAGUGUACAAAUACAAGUCCCCACCACCACCUCCUCCAGUUUACAAAUCUCCACCGCCACCAGUUUACAAAUACAAGUCACUCCCACCACCUCCUCCGGUAUACAAGUCUCCUCCGCCACCUGUUUACGAGUACAAGUCUCCUCCACCACCUCCUCCAGUGUACAAGUCCCCACCACCUCCAGUUUACAAGUACAACUCACCUCCACCUCCUCCCCCAGUUUACCUGUCUCCACCUCCACCCUAUCAUCACUACUACGGUUCUCCUUCUCCUCACCACUACUAAGCAAGUGCAUAAGUUUUGAGGUAAUAAUACCUAUCCAAAACUUUAUCAACACAAACUGCCAUGUAUAUCAUGCUAAGGACGUACACUUGAUCCAUGAAAAUGACUAGUAGAAGAUUUUUUUUAAGAACCAAAGAAAUACAUUAUUUUUUCGGUCUGUUUUCAAGAAUUUGAGCAGUAUACAGAUUAAAGAGUGUUUUUUUUUUUGUAAACUUGCUUGUCAACUUAAAAAUGCACAUAGCUGAAAGCCAACUGAAUAUUUGCAGGCAAAGGAGAAGGCAAUCGGUGUUUGAGACCUUCAAGAAGAUGUAGAAGAAUAAGAAUAAAAGCCCAAUGCGAGGAUGAUUCCAAGUUUCUACGUUACCAUUUCUACAUCUAAAUUGACUUUAGCUCCUGAGUUCCAUGUUUAUGGGGUUUGUACCGUUUUACGUACCAUGCAGUACAUGCUUGCAAGGUUUUCUGUCCUGUUGGCAAACUGCAGGUCCAUAUAAUAAAUGAAUACUAUUUACAUUACGACACUUUUCUCUUUUUCUCUUAUAUUUUGUCUUUAAUAUUGUUGAUCAUUUUUUUUUUAUCAAAAGCAUCAAAUGCUUAGGUAAUUUGGUCUAAUGCUAAUUGUUUUACUUUUAUUUUUCACCUACACCCCUUUUCAACUCAAAGGAUGCUAUAGUUUGUGAUAAUUGUUUAAGACCGAAGCAUGAUACUAAUAAAUAUCUCAUUGAAAGUCAAGGAAACUAACAUUAGGAAAAGUUUAAAUCUUGAUUUGAUGAAACUAUUUAUUCGUGGAAUUUAGAGAUACAAAACUCAAAUUGUGACGGUGUUGUUGCUAAAUUAUUAAGGACAUUAUCACCAUUAUUUUUCCCUGAUCACUAGUUUCAACUGCAAUGAUCUCAAUCUUUUUGUGACUAAUUCUUUCCUUAAUAAUUUAUAAAGACAAAACUCACAAAGAAUAUGUGACUAAUUCUUUCCUUUCGUCUUCUAAAGAAAAUGCCAACUGUUAGUUUAUCAAGGGGAAAAAGGAUCGACAUCAGUUAUUAUUGAAACUAGUAAGGAAUAAAUAAUGGUGAUAAUGUCCUUAAUAAUUUAACAACAGCACCAUCAGAAUUUGACUUUGAGCUUCGGUCUUAAACAAUGAUCACAAACUACAGCAUCCUUUGAGUUGAAAAAGGAAGUAGGUGAAAAGAAAAGUAAAAAAUACAAUUAGCAUUCCCUCAAAUUGUAGAAAGUUAGGUAGCAUUAUAGACAAGUUGAUAGCGGCAAUUUUACAUUUCAAACUUCACCUAUUCAAUAACUAAUUCGAUGGCUUGCUACAUGGUCAAUCUUUGGACCCCUUCCUGCCUCCAGAUAUCCCUUUCCUCAAUCAGGGGCUUCUACAAUUACCAGUUUCAAUUGUAUGGUAUAGUGUAAAUAUCAACAAAUUAGAUGUAGAUGCUAACAUAAUAAAUGUGAAUGCUAAGACAGCAACAUACAAUCGAACCUGCAAUUGUAUGAACCCCAAUCUCGCUUCCUAGUCCACCAUCUUUCUCUAGGUAAUAAUCUCCCUUCUAAUUUAUUCACAAAAUGCACCUUUCAUCACCUCCAAUAGCGUCGACAUGAUCUUUACCCUAGAAGACUAUUCACCGACUCUCAAUUGACGUCAGAAAAUCUAAGAGUAAUUCUACUUUACCCUAAGAUUGAUAUCAACAAGACAAGGACAAUUUAGAAUUAUUACACGCCUCUUCUUAAUAGGAAAAAGAAAUAGAGAAGAAAGUCAGGCCAGGUCUAAUUUCUUUUCAAAGGCAAUACAACAUUACGAAAUCAAGCAUUCAUUCAUACAAAUAUUUCAUAGUCACCGGUUUGCUGAGUAGAAAAAUUUAGACAAAAACUUAAUAUUAUAUUGUUUAAGAGUUAACAAUUUAGAGCUUAAUCUCCUUGUACUUUGGAGUUAACAAUUUAGAGCUUAAUCUCCUUGUACUUUGGACUAAACUUGAACGUGAAAGGAAAUCCCAAAACCAUAUUGGGCAUGAAUUCACACUUAAUAUACCCAAUAAAAGAUGGCGACUGGUGAAAGGCAGUGGAGACUGGUGGAGAGAUUUGAGGAAUAGAAGCAGACGGAAAAGCAACAAAUUUUUGCCGAAAAACGGUCACUUUCAUGGUUAAUUUUGCUACUCUCCAAUUGUACUUGACCAAUUACAACAAUUUCAUGGAGUUUGAUACGUGAAAAGAAUUUUUUAUAAAUUUUAUUUUGAUCCAUAAUGUUAUCUUUACAUAUAUAAAACAUUUUACAAUUUUGAUUUUGGCGCAGCUAACUUUUGGUUAACAAAAAUGCUCAUGUUUAAAAAACCAGAAAUAAAACAAAACAAGAAACAAAAGAAAUAAGAGGGUAGCAUAGACAUUUUGGAUUUUUCCGUUAAUUUGGAUGAUUUCCACCCACGUUCUAAUUUAAUCCAAAACACAAAGGAAUUACGUAGAGGUUUUAAAUAAUCAGGGAGCUUCAUGAUCGAACCCCAAACCACGUGAUAGCAUACAAGAGUUCUAUUUCACUAUCGGUAGACAAAGACUUUCUAUGGUUGAUGUACCGUAGGAAAAAAUCUGCCUAUACAACGUGAUAGCAUUUUUUCAAAAACACAAGAUGGAAAAUUGCCCCCUUAAACGUGGAAAUUCAUGAUCUUUCCUCGAACAAAGAAUACUCACGCCUAUUCAAGAUGGAAAAUUGCCCCCUUAAACGUCUAUUUGUCAAUUCUUGAAAAAAGAAUACUCACGCCUAAAACACGGCCUCUUCAUCUGCAGAAUUCUAAAAAGUUACGUAAACUCUAUAAACAAGUUGAUAGGUACAAUCGUACCCAAGAUCAAGUACAGAUAGUUGUACAUUCACUGCUGCAAUAACUAAUCUGAUGACUUACAAACAUAUCAUGGUCAAUCGUUGAAUGGUAAUGAGUCUUUUGUUAUGCAUUAGUAUUAGUGUGUACACUCUAAUAGAUUGAUACUUAUACUCUUUAAAUUAUCAUAAUAAUACCCUUAAUUAACUUUAACUCUUAAAAAGAAUACGUGUUAAUACACGAGAGUGUGUAACCUGAAUUGUUACUUAUACAUUAGUGUGUAAUAGAUAGGGAUGGCAGUGAGGGCGAGUGCCCGCGGGGGGCUCUCGGGGCGGGGGCGGGGGAGAAUUUUUUCCCCCCGUUUAGAAACGGGGCAGGGGACGGGGGAGUAUACCCCCGCCCCAUCCCCCGCCCCGCCACCCGCAAAAAAAAUUAUAUAUAUAUAAUUAUAUAUAAUAUGUAAUUUAAUUAGUUAUAAACUUAUGAUAAUGAUAUUAUUAGUUAGAUGUAUUAUAUAAUGUAUAUUAGUGUAUGUAAUAUAAUUAAUAUUAUCAAUUAUACGAAUAAUUAGACAUGUCCACUAAUAGAGUUUAUUAAUUAGUUAUACUAAAUUUACUAAUACAUUUGUACUAAAUUUCUAAUUACACUUAAUAGAAUAACACUUUUUUCUAAAAAAAAAAGCACAAACACAAUAAUGAAUUAGUGAUUGUAUUUGUACCAAAAGUGAAAACUUAACUAUUUUAGUUGUAUUUAUUUCAUCAUGUUGGAUUGUAUUCAAAUAAUUUUUGUUUGAUUGUUUUUAUGAGUUUCAAUUGUAAAAUUAAAAUGAAUAAUAACUUGAUGAUGUGUUGAUAUUUUAGUACUUGAUUAUUUAUUGAUUUAACUAUAAUAAAAUUUUAUUUUAUUAAAAUUUAACUAUAAUAAAAUUUUAUUAACCAAACGAGUUAUUAAUCCCGCGGGGGCACCCACGGGGGAAGCGGGGCGGGGCGGGGGAGUGGGAGGCGGGGGACGGGGCGGGGGUGGGGGGAGUUGUAGGUAGCGGGGCGGGGGAUGGGGGAGGGGUCCCCCGCCCCAACCCCGCCAUCCCCCGCCCCGUUGCCAUCCCUAGUAAUAGACUGGCAAGCAUUGUGGUGGUCAUUGAGAACUUACUGGAGAAAUAGUCCUAUAAGCUGUUCAAUGAGCAAUCACAACUUGCUAAUUGGAUGACUAAUAUAGCUCUAGCUGUAAUGUUUUAAUUAAAUUACAUCACUAACGUUGGGAUGACUUUUUAACCAAAAAAAAAUGCCUUAGUUCAAGCUUUUCCCUUUAUUGUGCAUUUUUUAAAGCAUUUGAUAGGCACUGCAAAUCUGUCAUUUUGGACAUUUUAUUAUUGACUAACAAUGAAAGCCGUGACGUCUACCCAUAACCAACACAAGAUUAAAUUAAUAUUAGAAAAAAUAAUUGAGUAAUUGGAAAAAAAAAAAGAGACUCAUUUUCAUUGAAACCCACCGACAAACUAAACGUGUCCAUGGCUUUUGAAUAGUGCAUUCAACGUUUAAUUGUAUAGUCCAGUUCAUUGCAGAUUACAUGGAGUAAAGAUUGUGCUCUUUCCUUUUUCACCCCUUUUGGAAUCGAUACUGUGGAGAAUUGGGUUUUUCCCUUCUUUUUUUCUUUUCUUUCCUUCUGUGCUUUGCAAAACAUAGGUAAAAAUAUGAAAUCCGAAGCAUUCUUUAAUUGGGAUUAAGUAUUGUUGUUGAAAUUAAAAAGAAAAAAGAAAGAACAACAAAAUUCCCAAUCUGGGUUGAUUGUUGAGCUCUAGAUUGGUUGCAUCGUGCUUCCAUAGAAGCUCUCUUAGUGUGAUACACUGCUUUCAAUCAGUUUAACACGGGAAAAAAAAAAAAAGAGAUGAAAAGCAAAUUUGGUGGGGAUAAUUUCAGAAACCUCCCCUGAAGAUUUUGACUAUUCUACUGGUCUCCCUUCAGAUUUUAAAAAUUACACUAAUCUUCCUUGAAGUUAAUUAUCUUGUAACAUUUAAAUUCAAUCAAUAAUUUAAAAAAUGAUAUUAUGAGAGAGAAAAUAAUGAUUUUAUCAUUGCCCCCCAUCUUACUACAUUAUUUAAUUAAUUUAAUAGCAACCCACACAUUAAAGAAAAAUAUUAAAAUUUGUUGUUUAUCAUUAAAGAUCAAAUCGCUUAUAACAUCAAAUAAUAGUAUAUUAUUUAUAUUUUUCACUCAAUAUAAUAUCCAAAUUACUCUUUUCAAUUACAUACCCAUUGUUAGACAAUCAACAACAAAUAACCAAAAAAUUUGCAACCAAAAUAUUACAAAAAAAUAAACUUUAACAUAUAAAUAUUCUUAUCAACAUAUUAAAGUUAGUUACUGAAAUUUUUAUGCUGUUAAACUUCACUCUUUUUGGUUACAGAUUUUUUUGAUUAUUUGUUAUUAAUUAUGUUUGAUGAUGGAUUUAUAAUUGAAAAGAACAAUUUGAAACUUACAUUAAGUAAAAUAUAUAGAGUGAUAUACUAUUUUUUAUAACAUAUGUGAUUCAAUCCUUCUUGAUAGGAUUGGUAAUAGAGGUAGAGGGGGGAGCCGGCUGCAUCCGGUCUACUUUUCAUAGAUAGUACAAUAUUGCGAAAUCGAUCGCAUUCACGCAAUAUUAUUUCCAAGUCAUUGCAUGGCUAAGCUGCAAAAAAAGUACGAACACAUGUUAUUAUAUAGCUUACGAUUCAAAACUUUAGAGCAUAACCCUCCACCUAACACAAUUGAAUAAUGAACAUUCACGUUUGUCAAAUCUGUCAAAGCACAGUUUGAGGACAACCCAUUCCAACCUGCAAAAGAUUUUUUACUUUUCUAAAGUUGUUGAGAGCUGUAAAAAGACUUACCAUGCUUGCAUCCUCCGAGCCUUGGGAGUUAAAAAUGAAGGCACUGAGUGCUAUAAAAAGGGGAAUAGAGGCUGCCUAGAAGCAUAUCAGCCUAAAACAAGAAUUUGUAGUUAAGAUGGGAAGCAAAGCAAAAGCAAUGGGGUCUGGGCUGACUCCUCUUCUUGCCACUGUUUUAGUGGUGUUUGUUGCUCUUGGCUUGCCCUCACAAACUGCAGCUGAUGAUCACUACAAGUAUUCAUCUCCUCCUCCUCCUUACCACUAUCCCUCACCACCACCACCAGUGCAUAUACCUCCACCUCAUCCUGUUUACAAGUACAAAUCUCCACCACACCCCCAGUACAAGUAUAAGUCACCACCACCACCUCCUCAUCCGGUAUACAGUCUCCUCCGCCACCACACACCCAGUUUACAAGUACAAGUCACCACCACCACCUCCUCAUCCGGUACCACACCCAGUUUACAAGUAUAAGUCUCCUCCGCCACCAGUUUACAAAUACAAGUCUCCUCCACCACCACCUCCAGUGUACAAAUACAAGUCUCCACCACCACCAGUUUACCACUACAAGUCUCCACCACAGUUUACAAAUACAAGUCUCCACCACCACCCCCAGUUUACAAAUACAAGUCUCCACCACCACCAGUUUACCACUACAAGUCACCACCACCUCCUCCCCCAGUUUACAAAUACAAGUCUCCACCACCUCCUCACCACUACUAAGCAAUUGCUUCUGAGGUAAUAACACUUGUUCAAUAUACCCACUUCUGCAUGAUAAAGCAUAUCUCUAUCAACACAAACUGUCAUGUCUAUCAUGCUAAGUGCCUUCACUUCAUCCACCAAAAUGACUGCUAGAAAAUUUUUUUUAUGUUACCAAAGAAAGGCAUCAUUUUUUCCCUCUGUUAUCAAGAACUUGUACAGUAUAUAGAUUAAAGAGUAUUUUUUUAACUAGCUUAUCAACUGAGAAAUGCAUAUAGCUGAUAGCCAGCUGAAUAUUUGCAGGCAAAGGAGAAGGAAACCAGUGUUUGAGACCUUCUUGAAGAUGUAGAAGCAUAAGAAUUAAAGCCCAAUGUGAAGAUGAUGAUUUCAAGUUUUUCUACGUUACCAUUUCUUUAUCUAAAUUGGUUGUAGCGCCUUAGUUCCUUUGUUUAUGGGAUUUGUAUCGUUUUACGUACCAUGCAGUACAUGUCAUGUUUGUAAGGUUUUCUAUCCUGCCGGCAAACCGCAGGUUCCAUGUAAUAAAUCAAUACUAUUUAUAUUACGACACUUUUCUCUGUUUCUCUUAUAUUUUGUCGUCUUUAAUAUUCUUAAUCAUAUUUUUAACAAAAAUAUUCAAACACUUAGGCAAUCUGGUCUAAUGCUAAUUGUAUGUUUUACUUUUCUUUUUCACCUGCUCCCCUUUUCAACUCAAAAGGAUGCAAUAGUUUGUGAUCACUGUUUAAGACGGAAGCAUGAUACUAAUGAAUAUCUCAUUGAAACUCAAGGAAACUAACAUUGCGAAAAGUGUAAAUCUUGAUUUGAUGCAACUAUUUAUUCGUGGAAUCUAUAGUUACAAAACUCAAAUUCUGACUGCGCCAUUGAUAAAUUAUUAAUGACGCUAUCAUCAUUAUUUAUCCCUAACUAGUUUCGACUACAACUGAACCCAAUAUUUUCCCCAUGAUAAAAGUUUUUGACUAUUUUACUGGCCUCUCUUCAAAUUUUAAAAAUUACACUAAUCUUCAUUGAGAUUAAUUAUCUUGUAACAUUUAAGUCCAAUUAAUAAUUAAAAAAUGAUAUUAUGAGAGAGAAAAUAAUAUAAUUUUAUCAUUGCCCCCCAUCUUGCUAUAUUAUUUAAUUAAUUUAAUAGCAACCCACACAUUAAAGAAAAAUACUAAAAUUUGCUGCUUUUCAUUAAAGAUCAAAUUGCAUAUGCCAUAAAACAUAGUAUAUCAUUCUAUAUGUUUCACUUAAUGUAAGAUCCCAAUUGUUCUUUUCAAUUACAAACCCAUUGUCAAUAACAAAUAACCAAAAAAUUUGCAACCAAAAUAUUACAAAAAAAAACUUCAACAUCAUAAAUAUUCUUACCACCUCUAGUGCAUUCACCCUCAUAAAAUAAUUCAAGACCCUACUGUCAUAAAAUGACUGAUCAACUCCCGUAAACCUAAUUUGACAACAUUUAAAUGGAGAACUUUAGCUAAAAGAAUUAUGGUCAAGCUAAAGAAAAAACCAGUUAUUUUCCAACAUAUGCAAUCAUUGAUCAGGGAAAAAAAAAAGAGCAAAAAGACAUCUUCAAUCAUUUAAUAGCUUACAGGGCAAAUUAACCCCUAAGCGAAAACUGGUUGCUCUAGAAUCAAAAUUUUACUUUAGUUACCCAGGCAACUUUUUUGUUGCUUUUUUUUUUUUUUUCCUUUAGUUUUGCCCCCUCUGUCAAGCUUAUAAAAUUAUUAAGAUAAUAAAAGUGCCUUGAAUAGUAUUAAUAUAUCCAUUGACUUGAGCUGUCGUCAGUUUGCGAUUCCAUGAGGCCUUUUCAAAGUACUCAGAAAAUGGGGAGUCAUGAAAUCCAUUUGUUCUAUUCAUUGCUAAGAUGCUUUUCUCUAUAAAGAGACUUCCUAACGAAAAUACUUUGUAGAUUUCUUUACUCCAAGUGGUGCAUGGAAAAUUAAUAUUUUCAAUUAUCAAAUAAAAUUCCCUUUUUUCGGCGUAGAUUUCAUCCAUCCAGCUGUUAACACAUUCUAUAAAUCCGAAUUGACUAAUCUUUUCGUUUCCAUUUUCCAACUUGCGAAUACGGCAUAUAGUGUCUGCUAAACACUAUAUAUUCUCUGCCAAAUAUGAAUACAUAUCACUUUUCUGAGCAAGUGCAGAGUCAUUAUCAUUUUUAUUCCCACCUAACAAAUUAGGGAUAAAAAAGUUAAUAAUCUUUACAUGCUAUCAGGUCACAAGUUAAUAAUCUUUUAAAGAACAUGUUAAAUUAAUUUAUUGGUAUGAAUAGUAGUCAAAGAAGUAUGUUAAAGUUAGUAAUCUUUAAAAUAAUAUGUUAAAAUCAUUCGUACAAAUUAGUCAGAGAAGUAGCAUAAACACCGCGAUGCAAUUAAUACUUUCAAUCUCAAGGUCUCUAUUAUGGAAAUUUGCAUCGGUCAAUAUACACUUGGCAUAAUAUAAUCUCCCAACUCAUUUCUUUACAAAUGCACCUUUAAUCACCACCAAAAGGUGUGGACAUGAUCUUUACCCUAGAAAACUAUUCACCGACAGGCAAAUUGACGUCAGAAAUACUGAGGAAUUCUAGUUUCCUUCGGGUUCAUGCCAUGUUGUAUCCUUCAACUGUAACUCGAUUUCUAAGCUGUAAUUUGUGACAUAAUAGUCCUUAAACUAUGAAACCCUUCUUACUUAAUUACAAUGGUUAAUACAAUGCCCGUGACUAGACAAGUAUGAAGCAACCAUAACAGAAAAAAAAUCCAAAAUUAGAGAAAAGAAAGAAGUUUCGCGACCACCACCAGUUUACAAGUCACCUCCACCACCUCCUCCAGUUUACAAGUCACCUCCACCACCUUACCAUUAUUCCUCACCACCACCUCCAGUGCAUUCACCCCCACCACCACCAGUUUACAAGUCUCCGCCACCACCUUACCAUUAUUCCUCACCACCACCUCCUGUGCAUGCACCUCCACCACCAAUUUACAAGUCACCUCCUCCAGUUUACAAGUCUCCACCACCACCUUACGAUUAUUCCUCACCACCACCUCCAGUGCAUUCACCCCCACCACCACCAAUUUAUAAGUCUCCCCCACCGCCUCCCCCAGUAUAUAAGUCACCACCACCACCUCCUCCAGUAUACAAAUCACCUCCACCACCUCCUCCAGUUGACAAAUCUCCACCACCACCAAUUUAUAAAUACAAGUCUCCUCCACUACCUCCUCCAGUGUACAAGUCAUCACCACCACCUGCUUACAAGUCUCCACCUCCUCCAGUUUACAGUUCCCCACCACCACCAAUCUACAAGUCUCCACCUCCACCCUACCAUUACUACUACAAUUCUCCUCCUCCUCCUCGUCACUACUAAGCAAUUGUAUCCAAGUUUUUGAGGUAAUAACGCUUAACCAAUAAAUUAACUUUCGCAUGAUAAACCUUAUCUCUAUCAAGACAAACUGCCAUGUGUAUCAUGCCAAAUACGUACACCUAGAUCCAUGAAAAUGAAUGGUGAGGAGGGCCAUUUAGGCUCGGAGCGCCCUAGGCCUAGUUCCCCACCAUUUCCUGAAGUGCCGCCUCGGGUAUUAUCCUGGAAGGCGAUCGCGGCCCAUUUACCACCUCGGCUACAAUGUCAGGUCGUAACACCGAGGUGGACAUUGAAUGACAACUACGAAAAGGGGAGAUGUGAUCUCUGACACCUGAGCAAAGGCUGCUCUGACCCGCCGCCUGAAUCUGACAGAAUGUCCCAUCACGUCUCUUCAUGGAGACCGGUCAAGUCCACCUGAUCCACUGACUAUCUCAGAUCUUUUGGGACCCGUGCAAACAUCUCCUCUCUCCUAUCAGUCCCCUAUAAAUACACGAUACUUCUACUGAAAAAGGAGAUGACCAAUUUCUGGUAAAACACACUCCACUCAUUAUUUACUUCUCUAUAUCCGAACUGACUUAAGCUUCGGAGUUAUACCGGGGGAUCCAGCCCCUUUCUUAUCCAAGCAGGUGACUUCGUCCAAGAGAGUUGCCCAAGGUAAAGAUAUUCUUCCAAUUGAGGUGACUCACUCCUGCGGGUCGAAAAUCACCUCUUCAAUUGGCGCCGUCUGUGGGAACCGCAAAGAUAUUAGAAGAUGAAGCCUGCGCGUUCUAGAAGCAGAAAAGCUCUCACUAUCGAGGCUGGGCAAAGCAAUGCAGCUCAACAAGAAAAUAUUUCUGAAGGGCAGGAGUCCCCAAGGACUCAGCCCGCAAACGAAAAAGCCAUAACCCGUAUGGCCGAGUUUGUGACCGAGAACCCCAACAUCUUUGAAGAGUUGGGAAGAUACCUGAAGAGGCAAGGCAAACAAAAGGCCGAGUCCUCUAAAAGGAUGUCAGAUGGGUCUCUUGAGGACUCAUCUGAGGAGGAGUCGGAUGGAAGGCACUUAAGCCGAAGUGCCUCAAAGCGAGCAUUUUCUAAGGCCACUUCUAAGGUAGCCUCCCUGACCAAGGCGUUUUCCCGAGGGCUCUUGGGCCGACGACCCGAGGAAGAACCUCGGCCCUUGGGAAUACCCGGGGUGGACUGCAUGAGGGCUCCACCGUUCACGGAUGAUAUAAACGAGGAAAGGCUUCCUCCCAAUUUUAAGCUCCCCGCAGUACAAUCUUACGAUGGCCGAGGUGAUCCCGAGAAUCACAUCCAUACCUUCAUCUCGGCCUUCCAAAUAUACUGCAUCCCAGACCCUGUCAUAUGUCGGGCCUUUCCAGUAUUCCUCAGAGGAACUGCUCGAAAAUGGUUCUGAGCUCUAGAACCUAGGAGCAUUUCGACCCUGGGUGAAUUAGUGGAGAAGUUUCUCCACCGAUUUGUCUCCUCCCGACCUACGACUAGGACCUCGGCUUACCUGCUCACCGUGCAGCAGAACCCGGGAGAGUCACUCCGGUCGUACGUCCGGAGGUUCCAUGAGGAAAGCGUUCAGAUACCUGACCCCAAUGAGCAGGUAACCCUCGCUGCCUUUACCCAUGGACUCGUUGCCGGGGAGUUCAAUACGGGGAUCCAUAAAAAAUACCCCCGCACACUGCAUGAAUUGUGGUUGAAGGUUGAAAAGGGCAUACAGGCCGAAGACCUCCAUCGCAUGAAGAAAGAGGUCCAAGCCACCCGUCCAAGGGCUGAGCCCAGAAAGGGAAAAGACGCUGGCCGAACUGAAGUAGGGUCGGGAAGUGGCUUCCGAAGUCCUGGCCGAGACCGCCGCAGCGUGUUCGACAGGAUAUCCAAGGGGAAGUCACCUAUUCCCGAGUCCGAGUUGACUCCUUUAAAUACUACCCGAUCUCACGUGUUGUCCGUGAUGGAACAAAACAACCUCGGCAAGGGCCCGCCGAGGAUGUUUGGAAGCAGAGACAAGAGGAACUCGAACCUCUACUGCUUGUAUCAUCGUGACAUUGGUCACGAAACUGAGGAUUGCAACGAUCUCAAGAAGGAGAUCGAGAACCUCAUUAGACGGGGACACUUGAAACAGUUCAUCCGCAGAGGUGGAGGUCACCAACGUGACGAAAACCGGCAUGACAAAUGAGGUGACCAACGCCGAGAUGAGCGGCGGAGCUCCAGAAGCAGUUGCCGACCUCCUGAGGAUCCCAGGGAGACGAAAAGGCCUCCCCCAGACGGAUCUUCGGGACAUGGGCCAACCAUUGCCCGGGUCAUUAACACCAUUGCCGGAGGUCCGACGGGAGGGGACAGUCAGAACUCCCGGAAGAGAACCUAUAAGCAGGCUAACCCGGAUCAGGCCGAGUCGAGUUCUCGCCUGUCCGAGGUGAUCACCUACGGGCUCAGUGAUCCCAUCCCAGCUGCAUCCAGCAGUCAUGAAACCUUGGUGAUUGAAGUCCUCACCAAUAACUACAUUGUGAAAAGGUCUACAUAGACCCGGGAAGUUCAGUUGACGUCAUGUACCUCCGUACCUUUGAGAGCCUUAAAAUGGCUAAGGGGUGCAUGACCCCGCUGAGAACCCCUCUUGUAGGGUUCGGGGGACACGUGGUGCACCCCGAAGGGAUGGUGACUCUGACAGUGACCAUAGGGCAUCACUCUCGCUGUAGAACCGUCCCUGUCAAUUUUGUGGUGGUUAAGGCUGACUCCCCAUACAACCUACUUUUAGGUCGGCCUACGCUCAAUGCCUUGCGGGCGGUCUACUCCACCUACCACCUGAGCUUCAAGUUUCCUACCCCAGCAGGGGUGGCCGAGGUCAGCAGCGACGUCUGUGCUGUCCGGGAGUGCUACCUCGCCACCCUACAAGCAGCCUCCCCGUCUACCUCCGGUGCGAGGUCCGAGAAGAGGUCAAAUAUCCUCUCAAUAGAUAGCAUCGAUCCUCAGUGAGCUGAGAAGGUCCCGAGGCUGGAGACUGGGGAUGAGGUGGAAGAGAUUCCCCUGGACCCCACGAAACCUGAUCAGACAGUUCGCGUUGGUACCCGAUUGCCCGGUCCUAUCCGAAGAGGUAUGAUGGACCUCCUCAGGGAAUACCGGGACGUCUUUGCUUGGGCCGCCGAAGAGGUCCAAGGAGUCCCGCACCAUCUCAUGAUGCAUGACUGAACGUCGACCCCCAAGUCCGUCCGGUCAAACAGAAGAGAAGGCACAUCGGCCCUGAGCGCAGCCAAGCUGUUGGUGAGGAAGUGGACAAGCUUUUACCCGCUAAAAUAAUCCGAAAAGUCCAAUACCCGAUCUGGUUGUCUAACUCGGUCAUGGUCAAGAAGGAUACGGGGGCUUGGAGAAUGUGCGUCGAUUUUACCGACCUCAACAAAGCCUGCUCCAAGGAUUGCUACCCCUUGCCCAAAGUCGAUACUUUGGUAGACUCAGCAAUGGGCUACGAGAUCCUCUGUUUCUGGGAUGCAUUCAAAGGCUAUCACCAAAUUGGGAUGAGUCAAGAAAACCAGGAGAAAACGGCCUUCUACACCGACCGCGGCACGUACUGUUAUACUACCAUGCCAUUCGGGUUGAAGAAUGCCGGAGCCACUUAUCAACGCUUGGUCAACCAAGCAUUCAAGUCUCAAAUCGGCCGGAAUGUUGAGGCCUAUGUAGAUGACAUCCUCCUCAAAAGCCAGACGAACUCCACCUUCCUGGCCGACUUGAAGGAGGUCCUUGACAUCCUGCGGAAGGUGAAAAUGAUGCUGAACCCCAAGAAAUGUGUUUUUGGGGUCACCUCGGGGAAAUUUCUAGGUUACCUCGUCUCAAGGCGAGGUAUCGAAGCAAAUCCGGAUAAGGUGCGAGCCAUCCAGGAGAUGUCUCCACCCCGGUGCGUCCGCGAUGUCCAAAGGCUGACAGGGCGAUUAGCCGCCCUGAAUCGGUUCUUAUCGCAGUCGGCAGCUAAAGCACUGCCCUUUUUCAAAGUGUUGAAGAAAGCUGACCAUUUCUCCUGGACGGAAGAGUGUCAACAGGCGUUUGAGCAGUUGAAGGAUUACCUUCACUACCUUCCAACGCUCACCUCACCUCGUCCGGGGGACAAAUUAAUCUUAUACCUUUCUGCUGCGGCCGAAGCGGUGAGUGCCGUGCUGAUAAGGAAGGAAGGGGUCCAAAUGCCCGUCUACUACGUUAGCCGAGUCCUCCGAGGUCCAGAGACCAGGUACACACAAGCAGAGAAACUUGUGCUAGCCCUGAUCCACGCCGCCCGCAGACUCAAGCCCUACUUCCUAGCUCACCACGUCUGCUUGAGGACUGAUCAACCACUUCGGCAGAUUUUGACACGACCAGAGGUUUCGGGACGUCUUACCAAAUGGGCCAUUGAGCUGGGGGAGUACGACCUAACUUAUGAGCCUCGCACAGCGAUCAAGGCCCAGGCUCUCGCAGACUUCGUAGCCGAGCUCACCUUUGACGAGGUGCAAGGAUCCGUCCCGGCUGCCACAUCGGCCACAGUUGAUGUGGCCACCACUGGGCUCCAGCGGUGGAUCCUACACGUGGACGGUUCGUCAACAGUGAGGGUAGUGGAGCAGGCUUGCUCCUCGAAGACCCCCAAGGAGAAAUAUGCUAAUAUGCCUUAAGAUUUGACUUCGCUGCUUCAAACAAUGAAGCUGAAUACGAAGCCGUCAUUGCUGGACUGCAGCUAGCUCGCAAGCUCGGGGCCGCACACAUCUUGGUUUAUAGUGAUUCCCAACUCGUCGUGUGCCAGAUAUUAGGUGAGUACGAAGCCAGGGACGAGGUGAUGCAUCGUUACCUCUCCAAGGUCCUCCAGUUGGCGACUCACUUCGAGUCUUUUGAAAUUCAAAGAAUACCGCUAUCGAAAAACAGAAGGGCUGACGCCCUCUCCCGGCUUGCCUCAACCUCUUUCUCUGACCUGAACAAGACGGUUCUCGUUGAAGUUCUAGCCGAACCAGGAUAUGUAGCCGAGGUAGUAUACCCCGUCUACCCUGGGGACACCUGGAUGGGUCCCCUGACUCGAUUUUUCAGCCAGGGUGAGCUCCCCGAAGACCGAGCUGAGUCACGGAAGCUCCAACGAAAAGCAGCACGGUACAUUCUCCGACAAGGCCUUUUAUACAAAAGGUCUUACCUCGGCCCUUAGUUGCGAUGUAUCACGCCCGAGGAAGGCCAGAGAAUCCUCCAAGACAUACAUGAGGGGCUCUGUGGUGCUCACGUCGGCUACAGAAUGCUGGUAAAAAAGGCUUUGUUACUUGGGUAUUUUUGGCCCACUAUGAGGAUAGAUGCCCAGGUCAUGGUCCUUUGCUGCCCCUCCUGCCAGCAUCACGCUCCUGAGCACCACCAGCCGACCAAUUUAAUGAUCCCUAUCACCUCGUCAUGGCCAUUUGAGCAAUGGGGAACGGACAUAAUUGGCCCCUUUCCCAGAGCUCCAGGCAAUUAUACCUACGUGGUGGUAGCAGUGGACUACUUCACCAAAUGGGUCGAAGCUGAACCCCUAAAAAAUAUCACUGGUGCGGCAGUCCAGAAAUUCUUCUGGAAGAAUGUGGUUUGCCGCUUCGGCCUACCCCGGGUGAUCAUCUCGGAUAAUGGCCGACAGUUCGCCGAUAAUCCUUUCAAGGCCUGGUGUGAGAACCUCGGGGUCAAACAGCAUUUCACUUCGGUGGGACACCCCCAAGCCAACGGACAAGCCGAAAACUUCAAUCGCACGCUCCUCCAUGGCCUCAAGACCAGGCUCCACCAGGCUGGAUCGUUUUGGAUGGAAGAGCUCCCCAGUGUGCUGUGGUCCUACCGAACUACGCCGAGAUCAGCAACCCAGGAAACCCCGUUUUCCUUAACCUACGGGUCAGAAGCUGUUGUUCCAGCCGAAUUCAUCACCCCGAGUCCACGAAUGGCCGCAUAUGCUGCCGAAGUCAAUGAAGAAGAACGGCGAGUUGACCUCGACCUCGUCGAAGAGAAGCGUGAUAUGGCCGCGGCCAAAGUUGCUGUUUACAAAAAUAUCGUAGCUGGCUACUACAACGCUCGGGUUAAACAUUUGCGGUUCAGUCCGGGAGACCUGGUGCUCAGGAAGAACUCAGUCAGCCGGGCUGAACCUCAGGGUAAACUAACCCCCAAGUGGGAGGGACCAUACCGUGUUGUUGAGUCCAGCCAAAAUGGAUAUUGUAAAUUGGCAUACCGAGAUGGGUCUCUGAGUGCCCCGAACUUGGCAUGCUGAAAAUCUUAAGUUGUACUACCCUUGAGGGUAUGUGCUUUUAAUCUUGAGUUAUUUCACACUUAUUUUCAUUUCAUUAUAAGUGAAAAAUAAGGGGACAAAGUAGCAGUAAAGAGGAAAACCGAAUUUAAUUAAAAAGAAAGCAAGAAUAUGAACUCAAUUCCAUUGAAUUACAUAAAAGUAGAAAGCCGAGGUCACCUUUAAUUAGGAAGAAAGCAAGAAUAUAAACUCAAUUCCAUUGAAUUACAUAAAAGUAGAAAGCCGAGGUCACCUUUGACCUCGGCCUACAAUGACAAAAAAAAAAACAAGUGCCUCUAGGCACUCCCUACCCUGACAUCCUGGCCCCCCGUGGUCGCGCCACCCGUUUCGGCACCCUGUCCACCCUCAGCUCCUCCACCGGCCUGGUCGUCUUCAGUACCAUCUAGUUCAAACUCCUGGAGCCAUUUGUUGAAUUCGGCUCGGACUUCGGUUAGGUCUUUCUCAGUCCGGAUGCCCUCAGCCAUGCUGUCGCAUAGCUCCUUGGCAUCCUCGUUAUAGUGCGAAGUGCUCUGAAGGGACUCCAGUUGUUCAGAGGGAAGAAAGGAUGCCGCGUCAUUAAUAGCCGACGUGUACCCGAACAUGAAGCUUGGCCGGGUGAGCUCGCCGAGGUCACGGAUGAAGGACUCUGACGUCCGGAAGGCUUCCACAGCAGUGACCCCGGCCUUGUCCAUGGCCUCCCUGUUUGACUGUUCUUCUUGGGCCCUCCUUUUUUUCUCCUCAUCAAGAGCAGUCACCAGGGAAUUGUUCGCGACCUCGGCCCUUUUGUUAGCCGCCUUGGCCUUGUCACGCUCCAACUCGGUUGCCUUCAGUUUUUCUUCCAACUCGGCAAUUCUCUUCUGGAGCUCGGCAGGAGGCUCAUAGUUUUCCAUGAACUUUCCAUACCGUUGAAUCAUCUCGACAAAAAAAGCCGUGGUAGAGGCCCAUGACACCGAGGCGCUCUGCAUCAACUCCCCUGCGGAGAGCUUCCUAGCAUAAGUGCUAUCUCGUGGCAGCACUGAAUGCACCAAGAGCUCCUGAGCGACCAAAGGGUUCUUGCAGCGAUCGUUGAAAUUAAUCUCCCACUCUGGACACCAGUGUGAUCCGGGGUGUCUCUUGUCCUCCUCAGCUGCCUUGAAAGGCACAUGAUGGAGUUUGAACAAAGAUGACCCCGUGACGGGGUUCUCCGGAAAUAUGGUCACACCCUGACCCCGGGGGGGAGUGGCAAUCGUGACCCAGCGAGAAGGGAUUCCCACCGGAAUUGCCGAGGCUCGGGAACCUCCCGGAGUGGCCGAGGUGUGCGAGCCCUCGCCCACGAUCACCACGGCAGGCUCGCGGUCGCCCGACGCCGCGGUGGUUUUCUUAGCCGGCCUGGAAGAGGACCCUGCAGUGUCCUUGCGCUUUUUGGGAGCUCUUUUGACCACCUCGACAUCUCCCGAGGUUAUCAGGUCGAAAAUCUUCGUCACUGCAAAGUAGGAGACGAAGUCAGUUAGAAUUCAAGAGGGAUAAACUAAAAGGGAAGAAAUGGAAAAAUACAAAGUCUGUGAAGCCUAGUCGAGAGUAAGACAGGCUGGUCAGAGCUCGUCAAGGCUCAACUGAUCCCGCCUUCCACGAGCACCACUUCGGGAAAAUCCCAGCAGUUUAUCCUGAGGCCCGACCCCGUUAACUUCUGGAAGUUACGCUCUUCUAACUUCCCUGGAGAUAUCUCCUUGAUCGAGGUGGGAGGCCUCCACCAGAAUCCGCGAGGGAAGUCAUCGGCCGAGACGAAGAAGAAGUUUUGCUUCCACUCCUUUAUUGAGUUCGGAGCAUCAACCACCAACUUCGGAACUUUGUUUCCGAAGUAGAACCAUCCUUUUUCACUUCUGCUGUUCUUGAGUGAGUAACAGCGGCGAAAGAGGUUGACCUAAGGUUGUAUCUCCUGAUGUCGGCAAAGUAGCUGGAAGCCAACGAGAAUGCGAAUAGCGUUAGGGGUGAGUUGAGUGAUUCUCACCCCCCAGUACCUCAGGCAGUCCCGAAGAAACCUCGUCGUGGGCACUCUGAGUCCGGCCUCCAGCUGUUCCUGAUAGAUAGUCACCUUGCCCUUUGGUGGCAGUGCGGCUGACUGAUGCGGUUGGGGUAUGUAAAUACUAUAAUCCCUUCUCCAGGGAUACCUGCGGACCACCUCGGCUAUUGAGGCUUGUCCCAUACCACUACUGAAGAACGGCAUCUGGCCGUAGUCGAGAGUUGCCACGUUUGGAGGAGUGGAAGGUUCUUGUACUCCCUCGUCUCUAGGGAUCUCAAUCCCGAGGUCAUCGUUGUAUAGGACCUCGGGCUGGACCUCGAUCUCCUCGGGCUGCACCUCAACCGCCUCAGCUCGGCGUGAUGCCUCGGCACCUCCACCCUCAGCUUGGUGAGAUGCCUCAGCACCUCCGCCCUCGGACGCGGUCCUUUCCUGGGAGGGGUCAGGCCUCUCUGCCUCAGUGAGGUCAGGUCUCACUGUCUCUUUGUGCGUACGAGCUGUUCUAGCCAUUGUAUCAGAAGGGGAAGAAGUGAACUUACUUAGAAUCUGCGACUGGAAGAAGAUGCCGAAGUAGACGUGGUUUAGAAAGGUUGCCGAAGUGAAAAGAGAAAGAAACAGAGUUCUGGGGUGAUUCUUGAUUUUUGGUGAAGAGUAAAACGGUGAAAAAAGACCACUAUUUAUAGGCCACCAGGGUGAAACCCAAGAGACGGCACCCUCUCUCUUCAUUAAUGGGAGGACUGUUCGUCUGCCAACACAGCUGACAGCCGUCCCUUCAGUUAUCACUCAGUCCCAUCUAUGCGGUCAUGACGUGUCCGUGUUCCGUGUUUUAUACGCUUCUCAGCUUCGGGAAGUAACGACCACGGCGGAUGCCCAUCUCGCCCUUCUCAAAGCUUGGGGGGCUUAGUGAGGAGGGCCAUUUAGGCUCGGAGCGCCCGAGGCCUAGUUCCCCAUCAUUUCCUGAAGUGCCGCCUCGGGUAUUAUCCUGGAAGGCGAUCGCGGCCCAUUUACCACCUCGGCUACAAUGUCAAGUCGUAACACCGAGGUGGACAUUGAAUGACAACUACGAAAAGGGGAGAUGUGAUCUCUGACACCUGAGCAAAGGCUGCUCUGACCCGCCGCCUGAAUCUGACAGAAUGUCCCAUCACGUCUCUUCAUGGAGACCGGUCAAGUCCACCUGAUCCACUGACUAUCUCAGAUCUUUUGGGACCCGUGCAAACAUCUCCUCUCUCCUAUCGGUCCCCUAUAAAUACACAAUAUUUCUACUGAAAAAGGGGAUGACCAAUUUCUGGUAAAACACACUCCACUCAUUACUUACUUCUCUAUAUCCGAACUGACUUAAGUUUCGGAGUUAUACCGGGGGAUCCAGCCCCUUUUCUUAUUCAAGCAGGUGACUUCGUCCAAGAGAGUUGCCCAAGGUAAAGAUAUUCUUCGAAUUGAGGUGACUCACUCCUGCGGGUCGAAAAUCACCUCUUCAAAUGGUAGAAAGUUUUCUUAAGAACCAAGAACAGCAUUAGUAUUCCCUCUGCUUCCAAAAACUUGUGUAUUAAAUAGAUUAAUGAAUUGUUUAACAUGCUCAUCUACUUGAAAAUGCACAAUACCCAUAACCCACUGAAAUUUUUGCAGGAAAAGGGAAAGAGAAUCUGUGUUUGAGAGCUUCAUGAAGAUGUUGAAGAAUAAGAAUAAAAGCCCAAUGCGAGGAUGUUUUCAAGUUUUUCUAUGUCCACUUUAAUUUGUAAAUUGAAUUUUACAACUCAAUUAAUUCCUUGUUUGUGAGGUACGUAUUGUUUUACGUACCAUGCCGUACAUGUUUGUAAGGAUUUCUAUCCUAUUGGCAAAAGUCGGUUCCAUACAAUUAAUCAAUUCAUUUCACUUCUAUUGGCUCUACUAUUUAUGCAUGUUACGACACUCUUUCCCUUAUAUUUUGCCUUUAAUAUUAUGAGUCAAUAGUAAUAAUGGGCCUUUUUCUUAAAAUUAUACUAUUAUACAUAGGUAGUUUGGUCUAACGCUAAAUUCAUGUUUGUCUUUCUUUUAUUCCCUUUACAUCUCAAAGUAUACUAUAGUUUGUAAUCAUUGUGGUGAUGAUAUUACCAGCUGGUACUUAUAGUUUAAGGCAGAGACAUGAUAUUAACAACUAUCUCAUUGAAACAUAAGUCAAAAUCAUGACAAGUGUGAGUCUUGGUUAAUGCACAAUUUGUUAGUGGAAUUUAUAUUUAUAAAACUCAAAAAAAAUUUUUGACAAUGCUAUUACUAAUUAAUUAAGGACUUCAUUGCUAUAAUUUAUCGCUUACUAGUUUAAACUAUAAAUGAUCUCAAUACUUUUCUCCAUGAUGUCGAUUUCUUUAGACUACGAAAGGGAAAAAUUAGUGACAUAUCCCUUACUGAUUACAACAUCAGCAAAAAUUAGUUAUAAACUUUUCCGGUGGUUUUAAAUCCCUCGGGCACUAAGGUUUUUUGCACAUCGAGUGAAUUAAGGAACAUAGGCAAUUCGUUCUGCAUACCAAGUCCUUGUUUAAGAUGCACGUACUAAAAUGCAUCCACUUCAUUAAUUUGGAAAAUUGCCAUAGUUUUUUUUAAGCAUUUUGAUUUUUUACAUGAUUCAAAAUUUUCUUAUUGGAUACAAUCACUUUGUGUCAAGAACACAUUUUCAAUCAUCUUUUUUAUCUUCUCAAUAAGAAAAUAAAAAUUUAUUCAUGCUUUUCUAACAUAUCCAAUCAUUGAUCUGAAAAAUAAAGAAUUAAAAAAAAAAGACAUUUUCAAUCAUUGCUUACAGGGCAACUUCCCCAUGUGAACCUCUUCAAACAAAGCCAAUAAUAUGAAGGAACAUCUAAAUACACUUUUGCCCUAAAGGCUGGUUGCCUUGGGGUCAAAAUUUAACCUUCGGGAGUAUAAUUACCCGCCAAAUUUAUUAUUUUUUAUGGGUAUAUAGUUCCAAUUUUGCCUCCUGUUAAGCUUAUAAAUAUAUUACGACCCAGAAAAUAAAGGAAUCUUGAAUAGUAACAUGUCCAUUGACUUGAGUUGUCAUCAAUUUGGCUACUUCGAUUCCAUGAGGCCAAUCCAAUUCACACUAGCUAGAGAAAAUGGUGAUAAAGGCACUUAGAAAUUUAUAUGUAAUAUUGAUUGGUAGUAACUGAUAAGUAUAUAUUUUACGUGUUUUAAAUAUGUUUUAUUAGUUAGUUUUGGUGUGUUUUAACUACUUUUAUAACUAAUUAACUAGGAAUCUAGUGAAAAUAUGCAUUUUGUGGUUUGAAGUGUGAAAAUUGUAUUUCUAUGGAUUUUAAUGGUGAAAACUUCAUGUUUUUGUAGGUUUAAUGAUUCAAUCAUCAAAUGACAUGAUUUGAGAAGAUAAUUAGAUGAUUGAUGAUGUUUUGAAGUGAUAAAAAGAGAAUACAAAGUGCAAGAGAGGAAAUGCAAUCAAGAAUAAAAGAAGAAAAUUUUUGUAGCUUUGACAUAUUGUGGUAUUUUGGCAAUAUAUUGAGCUACAAUGAUUGGAUUAAGGUGAUUCUUAAACCAUUUGAAGCUAAGAUAUAGAUCUACAUUUGGUAUGAAGGCAUCGAAACCCAUGUCAGUCAUUUUCCUUGUCAAAAUGUUGAAAUACAGAAGUGCAACUCUGUUCUCGAAAGCUAAAACAGAGCUCUGGCUAGUCGAGGGUAUUUUCAUCAUUUCUUAGUCCACAGAGCUCCAAAUGAGAUGAUUCUUAAGGCAUUAGAACCCUAACUCAAAGAGCUACAACUUUCAUAUUUUGUACAAGAGUUAGUUCGGCCUCCAUCAUUCAGAAAAUAGUAGUUGAAGUGGUGCCAAAUGCAUAGAAGUGAAAACGCGAGCUAUCAAUACUCGACCUGAAGUCGCGUAUUCCUGAGGUCAUGCAUUCUCUUCUAUUUUCUGCAACUUGCCCUGCUUUCACAUAAUUUUUUCAUCUCAAUUCCAACUAUCAAUUUCGGCUAUAUCUGAUCAAGAAAAGUGUGGAAAGUUUGAAAGACAACUCAUAGGAGUUUCAAGAGUCAAAAAUUACAAUUAGAAACAACUCAUUUGGCUCUUGAAUCCUCUAUAAAUAGAGGCCUUUGAAGAACAUUUUCACAACUUUGGAAGGUUAGAGAAACUCCACAAAAACAUAGUCUUCACUAGAAUUUCCUUAGUUCAUUAGUUAGGGUAGUAUAGUAUAGUUAGUGUAGCUUUUCCUUCUUGUAUUUAUAGUUAGGUUUGAAUGAAGAUUCAGGAGCAAAGAUAGAGAGGUUGAUCUCAUGUGACAAGGGUGAUAUCUCUUCUACUACUUUCUCUUUUGUAUUUGAUUUCAUAUUUAACUAUACUACAAAUUUGGCUUUGUUUUUUUUUUUUAUCAUGUUUAGUUAAAGUUUAUGCCUAGAGUAUGGAUGACCUUUCUAUAUCUUGUUUGUGAUAUUUAACUGGUUAUUUGAUGAUGUUAUUUUUGAGCAAGUUAUUUAUCACUUUUGCUUUUCUAAUCGUGAUUAACUGGCCAUUAGUUGUGAUUAUCUAAAAGUGUUAAGUUUGUAAUGAGAAUUGGAGUUUAACACUAGUUCAAGGAAGUGAUAAAUUUAGGGAGUUCACUCAUGAGAGUAGAGGAACACCUUUGUGACCUAAGUGACUUGUUUCAUAUAAUUUCAUAGAAAAAAUGAACUUGUAAUUAAUUUCAUAACCACGAGAGUAAGUAUGGUUUAGCUAUAUGUAUAGUUGAUUCACUACGAGAGUAGGUUUCACAUACAUUAGAAAAUUACAUCAUAACUAGUCAAGAUAAUAUCAUUCAUUUAAUCAGUAAUCUCAUUUGCAUGAGUAGUAAGGCAUUCCAUAUCUCUAGGAGGUUUUUAGUAUUAUUUUCAUUACUUUUAUGUUUAUGGUAGUCUAGAUAAUAAUGGAGUUCAAAAACUACUAGUAAUUGAAAAUUUUCCCUGUGGGAUCGACCUUUAAUACCCUAUACUCGCUCUCGACUCGUAUACUUGCGAAAAAUCACGUGUGCGGUAUUUAGAAUUUAUAAAUGUAAAACUUGACUGUAGAUGAACUAAUUGAUAUAUGUAUACCCCGCACUCGUCAGUAACCAGCUUGUAUUGAUCCCAUUAUUGUGGAUAAUUGUGCUCUUAUGAAAAAAAAUUAUAAAAAAAUUAGCAAAAUUUAUGAUAACAAAUUAAAUUUAUUCAUACAAAUCAGUGAAAGAAGUAGAAUUUUAAAGACCAUGAUGAAAUUAAUACUUUCAAGGGCUCUAUUAGGAAGACUUCACUUGUUGGUGAAACUACACUAGCACAGUUAUAUGCACAUUUACUGUUUUGGUAUCUAAUUUCCUUGCCUUAAGUUGGGUGCAGAUGUUUAUAUUACAAAUAGAUGGUAUCAUAAAAUUGUUGUAUUCACGUUUGUUCUUUUUUUUUCUUCCUUAAGUUUUUUUCUUUAUUCUCGUGACUUCAAAAAUACGAACUCAAGAAAUUGGCUGCUUAAUCAAUAUGUCAUACAGGCUUCGCUAGUGAGGUAUAACUUCACAACUAGAGUCAAUAGAAAUUAUCAAAUGAUUUUUUAACAUCCAAAUUAAGCAAUAAAUUUUGUUUUCAUUUUAUGACAUAUAAUAGUACUACUUCAUGAGAGAUUUUAUAGUUUCUUUUAGGUAUCAUACCUACAAGUGAUAUUUGUCAUUGGAUAGUGACAGAAGUGUUAAUGAUUGUAAGAUUAAAUAUUGUUAAAUAUUGAAAUUUAAACUAUUUAUCUUUAUUGAAAGAUACAAGUUAAAGAAUCGUUCAAGGGGGCAAUUUUCCAUCUUGUCUUUUUGAAAAAACGCUAUCACAUUGUAUAGGCAUGAUAGGUUCAAAUUUGUCAUUAAAUUUAUGAUUGAUUUCCCUUUUAUUCAAGCCAAAUAUUGUUUUAAUUAUCAAAUUCUACUUAUAUUUGGUUAAUUGUACUAAUUGUAGGGCGGUAGAGCAAAAGUUGCUAAAAAUAGGUGAUUUUCUGCAAAUUGGUUGUCAAGGCUGAAGGAUUUGGGAUUCGCAUGUUCAAGGCCUGUUUCCAAGUUUGAUUCAAACUCUGGACAGUUUUAGAGGAAGAUUUGGAAGAUUUGAAAUUUCAUUAUUAGUUUUAUGGUUGAAUUAGGAAUCUUGGAAUAAUUUCUUUUGUGAUUUAUUUUUCUAUUUAGGAGACUAGUUGUUAUUUAGUAGUAGACUUCAAUUAGAAAACAAAGAGAAAAAGAAGGCCGGAAUCCCGCUUGAUUAAUACCUUGGCCAGGGAACAAUCUCGGUGGGGAGGACGGCCACUUAGCCUCUCAAUUCAUCUUGCUUUUCGUUAGUUUGAGAGGAAAACCAAUUGCAACUAGAUUCAAUGGAGUCUGGCAGAAUUUCUUCUAGGAUGCGUAGCUAAAUCCUCAAUUUUUAGUCGAAGGUCAAUUUGAAAAUUCGGUUCCAAAUAUCUGUGAAAUCGAAUUAUUUUACUUAUUUCUUUUAUUUAUUGGUAUUCGCACGUUUUCUGAUUUAACUUUUUAUGAUUGUUUUGUUAUUUGAAUGUCAAGGGUCCGAUAUUCGAAUUAACUUAAUAAUCUACUGCCAAAUUAACCGGUUAAAUCCGUAAUUGUUUGAUUGAUUAAUAUCAGUGGCGACUAGCGUGAUUGGUCCCAUGUUAGGAAAACGUCUGAUCUAAUUUAAACAAACCGUCGUAGCGUGUUUGUUGAUUAGGGUUGGACUUUUCUAAUUCUUAAUUCAAUUGAGAAAUUAAAUCUCCCGGUCGUACCUAAGAUUAUUUUUUUGUUAGCGAAAUAGUUAAUGGUCGUACCUUGACUAUCGAAAAAGUAAGGAAGAGUUGAUUGUUUAUCGCGUGUACGACAACUAUAAUCAAUCUAUUAAUGAGUAAUUGAAUUAUCUUUGCAUCAGUAAUCAGUUGAAUGGACCGUGUCUGAAAAGUUGUACCUUUGGCUAGAGUCUUAUCUGUUGUUGAUUCAUUCAUAUCUAUCUUCAUGCGUUGUUUUAAUUUAGUUAAUUAGUUAUUUUUAUAAAAACCCCUCAUCUCUGGACUCUAAAAGAAAUAAAUUAUUUCUAGUUCCUGUGGAUUCGAUCCUACUCACCGCUAUAUACAAAAUUUGUAUUUUUUUGAAUAAAUAAUUAUUAUUACACAGGCUUGACACCUGUCAAGGCAAAAUUUCCUUAACUUCAUCAUCUGUAGACGUAAACUUUCUACGGGUGAUAUAAUAUAAGGAAAUUUUGCCUAUACGAUGUGAUAGCAUUUUUUCAAAAAAGACAAGAUGGAAAAUUGCUCCCUUGAACGGAAAAAAUCAUGAUCUUUCCUCAAACUAGUCUACUAGUCAAUUCUUUACAAAAGAAUACUCGCUCCUAAACAUAGCCUGUUCAUCUACACUGUCCCGCAGAAUUCUAGAAAGUUAGGCAAAACUAGACAAGUUGACAGGUAUAAUCAUACCCAAGAUCAGGAACAAGCAGUUGCACAUUUCAAAAUUCGCUGCUGCAACAGCUAAUUUGAUGACUUACAACACUACACGGUCAAACUUUGAAUGGCAAUGGAUCUUUUGUUGUACGUCAUGAUGUAAUUUUCAUGUUACAUACAUUAAUAGGUUGAUAUCUAUAUUCUUUAAAUUAUCAUGAUAAUACCCUUAAUUAGAUUUAACUGAUAAAAAGAACACGUGUUAAUAUACAAAAGUGUGUAACGUGAAUGUUACAUUACUGUAUUGCAGAAGACCUAUAGUCUCUUCAUAUCUCUUCCUGCACGUAUCAAUUCGUUUCCUCUAGAUAAUAAUCUCCCAACUCGUUUCUUUACAAAUGCACCUUUUAUGUUUUAUUACCUCCAAAAGCCUUUACAGGGUCUUUACCCUAAAAAUCAAUUCACCGACUCGCAUUUGAUGUCAGAAAUUCUUAAGACGAAUUCUACUUUACUCAAAGAUUGACUGUUAAUAAUGAGACAGCGACCAUUUUGUAUUAUUAGACCGUCCUUCUUGAUAGGUAAAAGAAAUAGAGAGGAAAGUGGGUCCGUAUAUGGUCUUUUAUUCAUAGAUAAUACAACAUUACGCCAUCGAGCAUUCACACAAUAUUUCAAAGUCAUAGCAUGCCUAAGGCCCUGUUUGAUAGCUCAAUUUCGUAAUUAAAUUUAAUAGAUUCAAAUUUUAACACAUUUAAAUCAUUUGAUAACAAAAAAUUGAAUAUUUAAAUUAAUUAAGUAACACUGAACUUUCUAAACAAAACUUGCUUUCAAAAUUAAGUGAUAAGUUAUUCACUUAUCUUUGAAUGUGAUAUGCACUCAAAUAUAUUAAAUUUAAUAAUUUAAUGGAUUCAGAUUUCAGAUUUCAGUUUUAUUACACACCCUAAGUUGCAAAAUAAUACCAAAACUUGUUAUUAUAUAGCUUGAGAUUCAAAAAUUUAGAGCAUAAUUCUCAACCUAACACAAUCGAAUAAUGAAUAUUCACGAUUGUUUCAAAGUACAAUUUGAGGACAACCCAUUCCAACGCGUACACGAUUUUUAACUUUUCUAAAGUUGUUGAGAGCUGUUAAAAGAGAUUUACCAUGUUUACAUCUUCCAAGUCUUGGAAGUGAAAAAUGAAGCCACUGAGUGCUAUAAAAAGGGGGCUAGAGGCUGCCUAGAAGCAUAUCAGCCUAAAACAAGAAUUUGUAGUAACAAUGGGGAGCAAAGCAAAAGCAACGGGGUCUAGGCUGACUCCUCUUCUUACCACUGUUUUAGUGGUAUUUGUCGCCCUUGGCUUGCCCUUGGAAACUGCAGCUGAUUAUUACAAGUAUUCAUCUCCUCCUCCUCCUCCUUACCACUAUUCUUCACCACCACCUCCAGUGUAUUCACCUCCACCAACCCCUGCUUAUAAGUUACCCCCACCAUCUCCUCCAGUUUACAAGUCCUCACCACCACCUUACCACUACUCACCACCUCCGGUGUAUUUACCUCCACCAUCUCCAGUUUACAAGUCACCACCACUACCCCCUCCGGUAUACAACUCCCCGCCUCCACCAGUGUACAAAUACAAGUCCCCACCACCACCUCCUCCAGUUUACAAAUCUCCAUCGCCACCAGUUUACAAAUACAAGUCACUCCCACCACCUCCUCCGGUAUACAAGUCUCCUCCGCCACCUGUUUACGAGUACAAGUCUCCUCCACCACCUCCUCCAGUGUACAAGUCCCCACCACCUCCAGUUUACAAGUACAACUCACCUCCACCUCCUCCCCCAGUUUACCUGUCUCCACCUCCACCCUAUCAUCACUACUACGGUUCUCCUUCUCCUCACCACUACUAAGCAAGUGCAUAAGUUUUGAGGUAAUAAUACCUAUCCAAAACUUUAUCAACACAAACUGCCAUGUAUAUUAUCAUGCUAAGGACGUACACUUGAUCCAUGAAAAUGACUAGUAGAAGAUUUUUUUUAAGAACCAAAGAAAUACAUUAUUUUUUCGGUCUGUUUUCAAGAAUUUGAGCAGUAUACAGAUUAAAGAGUGUUUUUUUUUUUGUAAACUUGCUUGUCAACUUAAAAAUGCACAUAGCUGAAAGCCAACUGAAUAUUUGCAGGCAAAGGAGAAGGCAAUCGGUGUUUGAGACCUUCAAGAAGAUGUAGAAGAAUAAGAAUAAAAGCCCAAUGCGAGGAUGAUUCCAAGUUUCUACGUUACCAUUUCUACAUCUAAAUUGACUUUAGCUCCUGAGUUCCAUGUUUAUGGGGUUUGUACCGUUUUACGUACCAUGCAGUACAUGCUUGCAAGGUUUUCUGUCCUGUUGGCAAACUGCAGGUCCAUAUAAUAAAUGAAUACUAUUUACAUUACGACACUUUUCUCUUUUUCUCUUAUAUUUUGUCUUUAAUAUUGUUGAUCAUUUUUUUUUUAUCAAAAGCAUCAAAUGCUUAGGUAAUUUGGUCUAAUGCUAAUUGUUUUACUUUUAUUUUUCACCUACACCCCUUUUCAACUCAAAGGAUGCUAUAGUUUGUGAUAAUUGUUUAAGACCGAAGCAUGAUACUAAUAAAUAUCUCAUUGAAAGUCAAGGAAACUAACAUUAGGAAAAGUUUAAAUCUUGAUUUGAUGAAACUAUUUAUUCGUGGAAUUUAGAGAUACAAAACUCAAAUUGUGACGGUGUUGUUGCUAAAUUAUUAAGGACAUUAUCACCAUUAUUUUUCCCUGAUCACUAGUUUCAACUGCAAUGAUCUCAAUCUUUUUGUGACUAAUUCUUUCCUUAAUAAUUUAUAAAGACAAAACUCACAAAGAAUAUGUGACUAAUUCUUUCCUUUCGUCUUCUAAAGAAAAUGCCAACUGUUAGUUUAUCAAGGGGAAAAAGGAUCGACAUCAGUUAUUAUUGAAACUAGUAAGGAAUAAAUAAUGGUGAUAAUGUCCUUAAUAAUUUAACAACAGCACCAUCAGAAUUUGACUUUGAGCUUCGGUCUUAAACAAUGAUCACAAACUACAGCAUCCUUUGAGUUGAAAAAGGAAGUAGGUGAAAAGAAAAGUAAAAAAUACAAUUAGCAUUCCCUCAAAUUGUAGAAAGUUAGGUAGCAUUAUAGACAAGUUGAUAGCGGCAAUUUUACAUUUCAAACUUCACCUAUUCAAUAACUAAUUCGAUGGCUUGCUACAUGGUCAAUCUUUGGACCCCUUCCUGCCUCCAGAUAUCCCUUUCCUCAAUCAGGGGCUUCUACAAUUACCAGUUUCAAUUGUAUGGUAUAGUGUAAAUAUCAACAAAUUAGAUGUAGAUGCUAACAUAAUAAAUGUGAAUGCUAAGACAGCAACAUACAAUCGAACCUGCAAUUGUAUGAACCCCAAUCUCGCUUCCUAGUCCACCAUCUUUCUCUAGGUAAUAAUCUCCCUUCUAAUUUAUUCACAAAAUGCACCUUUCAUCACCUCCAAUAGCGUCGACAUGAUCUUUACCCUAGAAGACUAUUCACCGACUCUCAAUUGACGUCAGAAAAUCUAAGAGUAAUUCUACUUUACCCUAAGAUUGAUAUCAACAAGACAAGGACAAUUUAGAAUUAUUACACGCCUCUUCUUAAUAGGAAAAAGAAAUAGAGAAGAAAGUCAGGCCAGGUCUAAUUUCUUUUCAAAGGCAAUACAACAUUACGAAAUCAAGCAUUCAUUCAUACAAAUAUUUCAUAGUCACCGGUUUGCUGAGUAGAAAAAUUUAGACAAAAACUUAAUAUUAUAUUGUUUAAGAGUUAACAAUUUAGAGCUUAAUCUCCUUGUACUUUGGAGUUAACAAUUUAGAGCUUAAUCUCCUUGUACUUUGGACUAAACUUGAACGUGAAAGGAAAUCCCAAAACCAUAUUGGGCAUGAAUUCACACUUAAUAUACCCAAUAAAAGAUGGCGACUGGUGAAAGGCAGUGGAGACUGGUGGAGAGAUUUGAGGAAUAGAAGCAGACGGAAAAGCAACAAAUUUUUGCCGAAAAACGGUCACUUUCAUGGUUAAUUUUGCUACUCUCCAAUUGUACUUGACCAAUUACAACAAUUUCAUGGAGUUUGAUACGUGAAAAGAAUUUUUUAUAAAUUUUAUUUUGAUCCAUAAUGUUAUCUUUACAUAUAUAAAACAUUUUACAAUUUUGAUUUUGGCGCAGCUAACUUUUGGUUAACAAAAAUGCUCAUGUUUAAAAAACCAGAAAUAAAACAAAACAAGAAACAAAAGAAAUAAGAGGGUAGCAUAGACAUUUUGGAUUUUUCCGUUAAUUUGGAUGAUUUCCACCCACGUUCUAAUUUAAUCCAAAACACAAAGGAAUUACGUAGAGGUUUUAAAUAAUGAGGGAGCUUCAUGAUCGAACCCCAAACCACAAGGCGAUUUACUAUAUUUUACUCUUAAAUUUUGGUUUCAUCUCAUAGCAUACAAGAGUUCUAUUUCACUAUCUGUAGACAAAGACUUUCUAUGGUUGAUGUACCAUAGGAAAAAAUCUGCCUAUACAACGUGAUAGCAUUUUUUCAAAAACACAAGAUGGAAAAUUGCCCCUUAAACGGGGAAAUUCAUGAUCUUUCGUCGAACAAAGAAUACUCACGCCUAUUCAAGAUGGAAAAUUGCCCCCUUAAACGUCUAUUUGUCAAUUCUUGAAAAAAGAAUACUCACGCCUAAAACACGGCCUCUUCAUCUGCAGAAUUCUAAAAAGUUAGGUAAACUCUAUAAACAAGUUGAUAGGUACAAUCGUACCCAAGAUCAAGUACAGAUAGUUGUACAUUAACUGCUGCAAUAACUAAUCUGAUGACUUAUAAACAUAUCAUGGUCAAUCGUUGAAUGGUAAUGAGUCUUUUGUUAUGCAUUAGUAUUAGUGUGUACACUCUAAUAGAUUGAUACUUAUACUCUUUAAAUUAUCAUAAUAAUACCCUUAAUUAACUUUAACUCUUAAAAAGAAUACAUGUUAAUACACGAGUGUGUGUAACCUGAAUUGUUACUUAUAAAUUAGUGUGUAAUAGAUAGGGAUGGCAAUGGGGGCGGGUGCCCGCGGGGGGCUCUCGGGGCGGGGGUUGGGGCGGGGGGGAAUUUUUUCCCCCCGUUUAGAAAUGGGGCAGGGGACGGGGGAGUAUACCCCCGCCCCAUCCCCCGCAAAAAAAAAAUUAUAUAUAAUAUGUAAUUUAAUUAGUUAUAAACUUAUGAUAAUGAUAUUAUUAGUUAGAUGUAUUAUAUAAUGUAUAUUAGUGUAUGUAAUAUAAUUAAUAUUAUCAAUUAUAUGAAUAAUUAGACAUGUCUACUAAUAGAAUUUAUGAAUUAGUUAUACUAAAUUUACUAAUACAUUUAUACUAAAUUUCUAAUUACACUUAAUAGAAUAACACUUUUUUCUAAAACAAAAAAGCACAAACACAAUAAUGAAUUAGUGAUUGUAUGAUAGGGUGUAAUUUUACUAUUUAUUUUAUUAUUAAUUUCCCCUAUCACCUGACCUGAUGUGGAUUAAUUGCUGGAUUCUGCUCACUUUUAGUACUUUGUAUUUAUUUCAGGGAGUAGAACGGAAAUUUGAUAACAGGUGCUAAUUUGGCAGAAAAAGAGUCCAGAUGAUAGAGCUUGCCCCAAGGGCAUUUUUGGAAAGGAGAACUUGUGCCCAUCUUGGUAAUUUGGGAGAAAAGGGAAACAGACAAAAUGGGUCUAACAUGGAUUGGAAGCGGCCGCACAGUAGCAGGGAAGAGGGCAGACGUAAAAGCAAUUGCAGGGGGGAAAAGGAGUUUUUUUAGUUUUUAGCUUAGCAUCUGAUUUUCCCUGGGAGACUUUUGUUAAAGAUUUCCUUUUGGCUGAUAUUACGCAUGGCAGAUGGCUUUUAACUUAUUCCUCCAUCUUUGACUUUUCUUCUUUAGCUUGUGGCAGUGGAUUGCUACUUACGAAUGUCAGCACUUAGCCAUUCGUGGCUUUUGAUCUUUUCUUCCUUAGAAAUUCUGAGUAACCUCUUUUCCUUUGUGCGCCAGACGAAGUGAAAACUAUAAACUUUUGUAGUUUUUCUAUUCAUUCAAUAUAUUGAGACGAGUUGGAUUCUACCAAAUUUCAACGGACAUGGCCGCUGGUUUCUCUUCAAUUUUAUAUGGGCUUUGUUCAUCCAACAUGAACUAAUUUCACCACUCUAGUCAAGGAGCAACGAAGGCUCUGAUUUGCCUAAAAAUUGUGAGAUCGUUUUAAUUUAAUCUUUUCCUUUUAUUUAUUGGUAUCCGCACAUUUCUUGAUUGCUAUGCUUAUGGUUAUUUAAUUAAUUGAUUGUCUUGGAUCCAGAUAAUUAAUUGAUCUGAUAGCCUAUUGUCAAUUAGGGCAUUUAAAUCCGUAAUUGUUUAAUUGUCCUGAAAUAGUGACAACUGGCACGAUUAGAUUCGUGCCAGGGGGGAUAUGCGGGCUAAUCUAAAAUAACCCUGGUAGUGUGUUAUUUGGUUAGAAUAGGGCUCCUCUAAUACUAAGGCAAUUGGGGAAUUAAAUUCUACGGGCGUACCUAGGAUUAUUUCUUAAUUAGAGCAGUGAUUAACGGGCGUACCUUGAUCACCGACACAGUAAGGAGGGGUUGACCGUCAUCGCUUGUUUGGCAGUUAUAACCUAUUUAUCAGUAAAUAAUUGGGAUUGCCUUGCAUCAAUGAUCAAUUAGGUGAACCAUUGUUGAAGUUACUUCUUGGUUAGAUCUUUAGUUAAUAUUACCUUGAUUUUGGUGAAUUGCCAUUUGAUUUUUAGUUGCCUACUUUAUUUUAUUUUUAAUUGUUUCCUUGCUUUAAUUGAGUUAGGCCUUUAAUUAUUGUUAUUCUAAGUUUAGUGAAUUGUGGUUUAAUUCCUAAUUAGUUAUUUAUUUUUACUUUCUUAUUUGAAUUUAUUUGCUUGUUAUCAUUCCUACGAAAUCACCCCCCUGUGUUACUUUGGAUUUCUUAAGAAACAAAUAUACCCAAUCCCUGUGGAUACGACCCUACUUGCUCUGUUCACGAAUUCAUAAUUAUUUGUGAAAAGAAAUAACCAUUCCACUCGGGUAUAUCGGAUCAAGCAAAUUCUUCGGGAACAGGGUGAAUCAAGUAACCCAAUGCACACCUAGAGUCCCUGCUCCAGUACUUGGAAUUGGGUUUUGGUCAUUUUAACUGGCAAUUAGGUUUAAUUUUAUUAUUGCACAGGCUGACGACCCUGUCAAUUUUUGGCGCCGUUGCCGGGGACUGGCGUUAUUAUUUGUUUCUUUUUAAAUUCAUUCUUUGUCCUAAUUUUCUGGUUUUCUUCUAGUGUAUGCCUCGAUCUUCUCGUACAGGUAAUUUGAUUUUUGACCCUGAGGUAGAGAAGACCGCAUGUAGAACGAGAAAGGAAACCAGACAGCUCAGAGAAGAGCACUCCAGUGCUACAUCUCAGAGACCCGAGUCAGAAGUUGAACUAACAGAUUCGUUUGGUAACACUUCGAGUGACUCUGACCAGGAGGAAGACACCAUGGCUAAUGCACGAACAUUAAGGGAGUUGGCUGCUCCUGAUUUAACUCAGCAGCCUUUAUGCAUUACUUUCCCCACUUUAAAUGAUAACAUUCCAUUUGAACUAAAAUCUGGUCUGAUUCAGCUUUUACCCUCUUUUCAUGGUUUACCAGGUGAAGAGCCGUAUAAGCAUCUGCAGGAGUUUGAUGUCGUGUGUAAUAGUAUGAAACCCUCGGGAAUCACAGAAGAGCAGAUAAAAAUGAGGGCAUUCCUCUUCUCCUUGAAAGAUUCUGCGAAGGACUGGCUGUACUACCUGUCACCAGGUAGCAUCACCACGUGGGACCAAUUGAAGAAAAAAUUUUUGGAUAAAUAUUUUCCUGCGUCCAGGGCUGCAAGUCUAAGGAAAGAAAUUUGUGGGAUCAAGCAGCAUCCAGGGAAGUCACUUUAUGAGUAUUGGGAACGGUAUAAGAACUUGUUGCGCAGGUGCCCCCAACACCAAAUAAGUGAGCAAUUGAUCAUACAGUAUUUUUAUGAGGGGCUCCUUUUUAGAGACAGGAGCAUCAUUGAUGCCAGGGGGGAGGGUUGGGAUGGGUGGUACGGGGGGAGGGAGUGUAAGCAAGAGGUCUCGGGUUCGAGUCCUCCCGCUUACACACAAAAAAAAAGAUGCUGCAAGUGGAGGGGCACUGGUAAACAAAACCCCUCAGGAAGCACGGGAGUUAAUAGAGGGGAUGGCAGAGAAUUCACAACAAUUCAGUACAAGAGAGGAUGUCCCAAUACGUAAGGUGAAUGAGGUAGAGACACCCUCUAUGCAGCAGCAGCUAACUGAGUUGACCGCGUUUGUUAGGCAACUGGCUGUGAGAAAUGCAUCACAAGCCAGGGUGUGCGGGAUUUGCACUGGUAUGGGUCAUUCUGCAGACAUGUGCCCAAUGAUUCAGGAAGAAACUGCAGAACAGGUGAACAUGGCUGACCACGCGCCCGCGCCAAGGAAGCAGUACGACCCUUACUCAAGCACCUACAACCCCGGGUGGAGAGAUCAUCCCAACCUCAGUUAUGGAGAAAAUAGGCAGCCCAACAUUACACCGAACAGGCAGUCUAACUUUGUGCCAAAUAGGCCACCAGGGUACCAGCAGCAAUAUCAACCCCGACCACCUCCGUCCCCAAGCUCUGGCCCAUCUUUGGAGGAGAUGAUGAAACAAAUGAUGACAACUAUGGCUCAAAAUCAGCAAAUGACGGAGGCAACCAUUAUGCAAAAUCAGCAAAGGACGGACUCCGAAAUGAAGGAUAUAAGGAAUCAGAUAAGUCAAAUGGUCACAACAAUCAACCGUUUGGAUUCCCAGAACCAAGGUAAAUUGCCAUUUCAGCCCGAAUUAAAUUCGAAGAACGUGAGCGCAAUGACCCUAAGGAGCGGGAAAGAAAUUCAGGGGUCUGAACCUGUGAUCCCUAAGGAUAAGGAUGAGGAAAAGAUCGAAAAUGAGCUUGAAAGGGAGGACAGCAAUGGUGCAGAUCUAAAGGUACUUCCUGACCCAAUAAUUACAGCUAAAACUAACCCGCCUCCUUUUCCUAGCAGGUUGGAAAAAUCGAAAAAAGAGGAUAAGGAGAAGGAGAUCUUGGAGGUUUUUCGCAAGGUUGAGAUAAAUAUCCCCCUCUUAGACGCAAUCAGACAAGUACCAAAAUAUGCCAAGUUCCUAAGGGACUUGUGUGUCAACCGAAGGCAGUUGAGGGAAGAUGAACGGGUUAUUGUUGGGGAGAAUGUGUCAGCAGUCCUGCAGAGAAAGCUCCCACCAAAGUGCGGGGACCCAGGUAUGUUUACUAUUCCCUGUAGGAUAGGUAAUACUGUGAUAGAAGGGCCAUGUUGGAUCUGGGAGCAUCAAUUAAUCUCAUACCUAAAUCUAUCUAUGCUUCUCUAAAAUUAGGUCCAUUAAAAGAAACUGGAAUAAUCAUUCAAUUAGUUGACCGAACUAAUGCAUAUCCUGAUGGGUUGGUUGAAGAUGUGUUGGUAAAAGUUAAUGAUUUGAUGUUUCCAGCUGAUUUUUAUGUACUUGAUAUGGAUGAUGAUCACUCCCCUGAUCCCUCACCUCUGUUAUUGGGUAGACCCUUUAUGAGCACAGCACAGACGAAAAUUGAUGUUAAUAAGGGUAUCUUGUUCAUGGAGUUUGAUGGGAAAAUUGUGCAUUUCAAUAUCUUUGAUACUAUGAAAUAUCCCUCAAACUCCAACUUUAGCACAGUUUUCUCUGUGAGUGCUAUUGACCCUGUAGUGCAGGAAGUGUUUGAAACUGAUGGCAGGGAUGAGUUGGAGGUGGCUUUGACCAAGCACCUCGAGUUGGAGACAACUCCUGAGGUGGAAUGGAGCGAGGACCUAAAAUGCACAAUAGGUGCAUUACACUCAUUGCAGUCCACCACGAAAAGGUAUGAAGUCUUACCUAUUUUUACUCCCGAACCUCACCAGAGGGUGUUGCCAUCUGUGGUGCAGGCACCUGUACUAGAAUUUAAACCUCUAUCAGAGCACCUGAAAUAUGCAUAUCUGGGUGAUAAUGAGACACUCCCGGUGAUUAUCUCAUCGACACUGUCAAAAAUCCAGGAGGAGAAACUGAUCCGGGUCCUUAGAGAGCAUAAAGAGGCGAUAGGUUGGACAAUCGCAGAUAUUAAGGGGAUCAGCUCGGCCAUCUGUAUGCACCGGAUUAGACUAGAAGAGGAUGCCAAACCUGUUAGGCAGGCUCAAAGGAGGCUCAACCCCCUAAUGAUGGAAGUUGUAAAGAAAGAAAUUUUAAAAUUGCUAGAUGUGGGGAUUAUUUUUGCAAUAUCAGAUAGCCCUUGGGUAAGCCCGAUCCAGGUAGUCCCAAAGAAGGCAGGGGUGACGGUGGAGGCAAACCAAACGGGUGAGCUCGUGCCAGUGCGCAAACCCACUGGAUGGAGGCAGUGUAUAGACUACCGUAGGCUAAACGCCGUCACCAAAAAGGACCAUUUCCCUCUCCCUUUCAUUGACCAAAUGGUUGAACGUUUAGCUUGUAGAGCUUAUUAUUGCUUUUUGGAUGGAUUUUCAGGAUACUUUCAGAUAGCAAUUGCUCCAGAGGAUCAAGAGAAGACAACCUUCACGUGCCCGUUCGGGACCUUUGCUUAUAGACGAAUGCCAUUUGCGUUGUGCAAUGCACCUGCAACAUUCCAGAGGUGUAUGGUAAGUAUUUUUUCUGAAUAUGUGGAGAAAAUUAUUGAAGUUUUCAUGGACGAUUUCAGUGUGUAUGGUGAUAGUUUUGAUACGUGUUUAGAUAAUCUGAAAUUGAUCCUGAUAAGGUGUAUAGAGACUAAUCUUGUGCUUAAUUGGGAAAAAUGUCAUUUUAUGGUUGAGCACGGGAUAGUCCUGGGUCAUAUUGUAUCGUCUAAGGGCAUAGAAGUUGACAAGGCUAAAAUAGAUAUUAUUUUUGCAUUACCUUACCUCGCGAGUGUGCGGAAGGUGCGUUCUUUUCUUGGACAUGCAGGUUUUUAUCGAAUGUUCAUCAAGGAUUUUUCAAAAAUUGGAGCCCCGUUAUUCCAACUCCUACAAAAGGAUGUGACCUUCGAAUUCGAUGAUAAGUGUGAGGAAGCCUUCAACAAGUUGAAAGAAUUGUUGACCUCACCCCCAAUUAUCCAGCCCCCUGAUUGGAGUCUACCAUUUGAGAUCAUGUGCGAUGCCAGUGAUCAUGCCGUAGGGGCUGUAUUGGGGCAAAGAGUAGGGAAGGCAGCUCACGUCAUCUACUAUGCAUCCCGAGCAUUGAAUGGAGCCCAAUUGAAUUACUCCACUACUGAAAAGAAGCUUCUUGCAGUUAUUUUUGCUUUAGAAAAAUUCAGGUCAUAUUUGCUAGGUGCUAAAGUAAUUGUAUUUUCUGACCAUGCAGCAUUAAGGUACCUAAUGACCAAGAAAGAUGCCAAACUGAGGCUCAUUAGGUGGAUAUUGCUACUGCAGGAAUUUGACCUGGAGAUACGGGAUAAAAGGGGCUCAGAGAAUUUAGUAGCUGACCAUCUGAGUCGUAUACCCGUUGGAGAGGAUAAUGAACCAUUGAGGGAUGCGUUCCCUGAAGAGCACUUAUUUUCUUUAAAUUCUCAGUUGCCUUUGUAUGCCGAUCUGGUCAAUUAUUUGGUAACUGGUAAUUUUCCUGCAGGUUGACCAAAAUCGAAGAGGGAUAAAUUGAAGAGCGACGCCAAGUAUUUUAUUUGGGACGACCCGUACCUAUGGAAGAGGUGUGCAGAUCAAGUGAUGCGGAGAUGUGUAAGUGAAAUGGAAUUUCAAUCGAUUUUAGCUUUUUGUCAUACUUUUGCCUGUGGAGGUCAUUUGGACCCAAGAGAACUGCUCAUAAGGUUUUAGAAAGUGGAUUUUAUUGGCCUUCAUUGUUUAAGGAUGCCUAUGUGUUUUGUAAGUCAUGUGAUCGCUGUCAAAGGGUAGGUAAUAUACCCCGUAGAGAUCAAAUGCCCCAAGUCCCGUUGAUUUUUAUUGAAAUUUUUGAUGUCUGGGGUAUAGAUUUCAUGGGGUCUUUUCCUACUUCAUUUGGUUUUUUAUAUAUUUUGCUGGCAGUUGAUUAUGUGUCUAAAUGGGUGGAGGCUAAGGCCACUCGAACUAAUGACUCGAAAGUAGUUGCAAAUUUUGUCAGGUCUAAUAUUUUUGUGCGAUUUGGAAUGCCUAGUGCUAUUGUCAGUGAUAGGGGAACGCACUUUUGCAACAAAAUCAUAGCUGCGUUGUUUCGCAAGUAUGGUGUACUCCAAUGGGUCUCAACGUCGUACCACCCUCAGACCAAUGGUCAAGCGGAGGUGUCGAAUCGAGAGAUCAAGUCUAUCUUGGAGAAAAUGGUGCGCCCCGAUAGGAAAGACUCGAGUCAAAGGCUGGAGGACGCACUUUGGGCCUAUCGGACGGCGUACAAGACUCCUAUAGGGAUGUCACCGUACAGGUUGGUAUUUGGGAAGCCGUGUCACCUUCCAGUGGAGUUUGAGCACAAAGCUUUUUGGGCGAUAAAGUAAUGCAACAUGAAUUUAGAGGAAGCCGGUGCCCAACGAAAGUUGGAUUUGCAAGAAUUAGAAGAGAUCCGGAACGAGGCUUACGAAAAUGCACUAAUUUAUAAGGAGAGAAGCCGGAUAUUUCAUGAUCAACAAAUUUCAAGAAAAUCCUUUGAAGUUGGUCAGAAGGUCCUACUAUACCAAUCCAGGCUCAAGCUAUUCCCAGGUAAACUACGUUCCCGUUGGAUUGGACCUUUUCUUGUUACUCAUGUUUUUCCAUAUGGUGCAGUUGAAAUCCGGAGCGCUAAAACAGACAACAAAUUUGUGGUGAAUGGACACCGUCUCAAGCAUUACUACGAAGGAUUUUCAGGUGAAAAGGUGGAGACAAUAAGUCUAGACGCGCCACCGUGUCCUAAUCAGUGACAUUUUACUAUGUCUAGCCAAAGACAUUAAAGACAGGCGCUCAUUGGGAGGCAACCCAAUUGUCCCUUUUAAUUAUUUGUUUGAUUUCGUGUGAUAGUUUAAAUAUGUUUUCCUUGAAUUCGACUGAUUUUGGGUUUCAGUUUUCGUUUUUGCUGAAUUGUAGGUGACCUUCAGUCUUGACGCGCCCGCGUGAUGACAUGCAGGAAGCUCACGAUCAGAAUCGUCUGAAAGCUCUCUUGCCCUUUUGACGCACCCGCGUGAUGACGUGCAGGAAGCUCACGAUCAGAAUCGUCUGAAAGCUCUCUUGCCCUCUUGACGUGCCCGCGUCACGUUCGCAGGAAAGGUACGGGUUUCAAAAAUUUAAAGAAAAAAUAAUAAUAAUAAUAAUUUAAAAUUUUGAAAUUAACUUCCGUAAAAAAAAAAAAGAAGAAAAAAAAUUUCACCGUGGCUUAAAUAGAGCCUAAAGAAGAGAAAAAAGAAACAAUUUCUUUCUUUUUUUUUUCUUUUUCUUCUUUCUUCCUUCUUUCUUUCUUUCUUCUUUCUCUUUUCCCUCUCUCUUCUCCCCUGUUUCUUCUCCCCUGUCCGUCGCCCGUGCGCCCCAUCGCUGCUCCACCUCCACACGCACGCCGACGCUGCGAGCCACCUGCGACCCCAGCGCCAGAUCUGGACCAUCGCCGAAACCCGCAGCCUCCGCCACCUCCACCUGAGCUCUGCCUCGCGCGCAACCCAGCUGCUCUGCGCCCGAAGCUCCACCGCCGCCACAGCCUCCCCACGCAGCUCCCUGCUCACGCGGCCACAAGCCCAUUGGAAACGGGACAGAGACUGCCGCCGAGCCACUUGCCCGCGUGACCGCCGCUGUUUUCCACCACCUCCCUCACGCGAGCUCUUUCCCUCUCAGCAGCAAUCCACUUCACAGCGCACCCGCUGCGCGCCGUCGCAGCCCUCGCAGCUCCAGCCCGUCUGGUCUAGUCCGCCGCGCGCACCAACCACCCACGGACGCUACCCCCAUCGCUAACCCACGCGGCCUCCACUCCAGUCUGUCCGCCGCCGCUGCUCGUGUCUCCCUUGCGCACCUCACGCCACCCGCUACUGUCCCCUUCCGUUUGGUUAGCAUCCACGGUGGAGGUAAUUGGAGGUUAUUUUCUCAAUUGUGUGACUUCCGCCUGUGAUACUGGUUGCAUUAUUUUUGCUGGGAAUUGCUACUUCUUUUGGGUUGGGUUCAACUGUGCAAUUAAUUGGCCAACUGGAGCCAUUUGUUGGGAUUUUGGGUGAGCUGAAAUACUGCAUUUGUGUGUUACAUUGGGAGGUUUAUUGGGUACAUUCUAACCGCUGUUUUCCAUUGUUACUCUCGCUGGGGUGUCUAUUAAAUUGCGAUUGAAGUAUUUUGGAUAUUGCAUGUUGAGAUUGAGGUUUCAUUGAAUUUGGCCUACGUUCUGCCCCCAGUGGUACUGGUGGGAAUAUUUUCAAUUGAAUUUGUUACCUCUAGUUGGUUGGCUACAUUAUUAUGGUCGAAUUCCUAAGUUGUCGUCAUUGCAUUUGUUGAUCUUGAUUUGGGGCAUUAACCGGCCAACUGGAGCCAUCUGUGCGUUUUUAGGCGCUAUUAUUGGUUUCUUCUCCCUUAACUUUGUCAACUAUAUUUGGUUGGGUAUUUGGUUGACUGCCACGGACUUGUAACUGUGUUUUGCUUCUAAUUGACCAGUUGCACAGCAGUUUUUUUUUAAUUGAUAGGGUGGUUAUACCUCUGGAUAUUUGUAUCCACUGGUUUGAGGACAUGGUGAGACCAAAAUCCUCCUCUAGGUCUAGGACCCCUAGAACCUCGCAAUCCCAACCCCAAGCCUCUACUCUAGUCAAUACCCCUAUAAAUCAACCUACUGCUCCCGGUGUCCGAACCUGGUUAGGUAGGGGUAGAGGUGCCCACGUGGCUUCCGCCACUCACUUGGGAGGGCAUUUGGAAUUCACUAGAGCCGCCGAUCAGCGACGCUAUGCUCAAGCUUGUGAGCGGCGUAUCAUUCCGUGCAAAUGCGCGGACCACAUUACUAUGGUUUUUCUGGGGAUCCAAGGGGAGGUUGAGCGCAUGUACACCGCCAUUGGAUGGCGCCCCUAUCUGGAUAUUUUCCAGCCAGCCUUUGUCGAGUUGACUAGAGAGUUUUACACCACUUUUAAGUUUGAAUUACCGACUAGGUAUACUGUUGCGACUCCCGAUAUCAUUCACUUCCGUCUCAUGGGCCAGGAAUUCAAUUUCUCUAUCACCCAGUUCAAUCUGGCUUUCGGUUUCAUCACUCGGGAGUAUGCAGAGACUAGGGAAUACGGUGAGAGUGCCUGCGAUUUUGUGGAACCUUUCCUUACCGCCUACCGUGAGGUGUGGGAGGACAUGUCUGUGGACAUGCAGCGUUACGAUCCCUCUCGGUCUCGGAGCUCCUUUCUAGAGGACCCGAGUGCUCGGUAUGUUCAGCGGCUUUUAGCAUAUAGCUACUCGGGCAGAAAGAACAGCUUCGGUAUUAUCUCUCGGCCGGAGCUCUUCUUCCUUUGGUGUAUGAAGAAUGGGUUCAAGGUCAAUUUGGGUUGUUGGUUGGCGGCACAGUUCAAGACCGUCAUGGCAAAGAAGAACAAGCCGUUGAUUCUUGGGUCGUAUAUCACGUACUUGGCGGUCCAGCUAGGCGUUCUGAAUCUACAGGAUCACGAUUUGCACUUGGCCUGCGACAUGGAGUAUCUCACUGCUGACCGGCUAGAGAAGAUGGGGGUUCUGGAGCUUGUCGAUGGCCACUACCGAUUUGUGCCCCCGGGACCGCCCCGCGCCCCGCCUCGCUCUUCCUCCACCCAUUCGGCCCCAGUUGGCGGUGAUCCUGGCCCGUCGACAUCCGCUCAGCUCCCUCCACCAGCAGGGGCUGAAGAUUGGCACCAAAUCAGGACGCAGAUUCAGAAUUUGGACGCCCGGAUGAUUAGCAUCGAGAGCAACGUGGCGGCUAUAUCACAGAAUCUGGCGGCAUUCCUGCAGCACUCGGGUUUCCCGCCCCCAAUCCCACCUCACCCUCCACUAUGACCCGGUUUCAGGGAAGUUUGGUUACUUUCUCCCUCACUUUUGUUGUUUUUUGACACAUUGAGGACAAUGUGUCCUAUAGGUGUGGGGGGGUCUAUAGUCUUUCUAGUUUUUAGUAGUUGUUAGUUUUUAGUUUUUUAGUAGUUUUAGUUUUAUUUCUAGUUGCGUAUUUUCUUUCUUUUCUUAGUGCUUAUUCCCCAUGUGAAAAGAAAAAGAAAACAAAAAAAAAGAGAAAAAAAUGUUGGUUUAUUGACUCUAACUCUACUUUUGCCAAGUUUUUUUUAAAUAAAAAUGUAUCGGGUUAAUGUGGUUGGAUCCAGAAUAUCUCCCUGGUGAAUAUCGGAUUGCUUGGCUCUUUUGAUUUCUGUGUUAAUUUCUCUAGGCAUAGGGAAUGACUGUUGGCAUUUUAAUGUGAACUGGUCCAAUAUUGACUCCAGUUCUCUAUGUUUGGCAAUAAUGAGGCGAGCUGUUCCUAUUUUUGGUUCUUAGUGUUGUUAUUAUGUGUUUUUGGCUUUGUUUGGCUGUGAAUAAUCUGGACUGUACUCCGCUAUGAGUUACUACUGAGUAACCGAGGAUCGGCACCUAAAAGUGUCGAUUCUCGCGUCAAAAGGUGGUACUUUAUAUGAGUACGUGGUCGUAUAGCAGUAGGAGCUGAGUAACCGGGCUCCUUCAUCUAAAAAUGUUGGAGUUCGCGUCAAAAGGCCCCGACGGCUAACGACUAAGUCUUUUUGUGUUAAUUAUUAUUGCUUUGAAAAACAAAAAAAAAAAAGAACGAAAAAAGAGAGAAUAAAUAAUAGGAAGGCUUGCCGGUUUAUGGACUUAAUAUGGAGACUUGUGUGAAUAUUUGGACCAUUAGCUAAUAAAUGUUGUGCGCCAUUCCCUUUUCUUAGAGUAGUUAACCUGGAAAUUGAAGGAAUUUGCAGUUUAGGGGCUAACCGGGGGGGAGGCUUCUUGGAUUUUAAUCACCAAUGCUCGAUAUAUGUUUUUCUCUUGAAGAUCUUGGCAAUAUAGGAGAUUGGACAAUGGCCAUCAUCGAAUUUUGGUGUUCGUUUACUAUUCUUAUGCUUGAGGACAAGCAUGGUUUAGGUGUAGGGGGAAUUGAUAGGGUGUAAUUUUACUAUUUAUUUUAUUAUUAAUUUCUCCUAUCACCUGACCUGAUGUGGAUUAAUUGCUGGAUUCUGCUCACUUUUAGUACUUUGUAUUUAUUUCAGGGAGUAGAACGGAAAUUUGAUAACAGGUGCUAAUUUGGCAGAAAAAAGUCCAGAUGAUAGAGCUUGCCCCAAGGGCAUUUUUGGAAAGGAGAACUUGUGCCCAUCUUGGUAAUUUGGGAGAAAAGGGAAACAGACAAAAUGGGUCUAACAUGGAUUGGAAGCGGCCGCACAGUAGCAGGGAAGAGGGCAGACGUAAAAGCAAUUGCAGGGGGGAAAAGGAGUUUUUUUAGUUUUUAGCUUAGCAUCUGAUUUUCCCUGGGAGACUUUUGUUAAAGAUUUCCUUUUGGCUGAUAUUACGCAUGGCAGAUGGCUUUUAACUUAUUCCUCCAUCUUUGACUUUUCUUCUUUAGCUUGUAGUAGUGGAUUGCUACUUACGAAUGUCAGCACUUAGCCAUUCGUGGCUUUUGAUCUUUUCUUCCUUAGAAAUUCUGAGUAGCCUCUUUUCCUUUGUGCGCCAGACGAAGUGAAAACUAUAAACUUUUGUAGUGUUUCUAUUCAUUCAAUAUAUUGAGACGAGUUGGAUUCUACCAAAUUUCAAUGGACAUGGCCGCUGGUUUCUCUUCAAUUUUAUAUGGGCUUUGUUCAUCGAACAUGAACUAAUUUCACCACUCUAGUCAAGGAACAACGAAGACUCUGGUUCGCCUAAAAAUUGUGAGAUCGUUUUAAUUUAAUCUUUUCCUUUUAUUUAUUGGUAUCCGCACAUUUCUUGAUUGCUAUGCUUAUGGUUAUUUAAUUAAUUGAUUGUCUUGGAUCCAGAUAAUUAAUUGAUCUGAUAGCCUAUUGUCAAUUAGGGCAUUUAAAUCCGUAAUUGUUUAAUUGUCCUGAAAUAGUGACAACUGGCACGAUUAGAUUCGUGCCAGGGGGGAUAUGCGGGCUAAUCUAAAAUAACCCUGGUAGUGUGUUAUUUGGUUAGAAUAGGGCUCCUCUAAUAUGUAAGGCAAUUGGGGAAUUAAAUUCUACGGGCGUACCUAGAAUUAUUUCUUAAUUAGAGUAGUGAUUAACGGGCGUACCUUGAUCACCGACACAGUAAGGAGGGGUUGACUGCCAUCGCUUGUUUGGCAGUUAUAACAUAUUUAUCAGUAAAUAAUUGGGAUUGCCUUGCAUCAAUGAUCAAUUAGAUGAACUAUUGCUGAAGUUACUUCUUGGCUAGAUCUUUAGUUAAUAUUACCUUGAUUUUGGUGAAUUGCCAUUUGAUUUUUAGUUGCCUACUUUAUUUUAUUUUUAAUUGUUUCCUUGCUUUAAUUGAGUUAGGCCUUUAAUUAUUGUUAUUCUAAGUUUAGUGAAUUGUGGUUUAAUUCCUAAUUAGUUAUUUAUUUUUACUUUCUUAUUUGAAUUUAUUUGCUUGUUAUCAUUCCUACGAAAUCACCCCCCUGUGUUACUUUGGAUUUCUUAAGAAACAAAUAUACCCAGUCCCUGUGGAUACGACCCUACUUGCCCUGUCCACGAAUUCAUAAUUAUUUGUGAAAAGAAAUAACCAUUCCACUCGGGUAUAUCGGAUCAAGCAAACUCUUCGGGAACAGGGUGAAUCAAGUAACCCAUUGCACACCUAAAAUCCCUGCUCCAGUACUUGGAAUUGGGUUUUGGUCAUUUUAACUGGCAAUUAAGUUUAAUUUUAUUAUUGCACAGGCUGACGACCCUGUCAUUGUAUUUGUACCAAAAGUGAAAACUUAACUAUUUUAGUUGUAUUUAUUUCAUCAUGUUGGAUUGUAUUCAAAUAAUUUUUGUUUGAUUGUUUUUAUAAGUUUCAAUUGUAAAAUUAAAAUGAAUAAUAACUUGAUGAUGUGUUGAUAUUUUAGUACUUGAUUAUUUAUUAAAAUUUAAUUAUAAUAAAAUUUUAUUAACUCAACGAGAAAAAUUUUAUUAAUCCCGUGGGGGCACCCGCGGGGAAAGCGGGGCGGGGCGAGGGGAGUGGGAGGCGGAGGACGGGGCGGGGGCGGGGGAUGGGGGAGGGGUCCCCCGCCCCAACCCCGCCAUCCCCCGUCCCGUUGUCAUCCCUAGUAAUAGACUGGCAAGCAUUGUGGUGGUCAUUGAGCAACUUAUAGGAGAAAUAGUCCUAUAAGCUGUUCAAUGACCAAUCACAACUUGCUAAUUGGAUGACUAAUAUAGCUCUAGCUGUAAUGUUUUAAUUAAAUUACAUCACUAACGUUGGGAUGACUUUUUAACCAAAAAAAAAAAGCCUUAGUUCAAGCUUUUCCCUUUAUUGUGCAUUUUUUAAAGCAUUUGAAAGGCACUGCAAAUCUGUCAUUUUGGACAUUUUAUUAUUGACUAACAAUGAAAGCCGUGGACGUCUACCCAUAACCAACACAAGAUUAAAUUAAUAUUAGAAAAAAUAAUUGAGUAAUUGGAAAAAAAAAAAAAAGAAGAGUCUAAUUUUCAUUGAAACCCACCGACAAACUAUACGUGUCCAUGGCUUUUGAAUAGUGCAUUCAACGUUUAAUUGUAUGGUCCAGUUCAUUGCAGAUUACAUGGAGUAAAGAUUGCGCUCUUUCCUUUUCACCCCUUUUGGAAUCGAUACUGUGGAGAAUUGGGUUUUUCCCUCCUUUUUUUCUUUUCUUUCCUUCUGUGGUUUGCAAAACAUACGUAAAAAUAUGAAAUCCGAAGCAUUCUUUAAUUGGUAUUAAGUAUUGUUGUUGAAAUUAAAAAGAAAAAAGAAAGAACAACAAAAUUCCCAAUCUGGGUUGAUUGUUGAGCUCUAGAUUGGUUGCAUCGUGCUUCCAUAGAAGCAAGAUUUGUAAAAUCGGAAUCCUACAUAGGAUCGAUUUUAGUUUCACAGGAUCGGAUUGUAAAAUCGUAAGAUCCUACCAAAAGCUCUCAAUUGCAAUUAAAGGUUGCAAUUCUUUAAUAAAUUACAAAUAUACCACAAAUAUUUUCAUUUACUUGCAAAAUGGAGCUUCGUAUUUCACAAAUUUACAAAAAAAUUGUAGGAUCGUACGAUCCUACCGAUCCUACGAUCCUACACGAUCCUACCGAUCCUGCUACGAUUCUAUGCGAUCCUACAAAGAUUAAUAUGAUUUGCGACUCUGCAUACGAUCCGGAUCGAUUUUGGUUAUCCGGAUCGUAGGAUCGUAUGAUCCUACGAUCCGGAUCGCGAUUUUGACAACUAUGCAUAGAAGCUCUCUUAGUGUGAUACACUGCUUUCAAUCAGUUUAACACGGGAAAAAAAAAAAGAGAUGAAAAGCAAAUUUGGUGGAGAUAAUUUCAGAAACCUCCCCUGAAGAUUUUGACUAUUCUACUGGUUUCCCUUCAGAUUUUAAAAAUUACACUAAUCUUCCUUGAAGUUAAUUAUCUUGUAACAUUUAAAUUCAAUCAAUAAUUUAAAAAAUGAUAUUAUGAGAGAGAAAAUAAUAUGAUUUUAUCAUUGCCCCCCAUCUUACUACAUUAUUUAAUUAAUUUAAUAGCAACCCACACAUUAAAGAAAAAUAUUAAAAUUUGUUGUUUAUCAUUAAAGAUCAAAUCGCUUAUAACAUCAAAUAAUAGUAUAUUAUUUAUAUUUUUCACUUAAUAUAAUAUCCAAAUUACUCUUUUCAAUUACAUACCCAUUGUUAGAGAAUCAACAACAAAUAACCAAAAAAUUUGCAACCAAAAUAUUACAAAAAAAAUAAACUUUAACAUCAUAAAUAUUCUUAUCAACAUAUUAAAGUUAGUUACUGAAAUUUUUAUGCUGUUAAACUUCACUCUUUUUGAAUACAGAUUUUUUUGAUUAUUUGUUAUUAAUUAUGUUUGAUGAUGGGUUUAUAAUUGAAAAGAACAAUUUGAAACUUACAUUAAGUAAAAUAUAUAGAGUGAUAUACUAUUUUUUAUAACAUAUGUGAUUCAAUCCUUCUUGAUAGGAUUGGUAAUAGAGGUAGAGGGGGGAGUCGGCUGCAUCCGGUCUUCUUUUCAUAGAUAGUACAAUAUUGCGAAAUCAAUCGCAUUCACACAAUAAUAUUUCGAAGUCAAUGCAUGGCUAAGUUGCAUAAAAGUACGAACACUUGUUAUUAUAUAGCUUAAGAUUCAAAACUUUCGAGCAUAACCCUCCACCCAACACAAUUGAAUAAUGAAUAUUCACGAUUGUCAAAUCUGUCAAAGCACAGUUUGAGGACAACCCAUUCCAACCUGCAAAAGAUUUUUUACUUUUCUAAAGUUGUUGAGAGCUGUAAAAAGACUUACCAUGCUUGCAUCCUCCGAGCCUUGGGAGUUAAAAAUGAAGGCACUGAGUGCUAUAAAAAGGGGAAUAGAGGCUGCCUAGAAGCAUAUCAGCCUAAAACAAGAAUUUGUAGUUAAGAUGGGAAGCAAAGCAAAAGCAAUGGGGUCUGGGCUGACUCCUCUUCUUGCCACUGUUUUAGUGGUGUUUGUUGCUCUUGGCUUGCCCUCACAAACUGCAGCUGAUGAUCACUACAAGUAUUCAUCUCCUCCUCCUCCUUACCACUAUCCCUCACCACCACCACCAGUGCAUAUACCUCCACCUCAUCCUGUUUACAAGUACAAAUCUCCACCACCCCCACCACCACACCCAGUUUACAAGUAUAAGUCACCACCACCACCUCCUCAUCCGGUAUACAAGUAUAAGUCUCCUCCGCCACCACCACACCCAGUUUACAAGUACAAGUCACCACCACCACCUCCUCAUCCGGUACCACACCCAGUUUACAAGUAUAAGUCACCUCCACCACCUCCUCAUCCGGUACCCACAGUUUACAAGUAUAAGUCACCACCACCACCUCCUCAUCCGGUAUACAAGUAUAAGUCUCCUCCGCCACCACCACACCCAGUUUACAAGUAUAAGUCACCACCACCACCUCCUCAUCCGGUGCCACACCCAGUUUACCACUACAAGUCACCACCACCACCUCCUCAUCCGGUACCACACCCAGUUUACCACUACAAGUCACCACCACCUCCUCACCCAGUUUACAAAUACGAGUCUCCACCACCACCAGUUUAUAAGUACAAGUCACCACCACCUCCUCCACCAGUUUACAAGUAUAAAUCUCCUCCACCACCACCACCAGUUUACCACUACAAGUCUCCACCACCUCCUCCCCCAGUUUACAAAUACAAGUCUCCACCACCUCCUCACCACUACUAAGCAAUUGCUUCUGAGGUAAUAACACUUGUUCAAUAUACCCACUUCUGCAUGAUAAAGCAUAUCUCUAUCAACACAAACUGUCAUGUCUAUCAUGCUAAGUGCCUUCACUUCAUCCACCAAAAUGACUGCUAGAAAAUUUUUUUUAUGUUACCAAAGAAAGGCAUCAUUUUUUCCCUCUGUUAUCAAGAACUUGUACAGUAUAUAGAUUAAAGAGUAUUUUUUUAACUAGCUUAUCAACUGAGAAAUGCAUAUAGCUGAUAGCCAGCUGAAUAUUUGCAGGCAAAGGAGAAGGAAACCAUGUUUGAGACCUUCUUGAAGAUGUAGAAGCAUAAGAAUAAAAGCCCAAUGUGAAGAUGAUGAUUUCAAGUUUUUCUACGUUACCAUUUCUUUAUCUAAAUUGGUUGUAGCGCCCAAGUUCCUUUGUUUAUGGGAUUUGUAUCGUUUUACGUACCAUGCAGUACAUGUCAUGUUUGUAAGGUUUUCUAUCCUGCCGGCAAACCGCAGGUUCCAUGUGAUAAAUGAAUACUAUUUAUGUUACGACACUUUUCUCUGUUUCUCUUAUAUUUUGUCUUUAAUAUUCUUAAUCAUAUUUUUAACAAAAAUAUUCAAACACUUAGGCAAUCUGGUCUAAUGCUAAUUGUAUGUUUUACUUUUCUUUUUCACCUGCUCCCCUUUUCAACUCAAAAGGAUGCAAUAGUUUGUGAUCACUGUUUAAGACGGAAGCAUGAUACUAAUGAAUAUCUCAUUGAAACUCAAGGAAACUAACAUUGCGAAAAGUGUAAAUCUUGAUUUGAUGCAACUAUUUAUUCGUGGAAUCUAUAGUUACAAAACUCAAAUUCUGACUGCGCCAUUGAUAAAUUAUUAAUGACGCUAUCAUCAUUAUUUAUCCCUAACUAGUUUCGACUACAACUGAACCCAAUAUUUUCCCCAUGAUAAAAGUUUUUGACUAUUUUACUGGCCUCUCUUCAAAUUUUAAAAAUUACACUAAUCUUCAUUGAGAUUAAUUAUCUUGUAACAUUUAAGUCCAAUUAAUAAUUAAAAAAUGAUAUUAUGAGAGAGAAAAUAAUAUAAUUUUAUCAUUGCCCCCCAUCUUGCUAUAUUAUUUAAUUAAUUUAAUAGCAACCCACACAUUAAAGAAAAAUACUAAAAUUUGCUGCUUUUCAUUAAAGAUCAAAUUGCAUAUGCCAUAAAACAUAGUAUAUCAUUCUAUAUGUUUCACUUAAUGUAAGAUCCCAAUUGUUCUUUUCAAUUACAAACCCAUUGUCAAACAUGAUCAAUAACAAAUAAUCAAAAAAUUUGCAACCAAAAUAUUACAAAAAAAAACUUUAACAUCAUAAAUAUUCUUACCACCUCUAGUGCAUUCACCCUCAUAAAAUAAUUCAAGACCCUACUGUCAUAAAAUGACUGAUCAACUCCUGUAAACCUAAUUUGACAACAUUUAAAUGGAGAACUUUAGCUAAAAGAAUUAUGGUCAAGCUAAAGAAAAAACCAGUUAUUUUCCAACAUAUGCAACCAUUGAUCAGGGGAAAAAAAAAAGCAAAAAGACAUCUUCAAUCAUUUAAUAGCUUACAGGGCAAAUUAACCCUUGAGUGAAAACUGGUUGCUCUAGAAUUAAAAUUUUACCUUAGUUACCCAGGCAACUUUUUUGUUGCCUUUUCUUUUUCUUUUUUGGGUAUAUAGCUCCAGUUUUGCCCCCUCUGUCAAGCUUAUAUAAUUAUUAAGAUAAUAAAAGUGCCUUUAAUAGUAUUAAUAUAUCCAUUGACUUGAGCUGUCAUCGAUCGGUUUGGGCUACUUCGAUUCCAUGAGAACAAAUGGUAAUAAAAGUACUCAGAAAAUGGGGAGUCAUGAAACCCUUUUGUUCUAUUCAUUGCUAAGAUGCUUUUCUCUAUAAAGAGACUUCCUAACGAAAAUACUUUGUAGAUUUCUUUACUCCAAGUGGUGCAUGGAAAAUUAAUAUUUUCAAUUAUCAAAUAAAAUUCCCUUUUUUCGGCGUAGAUUUCAUCCAUCCAGCUGUUAACACAUUCUAUAAAUCCGAAUUGACUAAUCUUUUCGUUUCCAUUUUCCAACUUGCGAAUACGGCAUAUAGUGUCUGCUAAACACUAUAUAUUCUCUGCCAAAUAUGAAUACAUAUCACUUUUCUGAGCAAGUGCAGAGUCAUUAUCAUUUUUAUUCCCACCUAACAAAUUAGGGAUAAAAAAGUUAAUAAUCUUUACAUGCUAUCAGGUCACAAGUUAAUAAUCUUUUAAAGAACAUGUUAAAUUAAUUUAUUGGUAUGAAUAGUAGUCAAAGAAGUAUGUUAAAGUUAGUAAUCUUUAAAAUAAUAUGUUAAAAUCAUUCGUACAAAUUAGUCAGAGAAGUAGCAUAAACACCGCGAUGCAAUUAAUACUUUCAAUCUCAAGGUCUCUAUUAUGGAAAUUUGCAUCGGUCAAUAUACACUUGGCAUAAUAUAAUCUCCCAACUCAUUUCUUUACAAAUGCACCUUUAAUCACCACCAAAAGGUGUGGACAUGAUCUUUACCCUAGAAAACUAUUCACCGACAGGCAAAUUGACGUCAGAAAUACUGAGGAAUUCUAGUUUCCUUCGGGUUCAUGCCAUGUUGUAUCCUUCAACUGUAACUCGAUUUCUAAGCUGUAAUUUGUGACAUAAUAGUCCUUAAACUAUGAAACCCUUCUUACUUAAUUACAAUGGUUAAUACAAUGCCCGUGACUAGACAAGUAUGAAGCAACCAUAACAGAAAAAAAAUCCAAAAUUAGAGAAAAGAAAGAAGUUUCGCGACCACCACCAGUUUACAAGUCACCUCCACCACCUCCUCCAGUUUACAAGUCACCUCCACCACCUUACCAUUAUUCCUCACCACCACCUCCAGUGCAUUCACCCCCACCACCACCAGUUUACAAGUCUCCGCCACCACCUUACCAUUAUUCCUCACCACCACCUCCUGUGCAUGCACCUCCACCACCAAUUUACAAGUCACCUCCUCCAGUUUACAAGUCUCCACCACCACCUUACGAUUAUUCCUCACCACCACCUCCAGUGCAUUCACCCCCACCACCACCAAUUUAUAAGUCUCCCCCACCGCCUCCCCCAGUAUAUAAGUCACCACCACCACCUCCUCCAGUAUACAAAUCACCUCCACCACCUCCUCCAGUUGACAAAUCUCCACCACCACCAAUUUAUAAAUACAAGUCUCCUCCACUACCUCCUCCAGUGUACAAGUCAUCACCACCACCUGCUUACAAGUCUCCACCUCCUCCAGUUUACAGUUCCCCACCACCACCAAUCUACAAGUCUCCACCUCCACCCUACCAUUACUACUACAAUUCUCCUCCUCCUCCUCGUCACUACUAAGCAAUUGUAUCCAAGUUUUUGAGGUAAUAACGCUUAACCAAUAAAUUAACUUUCGCAUGAUAAACCUUAUCUCUAUCAAGACAAACUGCCAUGUGUAUCAUGCCAAAUACGUACACCUAGAUCCAUGAAAAUGAAUGGUAGAAAGUUUUCUUAAGAACCAAGAACAGCAUUAGUAUUCCCUCUGCUUCCAAAAACUUGUGUAUUAAAUAGAUUAAUGAAUUGUUUAACAUGCUCAUCUACUUGAAAAUGCACAAUACCCAUAACCCACUGAAAUUUUUGCAGGAAAAGGGAAAGAGAAUCUGUGUUUGAGAGCUUCAUGAAGAUGUUGAAGAAUAAGAAUAAAAGCCCAAUGCAAGGAUGUUUUCAAGUUUUUCUAUGUUUCCACUUUAAUUUGUAAAUUGAAUUUUGCGACUCAAUUAAUUCCCUGUUUGUGAGGUACGUAUUGUUUUACGUACCAUGCCGUACAUUUUUUUUUUCCAACAAACGGUAUCAUGUUAUAGAUAUUAACACUUGACCUUACAAGGAUUAGUUACAAAAAGGGGAUACUACCCUCAACUCUGUCCUAGCUAAAUCAGUCAGCCAUAUUGGGAAAUUAGUUUCCCAUUCAAUAUCAUGUACAAGCUUCACAGCAUAUUGUGCUAAUUGAUGGCUGAUGUGAUUUUCAGUUCUAGGUAUAAACACAAAAGAACAUUUUUCAAAAGCUAGACUAAGUUCCUGCACAUCUUCUAAGAUAGUUGCAGUCGUGUAGUCAUACUCCUUGCGUUUAGUAAUCUGCUCUACCACUGAUUUGCAGUCUGUAUGGACUAUAAUUUGUGUCCAACCUGCUUGGGUAGCCAUCAGCAGAGCAUUUCUCACAGCCCGAGCUUCCACUUCACUUGCCGAUCCCUUUCCCUGUGUGACAAUUCCUUUUGCUUUCAAAAGCUGUCCUUUCCAAUUUCUUGCUAUAAUCCCUUGUCCGGUCCUGACUCGUUUAGCUGAUAUCGCUGCAUCGGUAUACAGCCUUAUCUCUUCCUUCCUUGGCCGCACUCUCCUGGUAGGUAAGGCAUCAUUCAGCUUCCCUGCGAUCUCCUUCUGGUCUGUACUCCCUACCUGUUCAAACUCAAGCCAUUCCUCCUGUGCUUUCCUUACUAUUUUUACUGGAUCCUGGUUGGCUUGUUCAAAAAAUUUUUUGUUCCUGGCUUUCCAAAUUUGCCAAAGGAUAUUGAUAGUAAGACUAACUCUCUCCUGACCUUGGUUCAGUGCCAGCGAUUGUGUGACUUGUUCCCACCAUAACCAAAAGUUAUAUUGCAUACCCAGUAAUCCAUCCCACCUGACCGGUGCUAGCUUCCACGUUUCCACAGCCUUUUCACAGAAGAAAAACAAAUGCUCAAUAGUUUCCAUAUCUUCACCACAGCAACCACAUCUGCCUUCCCCUCUAUGUAGCCUUUUCGACAUCUGUUCAUUGACUGGCAGACAAUUUUGUAAGCACUUCCACAUGAAGUGUUUUAGUUUGGCCUUCACCUUCAAAUGCCAUAGCUGCUUCCACACAUUUCGUUUUCGUAUCUCCCAACUUGUUUCUGCCUCUUGGCCUGUCCUUGUACCUGCUUUUCCUUCCCGUUGCCUUGCUAAAGCAUAACCAGAUUUCACGCUAUAAAUUCCAGCUUUGGAAUGCCCCCAUACCAACCUAUCCUUUCUUCUUCCUAUACUUGUUGGAAUUCCCUUUAUGUGCUCUGCAUCUUUUGCACAAAACCACUUGAGAAGCAAAUCAUUUUUCCAUUUCCCUUCCUCUAUCAGCUCACUUACCCAUUCCAACUUGCAUCCCACAGGUUGUGUGGUUGAUGCAAAGCCGGUAUCUGAACCAACUAUCCAUCUGUCCCGCCACAUGUUGACUGACUUGCCAUCUCCAAUUCUUUUCCAAAGACCAUCAUACAGAAAGGAGGCUGCACUAUGAAUACUCUUCCAACACCAUGAGGCUGAAGAGACUGGCUUCUUGUCCAUCCAUUUUUCAUCACUCAUAUACUUCGCCUUCAUUACCUUACUUACUAACAAAUUUGGAGCCAUUAAGAAUCUCCAAAUUUGUUUUGCCAGUAAUGCUGUGUUGAAGGCCUCCAAAUCUCUAAAGCCUAAACCUCCUCUUCCCUUAACUUCUAAGAGCUUCUUCCAGCUUGCCCAAUGUACACAGGUACCCUUUUCUCCCUUCCCCCACCAGAAACUCGCUAUUUUACCUGUGAUUUGUCUACACAAACCCCUUGGAAGUCUAAAGCAAGCCAUCACAUAUGUUGGCAUAGCCAUAAUCACUGAUUUGACCAGAAUUUCUUUCCCUCCUUGGCUCAACAGUUUUUGUUUCCAACCUUGCAACUUGUUACUAAUUUUGUUCUGGACAAAUGCAAAGACCUGUGUCUUUGAUCUUCCAAUUGCCAUUGGGAGUCCUAGGUAGGUUCCAUUCCUUGCCUCUUUAAUGUUAUCUAAUACCUCCCUCACUCCAUUCUUCCUUUGAUCAGUGGUAUUUUUGCUAUAGAAGAUAGCUGACUUUUCAAAAUUCACCACCUGUCCGGAUGCUUGACCAUAUCUUUCCAAUAUGCUUUUGACCUUCCUCGCCUCCUGCUUGGUUGCUUGGCAGCAUAGUAGAGAAUCAUCUGCAAAAAAUAGGUGAGAAACCAUCGGACUGUCCUUGCAUAUUUUGAUCCCUGUAAUUUCCUUGUUCAUCAUAGCUUUAUGGAUCAAACAUGAAAGACCUUCAGCGCAUAUAAUAAACAAGUACGGGGAUAGGGGGUCUCCUUGUCUAAGCCCUCUACUCGGUUGAACACAGCCUACCUUUUGCCCAUUUAAGUUGAAGGAGUAAGUCACAGUAGAUAGGCAAGACAUGAUCCAUUUAACAAAAAUUGGACAAAACCCCAUUUUCAUCAUAACUCUCCCCACAUAUUUCCAUUCGACUCUAUCGUAAGCUUUGGACAUGUCCAGUUUAAGAGCCAUAAAUCCUACCCUUCCCUUUCUCCUAUUUUUCAAAAAAUGCAGGAUUUCAUGUGCAACUACUACAUUAUCAAGAAUUUGACGGCCUGGGAUAAAAGCGGAUUGAGAGGGACUAAUACAAUGAUGCAAGACACCUUUCAAUCUAUUAGCUAUGAUUUUAGAAAUGAUUUUAUACAGGACAUUGCACAAGCUAAUAGGUCUAAAAUGCACCACAGAUUCAGGAGUAUCAACUUUAGGAAUCAACGAAAUAAUAGUAUCAUUCACAGCUUUGAGCAAAUGCCCAGUAUGAAAGAAACUCUUAAUAGCUGCUACCACAUCAUCCUUGAUAAUAUCCCAAUAGUGUUGAAAAAAUAGAGGAGACAUACCAUCCGUUCCUGGUGCUUUAUUAGGGUGCAUCGAGAACAAAGCUUUCCUGAUCUCACUUUCCUCCACUUGUCGUAUCAGUUGUCCAUUCAUAUGACUCGAAAUAGUGCUUGGAAUUUCAGCUAGAAUGUCCUCAAAGCAGUCCGGGUUAGUAGUGGUAAAAAGGUCUUUAUAGUACUCACAAAGUUCCUCCUCAAUCUCAUGUUCCUCCUUGCACCAUGUCCCAUCUUUUUUCUGCAAUAUAGUGAUCUUAUUUCUCCUCCUCUUUGCCAUGACCGAAGAAUGGAAAAAAGCUGUAUUCUUGUCCCCUUCUUUGAGCCACUUGUUCCUGGAUUUUUGACUCCAAAACAUCUCUUCCUCUGCAUAAGCUUUAUUCAAUUGUGCUUUUAGUUCAGCCACUUGUACUCUUUUCCCUUCAUCCUUUCUUGCUUUCACUUCAGCCAAUUUCUCCUUUAACACUUUAAUUCUAACCUUUGAGUUUCCCUGCACCUUUUUCCUCCAAUCCAGAAUAGCCAUGCGACAUUCCUUUAUUUUUGUAGCCACUCUAAACAUCCUGGACCCUGACUUCACCUUUGUCCAUGCUCCUUGAAUCACCCUUUUUGCUUCUGGAUUUAGCGUCCAUCGUUGAUCAAAGUAAAAUCUCCGUUUUCUCCUUGUGUUUUCCGGGUUUGUAUCCACAAGAAGCAUUAGAUGAUCAGAGGCUUCAGUAUCUAAAUGAGUACACUGUGCCUUUUCAAAUCUUUGCAGCCAUUCGGUGCUGCAUAAACAUCUAUCCAACCUCUCUUUCACUUCCCCAUCCCCCUCCCAACUAUUGCACCAAAUCCACGGGACCCCUUGAUAACCUAAGUCAACCAGGUUAUUGUCUUUGAUAAACCUGUUGAACUCCCUAAAACAUCUUUCAGCUCUAUCCCUUCCUCCCCACUUCUCCUCACUAGACCUCAAAUCAUUAAAAUCUCCUACAAUGAUCCAGCCAUCCCCCCAGUCCCUCAUCCUGUCCUCUAAAUAUUUCCAUUGUGCUUUUCUAAUGUUACUAUCUGUGCUUGCAUAAACACACACUAGCCCCCAGUAUCCUUUAGUAUCCUUGUCCUCAACUCUAGCACUAAUACACCAAUCAGUACUUACAAUCUGGUCUAAAAUCACCUCAUUGUUCCAGAAUAAUGCUAGACCGCCUGCUUUACCUAUUGAAUUCACAAAAAAGCUAUUGUCAUACUGAAUCUUCCUUUGAACCUUGCCCAUAAACCCUUCCUGAUUCUUAGUUUCACAAAGGAACACCACCUUAGGAGAGUGGAAGUUAGUCACUUCCUUUAGUUGGGGACUUGUCAAGGGGCCUCCUACACCUCGACAAUUCCACACCACAACCUUCAUUUACACUUUGGAGGCUUUCCGGGGCUAGCCUCCAUUUCCCCUAUUGUACUAACAUUUAUUAGAUCCAGUUUCAUAACCUUUACCUUCGGUACAUUAUCAUCAUCCUCCUCUAUCGGUUGUGUUCCCUGAAACAUACCAUCAGCCUUCCUUUUAGCACACGAAACCUGCGUUACUUGUCCAUUUGUAUCUGCCUUUAAGGAUGUUUUAGCCGGCCUCCCUCUUCUUUUAAAACUGCUUCUUUUUUCAGCUUUGUUAUCUUCUUCCCCUGGAGUAGCCUCCUUUCUUGGCAUUCUUGCAUUUGUCUCCUCCUGCUUUAUUGACCCUACCCGCAAACUUUCACAUUCCUGUUUUGAGCUGUCCGUUUCCAUAUCCUCAUAAUCUACUGGUGGGAUUACGCUGCUCCCUCCUUUACUCCCUUCCUGUACCCUACCCUCCUUUUCACCAUUUCCCUCCAUUAAGACCACAGCCAAACUUUCCACCCGUUGGUUUGCCUUUCCAUACUGCCUGCUGUCUUUUAGAAUCUCAUCCCACCUCUCUUCAUAUUGUCUCGUCAUCAUUUUCUCCUUAUCCCCCCUUUCCUUUCCCCCCAAGACUCUACCAUUUUUUCCCCCAAGAGUUAAUGUAUCUCCAGCCAUUUGUACUCCAGUUUGAACUUCACUACUAGGAGACCCUGCCCCCACCCUCCUUGCAUCAAUUUCACUUACUCCUUCCAGCCGUCCCUUUAAGGGAGAUACCAUUAUAUUUCCAGCUCUCAUCCAGGCACCAUAUUGUUCCUCUCGCUUCUCCCCCCCACCCUUCCUACCACAGUACAAGUCCUAUCACUAUGCCCAAUGAUACCACACCUAUAACAGAAAUCAGGGCAGCGUUCAUACCUGAACUCAACCCACACUGCCUGGUUCUUACAGUUGAUCUUUGUCCCUCUAACCAGUGGUUUCGUUAUAUCUACCUCAGCCAUAAUCUUCAUGUGGCGACCCUCUUUCCCACCACUUCCUGGGAGAAUCACUCCCCUCACUGAUUUAAAGAUCCCUCCUAUUUUCAAACCCACUGCUCUGCUCAACCAGUGCACCGGUAGGUUCCAUAGUUGAAUCCAAAGAAAGGAAUGCUGGAAAAAGCUGCUGUUUGUAUCAUACCCCUCUACCCACUCCUUCACUAUCAGCAACUGGUUGUCCAUGACCCAAGGCCCUCCAGAUAAGAUCUUUUUCUUUUCCCCUUCAUCUCCCAGAUGGAAAUGGAAUAAGUUAGGACCUAACUCAGUCACUUUCAUCUUUGAGGGGUAUCCCCAUGCAUGAUUUGUAAAGUUCUUUAACCCCGUAAAGUUGGCAAUUUUUUCACCAAUCAGCUUUCCUACCAGGCUUCCUUGACACUCAGAGACGCCUUCUUCCAGGUCCUCACCACUCAGAUCGACACCUCCUAACUCUGUUUCAGACAAGUCAAAAUUUUGAAAGGCUCUUUCUAAAGCAUCCGCCAUUGCUGUGACGAGAGCUCCUUGAGAAACCAAGCACUAUUUCUGAGCUAUGAGUGACCCACUGACAGACCUGUGAAGAAUUGCAAAGACAGACAAAGCUGUGUUAUCCGUACACACUAAAAACCAACCAGAAAAACAGAGAGGAACUCGACAGAAAAAGCACAGGCACAAGAAGAAACGAAAGAAAAAAGAAAAACCAACAAACCACUAUCCCACUCCCGACCACAUAACAGCAUUAAAGAAAGGGACACAAAUACGACACUCCAACUUCCGAUCACAUGCUCUGACUCAAUGGAUCAUAUCUUGCCCAAAGCGUUUACUCCUCCAACCGAUUCCAAACCACUACAGACAUUGUCUCCCAUUUUGAAGCCGGAAGAAAGGUGGCUUCUGGACAGGGAACAUGAAAGCAAAGGUUGAACUAAAGAUUUGAUUUUAGAUCUGAAAAUUACGCUGUAGGAAAAAGUGCUAUGUGUUUGUACCUCACCCACUCUCCCACACCGAGGAGGGGAACCUCUAAAGUUAGAGAGAGAAGCUCUCAAGUUAGAGAGAAGCUUUGGAAGUUAAUUACCAACGUACCAUGCCGUACAUGUUUGUAAGGAUUUCUAUCCUAUUGGCAAAAGUCGGUUCCAUACAAUUAAUCAAUUCAUUUCACUUCUAUUGGCUCUACUAUUUAUGCAUGUUACGACACUCUUUCCCUUAUAUUUUGCCUUUAAUAUUAUGAGUCAAUAGUAAUAAUGGGCCUUUUUCUUAAAAUUAUACUAUUAUACAUAGGUAGUUUGGUCUAACGCUAAAUUCAUGUUUGUCUUUCUUUUAUUCCCUUUACAUCUCAAAGUAUACUAUAGUUUGUAAUCAUUGUGGUGAUGAUAUUACCAGCUGGUACUUAUAGUUUAAGGCAGAGACAUGAUAUUAACAACUAUCUCAUUGAAACAUAAGUCAAAAUCAUGACAAGUGUGAGUCUUGGUUAAUGCACAAUUUGUUAGUGGAAUUUAUAUUUAUAAAACUCAAAAAAAAUUUUUGACAAUGCUAUUACUAAUUAAUUAAGGACUUCAUUGCUAUAAUUUAUCGCUUACUAAUUUAAACUAUAAAUGAUCUCAAUACUUUUCUCCAUGAUGUCGAUUUCUUUAGACUACGAAAGGGAAAAAUUAGUGACAUAUCCCUUACUGAUUACAACAUCAGCAAAAAUUAGUUAUAAACUUUUCCGGUGGUUUUAAAUCCCUCGGGCACUAAGGUUUUUUGCACAUCGAGUGAAUUAAGGAACAUAGGCAAUUCGUUCUGCAUACCAAGUCCUUGUUUAAGAUGCACGUACUAAAAUGCAUCCACUUCAUUAAUUUGGAAAAUUGCCAUAGUUUUUUUUAAGCAUUUUGAUUUUUUACAUGAUUCAAAAUUUUCUUAUUGGAUACAAUCACUUUGUGUCAAGAACACAUUUUCAAUCAUCUUUUUUAUCUUCUCAAUAAGAAAAUAAAAAUUUAUUCAUGCUUUUCUAACAUAUCCAAUCAUUGAUCUGAAAAAUAAAGAAUUAAAAAAAAAAGACAUUUUCAAUCAUUGCUUACGGGGCAACUUCCCCAUGUGAACCUCAUCAAACAAAGCCAAUAAUAUGAAGGAACAUCUAAAUACACUUUUGCCCUAAAGGCUGGUUGCCUUGGGGUCAAAAUUUAACCUUCGGGAGUAUAAUUACCCGCCAAAUUUAUUAUUUUUUUUAUGGGUAUAUAGUUCCAAUUUUGCCUCCUGUUAAGCUUAUAAAUAUAUUACGACCCAGAAAAUAAAGGAAUCUUGAAUAGUAACAUGUCCAUUGACUUGAGUUGUUAUCAAUUUGGCUACUUCGAUUCCAUGAGGCCAAUCCAAUUCACACUAGCUAGAGAAAAUGGUGAUAAAGGCACUUAGAAAUUUAUAUGUAAUAUUGAUUGGUAGUAACUGAUAAGUAUAUAUUUUACGUGUUUUAAAUAUGUUUUAUUAGUUAGUUUUGGUGUGUUUUAACUACUUUUAUAACUAAUUAACUAGGAAUCUAGUGAAAAUAUGCAUUUUGUGGUUUGAAGUGUAAAAAUUGUAUUUCUAUGGAUUUUAAUGGUGAAAACUUCAUGUUUUUGUAGGUUUAAUGAUUCAAUCAUCAAAUGACAUGAUUUGAGAAGAUAAUUAGAUGAUUGAUGAUGUUUUGAAGUGAUAAAAAGAGAAUACAAAGUGCAAGAGAGGAAAUGCAAUCAAGAAUAAAAGAAGAAAAUUUUUGUAGCUUUGACAUAUUGUCGUAUUUCGGCAAUAUAUUGAGCUACAAUGAUCGGAUUAAGGUGAUUCUUAAACCAUUUGAAGCUAAAAUAUAGAUCUACAUUUGGCAUGAAGGCAUCGAAACCCAUGUCAGUCAUUUUCCUUGUCAAAAUGUUGAAAUACAGAAGUGCAACUCUGUUCUCGAAAGCUAAAACAGAGCUCUGGCUAGUCGAGGGUAUUUUCAUCAUUUCUUAGUCCACAGAGCUCCAAAUGAGAUGAUUCUUAAGGCAUUAGAACCCUAACUCAAAGAGCUACAACUUUCAUAUUUUGUACAAGAGUUAGUUCGGCCUCUAUCAUUAAGAAAAUAGUAGUUGAAGUGGUGCCAAAUGCAUAGAAGUGAAAACGCGAGCUAUCAAUACUCGACCUGAAGUCGCGUAUUCCUGAGGUCAUGCAUUCUCUUCUAUUUUCUGCAACUUGCCCUGCUUUCACAUAACUUUUUCAUCUCAAUUCCAACUAUCAAUUUCGGCUAUAUCUGAUCAAGAAAAGUGUGGAAAGUUUGAAAGACAACUCAUAGGAGUUUCAAGAGUCAAAAAUUACAAUUAGAAACAACUCAUUUGGCUCUUGAAUCCUCUAUAAAUAGAGGCCUUUGAAGAACAUUUUCACAACUUUGGAAGGUUAGAGAAACUCCACAAAAACAUAGUCUUCACUAGAAUUUCCUUAGUUCAUUAGUUAGGGUAGUAUAGUAUAGUUAGUGUAGCUUUUCCUUCUUGUAUUUAUAGUUAGGUUUGAAUGAAGAUUCAGGAGCAAAGAUAGAGAGGUUGAUCUCAUGUGACAAGGGUGAUAUCUCUUCUACUACUUUCUCUUUUGUAUUUGAUUUCAUAUUUAACUAUACUACAAAUUUGGCUUUGUUUUUUUUUUUUUAUCAUGUUUAGUUAAAGUUUAUGCCUAGAGUAUGGAUGACCUUUUUAUAUCUUGUUUGUGAUAUUUAACUGGUUAUUUGAUGAUGUUAUUUUUGAGCAAGUUAUUUAUCACUUUUGCUUUUCUAAUCAUGAUUAACUGGCCAUUAGUUGUGAUUAUCUAAAAGUGUUAAGUUUGUAAUGAGAAUUGGAGUUUAACACUAGUUCAAGGAAGUGAUAAAUUUAGGGAGUUCACUCAUGAGAGUAGAGGAACACCUUUGUGACCUAAGUGACUUGUUUCAUAUAAUUUCAUAGAAAAAAUGAACUUGUAAUUAAUUUCAUAACCACGAGAGUAAGUAUGGUUUAGCUAUAUGUAUAGUUGAUUCACUACGAGAGUAGGUUUCACAUACAUUAGAAAAUUACAUCAUAACUAGUCAAGAUAAUAUCAUUCAUUUAAUCAGUAAUCUCAUUUGCAUGAGUAGUAAGGCAUUCCAUAUCUCUAGGAGGUUUUUAGUAUUAUUUUCAUUACUUUUAUGUUUAUGGUAGUCUAGAUAAUAAUGGAGUUCGAAAACUACUAGUAAUUGAAAAUUUUCCCUGUGGGAUCGACCUUUAAUACCCUAUACUCGCUCUCGACUCGUAUACUUGAGAAAAAUCACGUGUGCGGUAUUUAGAAUUUAUAAAUGUAAAACUUGACUGUAGAUGAACUAAUUGAUAUAUGUAUACCCCGCACUCGUCAGUAACCAGCUUGUAUUGAUCCCACUAUUGUGGAUAAUUGUGCUCUUAUGAAAAAAAAUUAUAAAAAAAUUAGCAAAAUUUAUGAUAACAAAUUAAAUUUAUUCAUACAAAUCAGUGAAAGAAGUAGAAUUUUAAAGUCCAUGAUGAAAUUAAUACUUUCAAGGGCUCUAUUAGGAAGACUUCACUUGUUGGUGAAACUACACUAGCACAGUUAUAUGCACAUUUACUGUUUUGGUAUCUAAUUUCCUUGCCUUAAGUUGGGUGCAGAUGUUUAUAUUACAAAUAGAUGGUAUCAUAAAAUUGUUGUAUUCACGUUUGUUCUUUUUUUUCUUCCUUAAGUUUUUUUCUUUAUUCUCGUGACUUCAAAAAUACGAACUCAAGAAAUUGGCUGCUUAAUCAAUAUGUCAUACAGGCUUCGCUAGUGAGGUAUAACUUCACAACUAGAGUCAAUAGAAAUUAUCAAAUGAUUUUUUAACAUCCAAAUUAAGCAAUAAAUUUUGUUUUCAUUUUAUGACAUAUAAUAGUACUACUUCAUGAGAGAUUUUAUAGUUUCUUUUAGGUAUCAUACCUACAAGUGAUAUUUGUCAUUGGAUAGUGACAGAAGUGUUAAUGAUUGUAAGAUUAAAUAUUGUUAAAUAUUGAAAUUUAAACUAUUUAUCUUUAUUGAAAGAUACAAGUUAAAGAAUCGUUCAAGGGGGCAAUUUUCCAUCUUGUCUUUUUGAAAAAACGCUAUCACAUUGUAUAGGCAUGAUAGGUUCAAAUUUGUCAUUAAAUUUAUGAUUGAUUUUCCUUUUAUUCAAGCCAAAUAUUGUUUUAAUUAUCAAAUUCUACUUAUAUUUGGUUAAUUGUACUAAUUGUAGGGCGGUAGAGCAAAAGUUGCUAAAAAUAGGCGAUUUUCUGCAAAUUGGUUGUCAAGGCUGAAGGAUUUGGGAUUCGCAUGUUCAAGGCCUGUUUCCAAGUUUGAUUCAAACUCUGGACAGUUUUAGAGGAAGAUUUGGAAGAUUUGAAAUUUCAUUAUUAGUUUUAUGGUUGAAUUAGGAAUCUUGGAAUAAUUUCUUUUGUGAUUUAUUUUUCUAUUUAGGAGACUAGUUGUUAUUUAGUAGUAGACUUCAAUUAGAAAACAAAGAGAAAAAGAAGGCCGGAAUCCCGCUUGAUUAAUACCUUGGCCAGGGAACAAUCUCGGUGGGGAGGACGGCCACUUAGCCUCUCAAUUCAUCUUGCUUUUCGUUAGUUUGAGAGGAAAACCAAUUGCAACUAGAUUCAAUGGAGUCUGGCAGAAUUUCUUCUAGGAUGCGUAGCUAAAUCCUCAAUUUUUAGUCGAAGGUCAAUUUGAAAAUUCGGUUCCAAAUAUCUGUGAAAUCGAAUUAUUUUACUUAUUUCUUUUAUUUAUUGGUAUUCGCACGUUUUCUGAUUUAACUUUUUAUGAUUGUUUUGUUAUUUGAAUGUCAAGGGUCCGAUAUUCGAAUUAACUUAAUAAUCUACUGCCAAAUUAACCGGUUAAAUCCGUAAUUGUUUGAUUGAUUAAUAUCAGUGGCGACUAGCGUGAUUGGUCCCAUGUUAGGAAAACGUCUGAUCUAAUUUAAACAAACCGUCGUAGCGUGUUUGUUGAUUAGGGUUGGGCUUUUCUAAUUCUUAAUUCAAUUGAGAAAUUAAAUCCCCCGGUCGUACCUAGGAUUAUUUUUUUGUUAGCGAAAUAGUUAAUGGUCGUACCUUGACUAUCGAAAAAGUAAGGAAGAGUUGAUUGUUUAUCGCGUGUACGACAACUAUAAUCAAUCUAUUAAUGAGUAAUUGAAUUAUCUUUGCAUCAGUAAUCAGUUGAAUGGACCGUGUCUGAAAAGUUGUACCUUUGGCUAGAGUCUUAUCUGUUGUUGAUUCAUUCAUAUCUAUCUUCAUGCGUUGUUUUAAUUUAGUUAAUUAGUUAUUUUUAUAAAAACCCCUCAUCUCUGGACUCUAAAAGAAAUAAAUUAUUUCUAGUUCCUGUGGAUUCGAUCCUACUCACCAUACAAUCCAACCUGCAAUUGUAUGAACCCCAAUCUCGCUUCCUAGUCCACCAUUUUUCUCUAGGUAAUAAUCUCCCUUCUAAUUUCUUCACAAAAUGCACCUUUCAUCACCUCCAAUAGCGUCGACAUGAUCUUUACCCCAGAAGACUAUUCACCGACUCUCAAUUGACGUUAGAAAAUCUAAGAGUAAUUCUACUUUACCCUAAGAUUGAUAUCAACAAGACAAGGACAAUUUAGAAUUAUUACACGCCUCUUCUUAAUAGGAAAAAGAAAUAGAGAAGAAAGUCAGGCCAGGUCUAAUUUCUUUUCAAAGGCAAUACAACAUUACGAAAUCAAGCAUUCAUUCAUACAAAUAUUUCAUAGUCACCGGUUUGCUGAGUAGAAAAAUUUAGACAAAAACUUAAUAUUAUAUUGUUUAAGAGUUAACAAUUUAGAGCUUAAUCUCCUUGUACUUUGGAGUUAACAAUUUAGAGCUUAAUCUCCUUGUACUUUGGACUAAACUUGAACGUGAAAGGAAAUCCCAAAACCAUAUUGGGCAUGAAUUCACACUUAAUAUACCCAAUAAAAGAUGGCGACUGGUGAAAGGCAGUGGAGACUGGUGGAGAGAUUUGAGGAAUAGAAGCAGACGGAAAAGCAACAAAUUUUUGCCGAAAAACGGUCACUUUCAUGGUUAAUUUUGCUACUCUCCAAUUGUACUUGACCAAUUACAACAAUUUCAUGGAGUUUGAUACGUGAAAAGAAUUUUUUAUAAAUUUUAUUUUGAUCCAUAAUGUUAUCUUUACAUAUAUAAAACAUUUUACAAUUUUGAUUUUGGCGCAGUUAACUUUUGGUAAACAAAAAUGCUCAUGUUUAAAAAACCGGAAAUAAAACAAAACAAGAAACAAAAGAAAUAAGAGGGUAGCAUAGACAUUUUGGAUUUUUCCGUUAAUUUGGAUGAUUUCCACCCACGUUCUAAUUUAAUCCAAAACACAAAGGAAUUACGUAGAGGUUUUAAAUAAUGAGGGAGCUUCAUGAUCGAACCCCAAACCACAAGGCGAUUUACUAUAUUUUACUCUUAAAUUUUGGUUUCAUCUCAUAGCAUACAAGAGUUCUAUUUCACUAUCUGUAGACAAAGACUUUCUAUGGUUGAUGUACCAUAGGAAAAAAUCUGCCUAUACAACGUGAUAGCAUUUUUUCAAAAACACAAGAUGGAAAAUUGCCCCCUUAAACGGGGAAAUUCAUGAUCUUUCCUCGAACAAAGAAUACUCACGCCUAUUCAAGAUGGAAAAUUGCCCCCUUAAACGUCUAUUUGUCAAUUCUUGAAAAAAGAAUACUCACGCCUAAAACACGGCCUCUUCAUCUGCAGAAUUCUAAAAAGUUAGGUAAACUCUAUAAACAAGUUGAUAGGUACAAUCGUACCCAAGAUCAAGUACAGAUAGUUGUACAUUCACUGCUGCAAUAACUAAUCUGAUGACUUACAAACAUAUCAUGGUCAAUCGUUGAAUGGUAAUGAGUCUUUUGUUAUGCAUUAGUAUUAGUGUGUACACUCUAAUAGAUUGAUACUUAUACUCUUUAAAUUAUCAUAAUAAUACCCUUAAUUAACUUUAACUCUUAAAAAGAAUACGUGUUAAUACACGAGAGUGUGUAACCUGAAUUGUUACUUAUACAUUAGUGUGUAAUAGAUAGGGAUGGCAAUGGGGGCGGGUGCCCGCAGGCAACCGCCCCGCGGGGGGCUCUCGGGGCGGGGAGGGGGGAAUUUUUUCCCCCCGUUUAGAAACGGGGCAGGGGACGGGGGAGUAUACCCCCGCCCCAUCCCCCGCAAAAAAAAUUAUAUAUAUAUAAUUAUAUAUAAUAUGUAAUUUAAUUAGUUAUAAACUUAUGAUAAUGAUAUUAUUAGUUAGAUGUAUUAUAUAAUGUAUAUUAGUGUAUGUAAUAUAAUUAAUAUUAUCAAUUAUACGAAUAAUUAGACAUGUCUACUAAUAGAAUUUAUUAAUUAGUUAUACUAAAUUUACUAAUACAUUUAUACUAAAUUUCUAAUUACAUUUAAUAGAAUAACACUUUUUUCUAAAAAAAAAAGCACAAACACAAUAAUGAAUUAGUGAUUGUAUUUUUACCAAAAAUGAAAACUUAACUAUUUUAGUUGCAUUUAUUUCAUCAUGUUGGAUUGUAUUCAAAUAAUUUUUGUUUGAUUGUUUUUAUGAGUUUCAAUUGUAAAAUUAAAAUGAAUAAUAACUUGAUGAAUAAUAAUGUCAAUCGUUGAAUGGUGUGUACACUCUAAUAUUAUGCAUUAGUAUUAGUGUGUACACUCUAAUAGAUUGAUACUUAUACUCUUUAAAUUAUCAUAAUAAUACCCUUAAUUAACUUUAACUCUUAAAAAGAAUACGUGUUAAUAACUCUUAACCUGAAUUGUUACUUAUACAUUAGUGUGAAAUAGAACGGCAAGCAUUGAGCAACUUAUAGGAGAAAUAGUCCUAUAAGCUGUUGGAUGACUAAUAUAGCUCUAGCUGUAAUGUUUUAAUUAAAUUACAUCACUAACGUUGGGAUGACUAAUGGUUUAAAAAUAAUUGAGUAAUUGGAAAAAAAAAAAGAGACUAAUUUUCAUUGAAACCCACCGACAAACUAAACGUGUCCAUGGCUUUUGAAUAGUGCAUUCAACGUUUAAUUGUAUAGUCCAGUUCAUUGCAGAUUACAUGGAGUAAAGAUUGUGCUCUUUCCUUUUUCACCCCUUUUGGAAUCGAUACUGUGGAGAAUUGGGUUUUUCCCUUCUUUUUUUCUUUUCUUUCUUUCUGUGCUUUGCAAAACAUAGGUAAAAUUAUGAAAUCCGAAGCAUUCUUUAAUUGGGAUUAAGUAUUGUUCUUGAAAUUAAAAAGAAGAAAGAAAGAACAACAAAAUUCCCUGAUUGGUUGCAUCGUGCUUCCAUAGAAGCUCUCUUAGUGUGAUACACUGCUUUCAAUCAGUUUAACAUGGAAAAAAGAAAGAGAUGAAAAGCAAAUUUGGUGGGGAUAAUUUCAGAAACCUCCCCUGAAGAUUUUGACUAUUCUACUGGUCUCCCUUCAGAUUUUAAAAAUUACACUAAUCUUCCUUGAAGUUAUAACAUUUAAAUUCAAUCAAUAAUUUAAAAAAUGAUAUUAUGAAAGAGAAAAUAAUAUGAUUUUAUCAUUGCCCCCCAUCUUACUACAUUAUUUAAUUAAUUUAAUAGCAACCCACACAUUAAAGAAAAAUAUAAAAUUUGUUAUUUAUCAUUAAAGAUCAAAUCGCUUAUAACAUCAAAUAAUAGUAUAUUAUUUAUAUUUUUCACUUAACAUAAUAUCCAAAUUACUCUUUUCAAUUACAUACUCAUUGUUAGACAAUCAACAACAAAUAACCAAAAAAUUUGCAACCAAAAUAUUACAAAAAAAAAUAAACUUUAACAUCAUAAAUAUUCUUAUCAACAUAUUAAAGUUAGUUACUGAAAUUUUUAUGGUGUUAAACUUCACUCUUUGUAAUAUUUUGGUUACAGAUUUUUUUUGAUUAUUUUUUAUUAAUUAUGUUUGAUGAUGGGUUUGUAAUUGAAAAGAAUAAUUUAAAACUUACAUUAAGUGAAAUAUAUAGAGUGAUAUACUAUUUUUUAUAACAUAUGUGAUUCAAUCCUUCUUGAUAGGAUUGGUAAUAGAGGUAGAGGGGGGAGUCGGCUGCAUCCGGUCUUCUUUUCAUAGAUAGUACAAUAUUGCGAAAUCAAUCGCAUUCACACAAUAAUAUUUCGAAGUCAAUGCAUGGCUAAGUUGCAUAAAAGUACGAACACUUGUUAUUAUAUAGCUUAAGAUUCAAAACUUUAGAGCAUAACCCUCCACCUAACACAAUUGAAUAAUGAAUAUUCACGUUUGUCAAAUCUGUCAAAGCACAGUUUGAGGACAACCCAUUCCAACCUGCAAAAGAUUUUUUACUUUUCUAAAGUUGUUGAGAGCUGUAAAAAGACCUACCAUGCUUACAUCCUCCGAGCCUUGGGAGUUAAAAAUGAAGGCACUGAGUGCUAUAAAAAGGGGGCUAGAGGCUGCCUAGAAGCAUAUCAGCCUAAAACAAGAAUUUGUUGUUAUGAUGGGAAGCAAAGCAAAAGCAAUGGGGUCUGGGCUGACUCCUCUUCUUGCCACUGUUUUAGUGGUAUUUGUUGCUCUUGGCUUGCCCUCAGAAACAGCAGCUGAUGAUCACUACAAGUAUUCAUCUCCUCCUCCUCCUUACCACUAUCCCUCACCACCGCCUCCAGUGCAUUUACCUCCACCAGUGUACAAAUACAAGUCCCCACCACCACCUCAUCAUGUUUACAAGUACAAAUCUCCACCACCCCCACCACCACACCCAGUUUACAAGUAUAAGUCACCACCACCACCUCCUCAUCCGGUACCACACCCAGUUUACAAGUAUAAGUCACCACCACCACCUCCUCAUCCGGUAUACAAGUAUAAGUCUCCUCCGCCACCACCACACCCAGUUUACAAGUAUAAGUCACCACCACCACCUCCUCAUCCGGUACCACACCCAGUUUACAAGUAUAAGUCUCCUCCGCCACCAGUUUACAAAUAUAAGUCUCCUCCACCACCACCUCCAGUGUACAAGUACAAGUCUCCACCACCACCAGUUUACAAGUACAAAUCACCACCACCUCCUCCCCCAGUUUACAAAUACAAGUCUCCACCACCACCAGUUUACCACUACAAGUCACCACCACCUCCUCACCCAGUUUACAAGUACAAAUCUCCUCCACCACCAAUUUACCACUACAAGUCACCACCACCUCCUCCCCCAGUUUACAAAUACAAGUCUCCACCUCCUCCUCACCACUACUAAGCAAUUGCUUCUGAGGUAAUAACACUUGUUCAAUAACACUUGAUAGCCAGCUGAAUAUUUGCAGGCAAAGGAGAAGGAAACCAGUGUUUGAGACCUUCUUGAAGAUGUAGAAGCAUAAGAAUUAAAGCCCAAUGUGAAGAUGAUGAUUUCAAGUUUUUCUACGUUACCAUUUCAAUAUCUAAAUUGGUUGUAGCGCCUUAGUUCCUUUGUUUAUGGGAUUUGUAUCGUUUUACGUACCAUGCAGUACAUGUCAUGUUUGUAAGGUUUUCUAUCCUGCCGGCAAACCGCAGGUUCCAUGUAAUAAAUCAAUACUAUUUAUAUUACGACACUUUUCUCUGUUUCUCUUAUAUUUUGUCUUUAAUAUUCUUAAUCAUAUUUUUAACAAAAAUAUUCAAACACUUCAGCAAUGGUUCACCUAGUUGAUCAUCGAAGCAGAGGCAAUUCCAAUUAUUUAUCAAUAAAUAGGAUAUAACUACCAAACAAGCGAUGGCAGUUAACCCCUCCUUACUGUGUCGGUGAUCAAGGUACGCCCGUUAAUCACUGCUCUAAUUGAGAAAUAAUCCUAAGUACGCCCGUAGAAUUUAAUUCCCCAAUUGCCUUACAUAUUAGAGGAGCCCUAUUCUAACCAAAUAACGCACUAUCAGGGUUAUUUUAGAUUAGCCCGCGUAUUCCCCUGACAUAAAUCUAAUCAUGCCAGUUGUCAUUAUUUUGAGGUAAUUAAACAAUUACGGAUUUAACACCUCAAUUGACAAUAGAUUAUUAAAUUAAUUAAUUAUUCGGAUCCAAGACAAUCAAUUAAUUAAACAACCAUAAGCACUACAAUCAGAGAAUAUGCAAAUACCAAUAAAUAAAUAAAAAAUAAAAUUAAAUCGAUCUCACAAUUUUUAGGCGAAUCAGAGCAUCCGUUGUCCCUUGACUAGAGCAAGGAAAUUAGUUCAUAUUUGAUGAACUAAACCCAUACAAAAGGGAAGCGAGAAAUGCAGCCAUUAUCCUUUGAAAUCUGGAAAAUUCAACUUGUCCGAAUAUCGAAUAGAUAGUAAUACUACAAAAGGUAAUUCAUAGCUUCCCUUUCGUCUGACACACAAGAAGAAAAAAAAGGGCUGCUAAUAACUAAAGGAGGAAAAGUCAAAGUCCUAAGCUAUGCUACAAGACGAAAAACUAAAGAAGACAAAAAGGCAGUGCUCAUUCCCUGCAAUCUCAAUUCCUAUUCUAUCUAAGUGCUCUCCAAUGUGCGGCGGCUCCCCUUCCGGAGAGGACGAAGUGGCACCCUUUUUUCCUGCGCAAUUUUCCUAUAUAAAGUAGUGCUCCUUGCAGCGGCUCCUGUGCGAAAAAAUGAAGACUUCGGCCCAAUUUGCCUAACAAGGGCUCACGUUUUGUUGUUCUAAAAAUGUCCCUAGGACAAACUCUAUCAUCUGAACUCUUUUCUUGCCAAAUUAGUACCUGUUAUUAUAUUUUCGUUCUACUCCCUGAAAUAAAUGCAAAAUAUCAAAAGUGAGUAGAAUCUAGCAAUUAAUCCACAUUAGGUCAGGUAAUAGGGAAAAUUAAUAAUAAAAUAAAUGAUAAAAUUGCAAUCUAUCACGGGACCACUGUGGUAAGGUGUGUUUCGCCUAUUAUAAGGAGUUCGGAGAGUUAGACGUGUUGGAGGCGGAGGCGCGGUCACUCCUGCACGCCCUCCAGCUGUGUGCAGAUCGCGAGGUACGGGCGUUGACUGUAGAAUCUGAUUCAAAGGUGCUUGUUCAACUAGUUUGCUCGGAUAUGAGGUCGAAGUGGCCGGUGUGUAUCGUAUUGCGGGAAAUAAGACAUUUGAUCCGGCGGAUGGGUGCAUCCCUUCAUCAUAUAUUCCGUGAGGCCAAUUCGGUGGCGGACGCAUUGGCUUCUCUGCAAUUGGGAGGGCAGCAGUACUACACCUCAGGCGUGGCGCUGCCUUUCAGGCCCAGAGGAGAGGCUCUGCUGGAUCGUCAAGGAGUACCUCGCAUCCGUGAGGCGCUCACUAAGGUUUGAUAGGCUAUGUCCUCCUUUCAAAAAACUUAUUUCAUCUACUCCUUGUAAUCAUUUUUCUUAUCAAUAAAUUGAGGCUUUUUAUUUAAAAAAAAACAUAUAAUUUAAGGCAAAAAUAUGAUCCUAGCGAGUAUCGCACUGAGACAUUAGGAAACAUCAUUAAAAGAGUAUUUCUUGAGUUAGUGCAACUAUUUCUUAGGGGAAUUUAUAGUUACAAAAUUCAAAAAUUUGAGAUUCUAUUACUGAUUAAUUAAGGGCGUUAUCACUAUUUUUCUUAUUAUCACCAUUAUUUACCCCACAUACUAUAAGUUUUUUUAGGGCACAGGAAAAGAGGUGGGCCGAUGUUUAGUUAUGUACAAAAGUUCAAAAUUUGUAGAUAACUUAUCAUGUGCCCUUAGAGCGUAGAAUACAGAAAAAAUAUCUUAAACUAUAACUAAUCCUAAUAUUUUUCUCUAUGAUAAACUAGCUCUUAUCCAUUUCUUUAGAUGAUGAAAGGAAAUAGUUAGUCACCUGUCCUCUAGUGAUUACAACAGCAUCAAAACAAAUUAGCACUCUUUUCCCGUAGUUUAAAAAUCCCUCAGCCACUAAGAUUUUGCAUGUCGAACGAAUUAAGGAACAUAGAAGGUUCGUGCUGCACCACAGUGUCCUUGUUGACGAUGCAAAGACAGAAAUGCAUCCGCGUAUACUUCCUUAAGCAUUUUGAUUACUUUAUGAUUCGAACUUUUCUUGUCUGACAGCUGGACUUAAUUGAAAAACACAAGUAACAAUAUUUCAAAGUUGAUUCGUCAAAGUUUACCCAAUUGGUGAAACUUUCUUCAUAGAGCUGACUUUGUAUUAGGUGACAAUGAUAUGGAAUUGAUGUCCUUCCCUUUUUCCUUUUUUUGUGUUGAAGACGCACAACGUUUUCAAUGGCAAAUUUAUAUGGGCUUUUCACGACAAAAUGUGUUCUGAAAAGUUCAUUCCAGAGGUUAAAAUUUUGUGUGUUAAAAAUUUGCUUCUCAGGACUUUGAUGGGAAAGUCUUGGUGUUUCCAAAAAGUUUAAGCAGGAUGCUUCUGGCUUUCUCUCCAUGUAUUUGUGAGUUAGAUCUAAAAUUAUCAGGGCUCCAGAGAUCUCUUGAAAUCGCAGCAUAUAUUGAAGUCUUUCCAGAAGGAGUCUUUUUUUUUUUUUUUAUGAAUUAUGAUAGAUAAUUAAUCUGACGGUGCAUAUAUAUAUAUAUGUGAUUUGCAGUAGGGUGUUUGACGAAAUGGUUAGGCUUCCUAAGUAAUGAUAGGAAUGCCAUUUGCAAAGAAGGACAGGGGGCUGGUGCUGUCAUAUUUUAUGCGAUUUGAUCCGUUGUUGUAUAAGUUUAAACUUUUGACGUGCAAUUGUGCUAUAAUAUUAUACUAAAUAUAUGUGUGAAAUAUUUUGUCUAUAUACAUCACUUUUAUCAUGAAUACAACAGCUGAGUAUAAUAAUAUAGUAUAAUGUAAUUGUACACCAAAUAAUGUAGCAAAUAUAACAAUUGAUCCGAAUUACACGGAACCAUAACAACAAGAUCACCGCCUCCCAAAUUUUACAAAAUUAGGUUUUUUUUUUUUCUCUUAGAUUAUUGAAAAUUUUCAAAAAUAAUCUACAUAAUUUAAGCUUUUGUCCUACAAAAAUUUGAAGAGAUUUUACAUUACAAGCUUAAGCUUAGAUAUAUUAAACUUUGCCCCCAAGAUUAAUUUUCCGUUUUUAUCUAUGAACCGAUCCAUAUAGCUAGUUAGACUGUAGUCCUCACAUUUGUGGGAUUUAACACCCAAGAUUCUCCUUCUUGGAAUGUAAAAUGUAGAUCUUCUAUGUUAAUAAUUCAAGACCCUACUGUCAUAAACGAAAUGACUGAUCAACUCCUGUAAACCUAAUUUGACAACAUUUAAAUGGAGAACUUUAGCUAAAAGAAUUAUGGUCAAGCUAAAGAAAAAGCCAGUUAUUUUCCAACAUAUGCAAUCAUUGAUCAGGAAAAAAAAAAAAAAGCAAAAAGACAUCUUCAAUCAUUUAAUAGCUCACAGUGCAAAUUAACCCCUAAGCGAAAACUGGUUGCUCUAGAAUCAAAAUUUUACCUUAGUUACCCAGGCAACUUUUUUGUUGCUUUUUUUUUUUUCUUUUCCUUUUUGGGUAUAUAUAUAGCUCCAGUUUUGCCCCCUCUGUCAAGCUUAUAUAAUUAUUAAGAUAAUAAAAGUGCCUUGAAUAGUAUUAAUAUAUCCAUUGACUUGAGCUGUCAUCGAUCGGUUUGGGCUACUUCGAUUCCAUGAGAACAAAUGGUAAUAAAAGUACUCAGAAAAUAGGGAGCCAUGAAACCCUUUUGUUCUAUUCAUUGCUAAGAUGCUUUUCUCUAUAAAGAGACUUCCUAACGAAAGUACUUUGUAGAUUUCUUUACUCCAAGUGGUGCAUGGAAAAUUAAAAUAUUCAAUUAUCAAAUAAAAUUCCCUUUUUUCGGUGUAGAUUUCAUCCAUCCAGCUGUUAACACAUUUUAUGUAUCCGAAUUAUAUAUUCUCUACCAAAUAUUGUAACUUUUCUGAGCAUCUUUACAUUUUUAUUCCCACCUAACAAAUUAGUUGUUGAGCAUCUUUACAUGCUAUCGGAUCACAAGUUAAUAAUCUUUUAAAGAACAUGUUAAAUUAAUUUAUUGGUAUGAAUAGUCAAAGAAGUAUAUUAAAGUUAGUAAUCUUUAAACACCACGAUGCAAUUAAUACUUUCAAGCUCAAGGUCUUUUUUUUUUUUUUUUUUGGUACUGUACUUCCUUGCUUUAUAGUAUGCACGUUUAUUUCUGUGGAUUGCUUAAGCUUAUAUUGUUAAUAAUUGGGCAUUUAACCAUAAAUUAUAAUGAUUAUGAAGUCAUAUAUAUAUAUAUAUAUAUAAGAAAAUUACCACAAUUAUUCAAUUUUUUUUGCAAAUUCAAAUUUUAUUAAUAAGAAAUAGGCAGUAAGCUUUUACAAACGGAAAAAAAAAAUCCUACAACAACUCUAGGACCUUUGAAAGAAAGAAAAAAAAAAGAAAAGAAAAGCUUAAGGACUCUACCUCAUAGAAGCUAAACAAUCCUACAAAUAAACUGCAAAAUAAAUCACAAUAACGCAAAAUUUUUGUCUUUCUUCCGUAUGAAAUGAAACUACGAAGUCAAGAAUUGACUCCUUUAACCGCUAUUGCCAGCGGGCUCCGUCAGCAAGAUACAACUUUGCAAUUUGAUUCAAUAGAAAUCCUCAAAUAGCUAUUUUGACAGGCAAAUUAAGCAUUAAUUUUGGUAUCCCUUCAUAAAAUACAAGAGUACUUUUGAUUAUAUCUAUAGAUCAACUUUCUAGGCUAUUUUGAUGUAUUAUAAGAAAAUCUGCCUCAACAAUUUUGAUAGCAUUUUUCCAAAAGCAGAAGAUGGAAAAUUGCCCAUUUGUACUGGGGAGUUCGUGAUCUUUUCCUCCUUCUAGUCUACUUACAAUUCUUGGAAAAAGGAAUACUCACAUCUCAAACAACUGCCUGUUCAUCUGCAAUGUCCUGCCGAAUUCUAGAAAGUUAGGUGGCAAUGCUAAUUACAUUUCAAAAUUGACUGCUGCGAUGACUAAUUCGAUGGCUUACUACAUGGUCAACGUUUGGAUCCCUUCCUGUCCUUUUUGGAUGCACAUUUUUUUUCUCUAGGCAAUAUAUAAUCUCCCAACUCAUUUCUUUACAAAUGCACCUUUAAUCACCACCAAAAGGUGUGGACAUGAUCUUUACCCUAGAAAACUAAUCACCGACAGGCAAAUUGACGUCAGAAAUACUAAGAGGAAUUCUAGUUUCCUUCGGGUUAAUGCCAUUUUGUACCCUUCAACUGUAACUCGAUUUCUAAACUAUAAUUUGUGACAUUAUAGUCCUUAAACUAUGAAACCCCUCUUACUUAAGUACAAUGGUUAAUACAAUACCCGUGACUAGACAAGCAACCAUAACAAAAAAAAAUCCAAAAUUAGAGAAAAGAAAGAAGUUUCGCGACCAAAGUAUGUAUCAAGGCAUAGUAUAGAAAUAAAAGUGUCCAAAUUAAGAGUUUAGGGAUAAAAGAGAUCAAGAUAUAGUUUAGGGAUUGAUUUGUCUCAAUUAGAGUUUUGAUGUCAACUAAGAAGAGAGAUAUAGUUGAAGGGUAGAAUAUAGAUAUAACAGUUCAAUGAUUGAUAUCAACGAGACAAUGACAACUUUGGAUUAUUACCAACCUCUUCUUGAUGGGAAAAGGAAAUAGAGAAGAAAGUCGGGCCUGGUCUAAGCCUGCUUCGGAGGCAAAACAACAUUAUGAAAUCACCGGCAUUCACACAAAUAUGUCAAAGUCACCGGCAUGCUAAGUUGCAUAAUUUAUACAAACACUGAAUAAUAUAUUGUUCUUAAAAUUUUUGUUUAAGAUUUAACAAUUAGAGCACGGUACACGAAUUAGCAAUAUUAAAUAAUGAAUGUUCACGAUUGAUAAAGUUAUCAAAGUACAGUUUGAGGACAACCCAUUCCAACGUGUACAAGAUGUUUAGCCUUUGAAAAGUUAAUUAGAGAAGGUGACGAGAUUUUACUAGGCUUAAAUCUUCUAGGCCUCGGAAGUAAAAAAUGAAGGCCUUUGAGUGCUAUAAAAAGGGGGCUAGAUGUUGCCUAGAAGCAUAUCAGCCUCAGACCACAUUUUGUAGCAAUGGGGAGCAAAGCAAAAGCAAUGGGGUCUAGGCUGACUCCUCUUCUUACCACCGUUUUAGUGGUAUUUGUUGCUCUUGGCUUGCCUUCAGAAACUGUGGCUGAUUACUACAAGUAUUCAUCUCCUCCUCCUCCUUACCAUUAUUCCUCACCACCACCUCCUGUGCAUUCACCUCCACCACCGCCAAUUUAUAAGUCACCCCCACCACCUUACCACUACUCCUCACCGCCACCUCCAGUGUAUUCAUCUCCACCACCACCUUCGCCAGUUUACAAGUCUCCGCCACCACCUUACCAUUAUUCGUCACCACCGCCUCCGGUGCAUUCACCUCCACCACCACCUGUUUACAAGUCACCUCCACCACCUUCGCCAGUUUACAAGUCUCCGCCACCACCUUACUAUUAUUCGUCACCACCGCCUCCGGUGCAUUCACCUCCACCACCACCGAUUUACGAGUCACCUCCACCACCUCCUCCAGUUUACAAGUCUCCGCCACCACCUUACCAUUAUUCCUCACCACCACCUCCAACGCAUUCACUCCCACCACCAGUUUACAAAUCACCGCCACCACCUCCUCCUAUGUAUAAGUCCCCUCCACCACCUUAUCAUUAUUCCUCACCACCACCUCCAGUGCAUUCACCCCCACUGCCACCAAUUUACAAGUCUCCGCCACCUCCAAUCUACAAGUAUAAGUCACCACCACCUCCUCCCCCAAUUUACAAGUCACCACCACCACCUCCUCCAGUAUAUAAGUCCCUACCCCCACCAGUGUAUAAGUACAAGUCUCCACCACCACCUCCUCCAGUAUACAAAUCACCUCCACCACCUCCUCCAGUUUACAAAUCUCUACCACCACCAAUUUAUAAAUACAAGUCUCCUCCACCACCUCCUCCGGUUUACAAUUCCCCACCACCACCAAUCUACAAGUCUCCACCUCCACCCUCCCAUUACUACUACAAUUCUCCUCCUCCUCCUCCUCAUCACUACUAAGCAAUUGUAUCCAAGUUUUUGAGGUAAUAAUGCUAAACCAAUAUAUUAACUUUCGCAUGAUAAACUUUAUCUCUAUCAAGACAAACUGCCAUGUGCAUCAAGCCAAAUACGUACACUUCGAUCCAUGAAAAUGACAAGUAGAAGGUUUUCUUAAGAACCAAGGAACAGCAUUAGUAUUCCCUCUGUUUCCAAAACUUGUGUAUUAAAUAGAUUAAUGAAUUGUUUAACAUGCUUAUCUACUUGAAAAUGCACAAUACCCAUAACCCACUGAAAUUUUUGCAGGUAAAGGGGAAGAGAAUCUGUGUUUGAGAGCUUCAUGAAGAUGUUGAAGAAUAAGAAUAAAAGCCCAAUGCGAGGAUGUUUUCAAGUUUUUCUAUGUUUCCACUUUAAUUUGUAAAUUGAAUUUUUCGACUUAAUUAAUUCCCUGUUUGUGGGGUACGUAUUGUUUUACGUACCAUGCCGUACAUGUUUGUAAGGAUUUCUAUCCUAUUGGCAAAAGUCGGUUCCAUACAAUUAAUCAAUUCAUUUCACUUCUAUUGGCUCUACUAUUUAUGCACGUUACGACAUUUUUUCUCUCUUUCCCUUAUAUUUUGUCUUUAAUAUUAUUGAGUCAAUAGUAAUACUGGGCCAUUUUUUUUAAAACUUAUACUAGUAUACAUAGGUAGUUUGGUCUAACGCCAAAUUCAUGUUUGUCUUUCUUUUAUUCCCUUUACAUUUCAAAGUAUACUAUAGUUUGUGAUCAUUGUGGUGAUGAUAUUACCAGCUGGUACUUAUAGUUUAAGGCAGAGACAUGAUAUUAACAACUAUCUCAUUGAAACAUAAGGAAAAAUCAUGACAAGUGUGAGUCUUGGUUAAUGCACAAUUUGUUAGUGGAAUUUAUAUUUAUAAAACUCAAAAAAAAAAUUUUGACAAUGCUAUUACUAAUUAAUUAAGGACUUUAUUGCUAUAAUUUAUCGCUUGCUAGUUUAAACUAUAAAUGAUCUCAAUACUUUUCUCCAUGAUGUCGAUUUCUUUAGAUACGAAAGGGAAAAAUUAGUGACAUAUCCCUUACUGAUUACAACAUCAGCAAAAAUUAGUUAUAAACUUUUCCGGUGGUUUUAAAUCCCCGGGCCCUAAGAUUUUUUGCUCAUCGAGUGAAUUAAGGAACAUAGGCAAUUCAUUUUGCAUACCAAGUCCUUGUUUAAGAUGCAAGUACUAAAAUGCAUCCACUUCAUUAAUUUGGGAAAUUGCCAUAGUUUUUUUAAGCAUUUUGAUUUUUUACAUGAUUUAAAAUUUUCUUAUUGGAUACAAUCACUUUGUAUCAAGAACACAUUUUCAAUCACCUUUUUUUAUCUUCUCAAUGAGAAAAUAAAAAUUUAUUCAUGCUUUUCUAACAUAUUCAAUCAUUGAUCUGAAAAUUAAAACAUUAAGAAAAGGACAUUUUCAAACAUUAAGAAGUAGUAUUUUAAAGACCAUGAUGAAAUUAAUACUUUCAAGGUCUCUAUUAGGAAGACUUCCUUUAUUAAUACUCUACUAGGCAGAGUUAUAUGCACGUUUACUGUUUUGGCCUUAAGUUGGGUGCAGAUGCUUAUAUUACAAAUAGAUGGUAUCAAAAAAUUGUUGUAUUCACGUCUGUUCUUUUUUUCUUCCUUAAGUUUUUUUCUUUAUUCUCGUGACUUCGCUAGUGAGGUAUAACUUCACAACUAGAGUCAAUAGAAAUCGUCAAAUGAUUUUUUGACAUCCAAAUUAAGCAAUAAAUUUUGUUUUCAUUUCAUAACAUAUAAUAGUACUACUUCAUGGGAGAUUUUAUAGUUUCUUUAGGGUAUCAUACCUACAAUUGAUAUUUAUCAUUGGAUAGUGAAAGAAGUGUUAAUGUCUCUAAGAUUAAAUAUUGUUAAAUAUUGAAAAUUUGAACUAUUUAUCUCUAUUGAGAGAUACAACUUAAAGAAUCCUACCCAAAAGAGACUAGAAUUUUCUCUGUUUUUCAUCAUCUGUAGACAUAAACUUUCCACGGUUGAUAGCAUUUUUCAUCAUCUAUAAGGAAAUUUUGCCUAUACAAUGUGAUAGCAUUUUUCAAAAAGACAAGAUGGAAAAUUGCCCCCCUUGAACGGAAAAUUGCCCCCUUGUCAAUUCUUUAAAAAAGAAUACCGUCCCGCAGAAUUCUAGAAAGUUAGGCAAAACUAGACAAGUUGACAGGUAUAAUCAGACCCAAGAUCAGGAACAAGCAGUUGCACAUUUCAAAAUUCGCUGCUGCAACAACUAAUUUGAUGACUUACAACACUAAAUGGUCAAACUUUGAAUGGCAAUGAAUCUUUUGUUGUACAUCAUGAUGUAAUUUUCAUGUUACAUAAUAGAUUGAUAUCUAUGUUCUUUAAAUUAUCAUAAUAAUUAAAUUUAACUGAAAAAAAGAACACAUAUCAAUACACAAAAGUGUGCAACGUGAAUGUUAUUUUAGUGUAUUGCAGAAGACCUAUAGUCUCUUCAUAUCUCUUCCUGCACGUAUCAAUUCGUUUCCUCUAGAUAAUAAUCUCCCAACUCAUUUAUUUACAAAUGCACCUUUUAUGUUUUAUUACCUCCAAAAGCCUAAAAAUCAAUUCACCGACUCGCAUUUGGUAUCAGAAAUUCUUAUUACGAAUUCUACUUUACUCAAAGAUUGACUGUUAAUAAUGAGACAACGACCAUUUUGUAUUAUUACACCGUCCUUCUUGAUAGGCAAAAGAAAUAGAGAGGAAAGCGGGUCCGUAUAUGGUCUUUUAUUCAUAGAUAAUACAACAUUACGCCAUCGAGCAUUCACACAAUAUUUCAAAGUCAUUGCAUGCCUAAGGCCUGCUUGAUAAUCUAAUUCCGUACUUAAAUUUAAUAAAUUCAAAUCUUAACACAUUCAAAUCGUUUGAUAACAAAAAAUUGAACAUCUAAAUUAAUUAAGUAACACUGAAUUUUCUAGGCAAAACUUGCUCCCAAAAUUAAGUGAUAAGUUAUUCACUUAUCACUGAAUAUGAUAUGUAUUCAAAUGUAUUAGAUUUAAUACUUAAUAAUUUAAUGAAUUCAAAUUUCAUAUUUCAUAUUUCAGUUUUAUCAAACACACCUUAAGUUGCAAAAUAAUACCAAAACUUGUUAUUACAUAGCUUGAGAUUCAAAAAUUUAGAGCAUAAUUCUCAACCAAACACAAUUGAAUAAUGAAUAUUCACGAGUGUCAAAUCUAUCAAAGUACAAUUUGAGGACAACCCAUUCAAACGCGUACACGAUUUUUAACUUUUCUAAAGUUGUUGAGAGCUGUUGAAAGAGAUUUACCAUGUUUACAUCUUCCAAGUCUUGGGAGUAAAAAAUGAAGCCACUGAGUGCUAUAAAAAGGGGGGUAGAGGCCACUUGAGAUCCUCGGUGACAUGUUUUCUAUGCCAAUCCAAUGCCACCAAUAGUGUUGCGCCAAGUGUCAUGUUAUUAUUUACACUUGUGUUAAACUAAGCCAAGUUGAAUUAUUAGAAAAUUAAAGUGUAAAUAAUAACAUGACACUUGGCGCAAUACUAUUGGUGACAUUGGGUUGGCAUAGAAAAUAUGUCACCGAGGAUCCCAAGUGGAUAGAUGCUGCCUAGAAGCAUAUCAGCCUAAAACAAGAAUUUGUAGUAACAAUGGGGAGCAAAGCAAAAGCAACGGGGUCUAGGCUGACUCCUCUUCUUACCACUGUUUUAGUGGUAUUUGUUGCCCUUGGCUUGCCCUUGGAAACUGCAGCUGAUUAUUACAAGUAUUCAUCUCCUCCUCCUCCUCCUUACCAGUAUUCCUCACCACCACCUCCAGUGUAUUCACCUCCACCAACCCCUGUUUAUAAGUUACCCCCACCAUCUCCUCUAGUUUACAAGUCCUCACCACCACCUUACCACUACUCACCACCUCCUGUGUAUUCACCUCCACCAUCACCAAUUUACAAGUCACUGCCACCACCCCCUCCAGUAUACAACUCCCCGCCUCCACCAGUGUACAAAUACAAGUCCCCACCACCACCUUCUCCAAUUUACAAAUCUCCACCGCCACCAGUUUACAAGUACAAGUCACCCCCACCACCUCCUCCGGUAUACAAGUCUCCUCCGCCACCUGUUUACGAGUACAAGUCUCCUCCACCACCUCCUCCAGUGUACAAGUCCCCACCACCUCCAGUUUACAAGUACAAGUCACCACCACCUCCUCCCCCGGUUUACCAAUCUCCUCCACCACCAGUUUACAAAUACAAGUCACCACCACCUCCUCCCCCAGUUUACCAGUCUCCACCUCCACCCUAUCAUCACUACUACGGUUCUCCUCCUCCUCACCACUACUAAGCAAGUGCAUCUAAGUUUUGAGGUAAUAAUACCGAUCCAAAACUUUAUCAACGCAAACUGCCAUGUAUAUCAUGCUAAGGACGUACACUUGAUCCAUGAAAAUGGCUAGUAGAAGAUUUUUUUUAAGAACCAGAGAAAUACAUUAUUUUUUCGCUCUGUUUUCAAGAAUUUGAGCAGUAUACAGAUUAAAGAGUGUUUUUUUUAAACUUGCUUAUCAACUUAGAAAUGCACAUAGCUGAAAGCCAACUGAAUAUUUGCAGGCAAAGGAGAAGGCAAUCGGUGUUUGAGACCUUCAUGAAGAUGUAGAAGAAUAAGAAUAAAAGCCCAAUGCGAGGAUGAUUUCAAGUUUCUACGUUACCAUUUCUACAUCUAAAUUGACUUUAGCUCCUGAGUUCCAUGUCUAUGGGGUUUGUACUGUUUUACGUACCAUGCAGUACAUGCUUGUAAGGUUUUCUGUCCUGUUGGCAAGCCGCAGGUCCAUAUAAUAAAUGAAUACUAUUUAUAUUACGACACUUUUCUCUCUUUCUCUUAUAUUUUGUCUUUAAUAUUGUUGAUCAUUUUUUUUUUUUAUCAAAAGUAUCAAAUGCUUAGGCAAUUUGGUCUAAUGCUAAUUGUUUUACAUUUAUUUUUCACCUACAUCCCUUUUCAACUCAAAGGAUGCUACAGUUUGUGAUCAUUGUUUAAGACCGAAGCAUGGUACUAAUAAAUAUCUCAUUGAAAGUCAAGGAAACUAACAUUAUGAAAAGUGUAAAUCUUGAUUUGUGAAACUAUUUAUUCGUGGAAUUUAGAGAUACAAAACUCAAAUUGUGACGGUGUUGUUGCUAAAUUAUUUUUUUUUUAUAAUAAAACACAGUUCAUUCAAGGAUUACUGGAAAUCGUCCAGCACAAUUGAGAUACAUUGUUGCCCAGGUGGCAGAUAAAUAUGCACUAAAAUUAUAGAUAUGCAAUUUAACAAAUACAUAAGAUUUGAGAAAUUAAGGACAAAUCUAAAAAGGACCAUAAAUUUGAAAAACAUUUCAUCCUAGAAUAAGUCGCUGCAACUCUCUUUGUGCAUGCUGUAAUCGUCAGAUCUACUAAUCAACAGUUGUAAGGUCCAGUAAAGAUGGUGAGAUCUGCCGAGAUUGAUCCAAAUCUGAAAUAUUCCCUCAGAUCUGCUAUCCAAUUGGUUCAAACUCAAUACUGAAAGUGAAAUCUGAUGAGAAGACUGAAAAAAUUGUAGAUCUAACAUAUAGAUCUAAAAAAACUCCAAGAUUUGAAAAAGUAAAGAAACAAAACUAAAUAAAACUCUCAUUAAGAUAGUUUAGGAGAGACUAAAACUCUCAAUAGGACACCCUAGGAGAGAAGAAAACUCUCACUAGGAUAACCUAUGAGAGACUUUAUUGAAUGAAAGGAAAAGCAAAGGACAAAGGAAGAAGAAGGGAGACCUUGGCUUAAGGCCAAGGUCUCCCUCCUAUGGAGGAGGAAGGGUAGAGGAGGAAGCCUAGAGAGAAGGAAGAGAAUCCCUCCGCUAGAGGGAAGGAAGAGCCUCUGAGAGGGUACCCGUGUUGUUGCUAAAUUAUUAAGGACAUUAUCACCAUUACUUUUCCCUUACUAGUUUCAACUGCAAUGAUCUCAAUCUUUUUGUGACUAAUUCUUUUCUUAAUAAUUUAUAAAUACAAAACUCACAAAGAAUAUGUGACUUAUUCUUUCCUUUCGUCUUCUAAAGAAAAUGCCAACUGUUAGUUUAUCAAGGGAAAAAGGAUCGACAUCAGUUGUUAUUGAAACUAGUAAGGAAUAAAUAAUGGUGAUAAUGUCCUUAAUAAUUUAACAACAGCACCAUCAGAAUUUGAGCUUUGUAUCUAUAAAUUCCACGAAUAAAUAGUUUCAUCAAAUCAAGAUUUACACUUUUCAUAAUGUUAAGUUUCCUUGACUUUCAAUGAGAUAUUUAUUAGUAUCAUGCUUCGGUCGUAAACAACGAUCACAAACGAUAGCAUCCUUUGAGUUGAAAAGGGUAGUGAAAAAGAGAAGUAAAAAAUACAAUUAGCAUUCCCUCAAAUUGUAGAAAGUUAGGUAGCAUUAUAGACAAGUUGAUAGCCGUAAUUAUACUAAAAAUCAGGCAAAAGCCAGCAAUUUUACAUUUCAAAAUUCACCUAUUCAAUAACUAAUUCGAUGGCUUGCUACAUGGUCAAAAUUCACCACAUAUCCCUUUCCUCAAUCAGGGGCUUCUACAAUUACCAGUUCCAAUUGUAUGGUAUAGUGUAAAUAUCAACAAAUUAGAUGUAGACACUAAUAUAAUAAAUAUGGAUGCUAAGGCAACAACAUACAAAAACAUAAUAAAUUUUGGCAUUCCUUAAAAAAUUACGUCCCCAAAUCAAUCUCAUACACCCAAUUUCUAAUUUAUUUAACUCAUUCCGUCUAUUAACUGCACCAUACAAUCCAACCUGCAAUUGCAUGAACCCCAAUCUCGCUUCCUAGUCCACCAUUUUUCUCUAGGUAAUAAUCUCCCUUCUAAUUUCUUCACAAAAUGCACCUUUCAUCACCUCCAAUAGCGUCGACAUGAUCUUUACCCUAGAAGACUAUUCACCGACUCCCAAUUGACGUCAGAAAAUCUAAGAGUAAUUCUACUUUACCCUAAGAUUGAUAUCAACUAGACAAUGACAAUUUAGAAUUAUUACACGCCUCUUCUUAAUAGGAAAAAGAAAUAGAGAAGAAAGUCAGGCCAGGUCUAAUUUCUUUUCGAAGGCAAUACAACAUUACGAAAUCAAGCAUUCAUUCAUACAAAUAUUUCAUAGUCACCGGUUUGCUGAGUAGAAAAGUUUAUACAAAAACUUAAUAUUAUAUUGUUUAAGAGUUAACAAUUUAGAGCUUAAUCUCCUUGUACUUUGGACUAAACUCGAACGUGAAAGGAAAUCCCAAAACCAUAUUGGGCAUGAAUUCACACUUAAAUAGACCCAAAAAAAGAUGGCGACUGGUGAAAGGCAGUGGAGACUGGUGGUGAGAUUUGAGGAAUAGAAGCAGACGGAAAAGCCACAAAUUUUUGCCGAAAGAGGGUCACUUUCAUGGUUAAUUUUGCUACUCUCUACUUGUACUUGACCAAUGACAGGUUGUCAGUCUGUGCAAUAAUAAAAACCUGUUCAAACUAAAAGUAAUUUCUGUAGAUAGUGGUAAGCAGGGUCGAAUCCACAGGGAUUAGGUGUAACUGUUUCUUUUCAAAUUCACAAUAACAAAGGGGGUGUUUUUAUGCAGAAUGUGACAAUCAAAGAAAUUCAAUUAAAAGUAAAAUAAUAAAAAUAAAAUAGCCAACUAGAAAUUAAAUAACAAUUUACUAAAAUCAAAUGAGUGAUAAUUAAGGAUCUAGCCAAGGAAUAACUUCAGCAGUGGUUCACCUAAUUGAUCAUUGGAACAAAGGCAAUUCCAAUUAUUUACUAAUAAAUAGGUUAUAACUGCCAAACAAGCGAUGACAGUCAAUCACUCCUUACUGUGUCGGUGAUUAAGGUACGCCCGUUAAUCACUGCCCUAAUUGAGAAAUAAUCUUAGGUACGCCCGUAAGAUUUAAUUUUCCAAUUGCCUUACAUAUUAGAGGAGUGUCAGGAACAAGGAAAUAGAAUGGGACGUCGUUUAAUGCAAAGGGUUGUGCGUUUAAGGCCUUAGAAGCAAUACUACGUCGUUCUAAUAACAUAGGCGGUGCUGGUGUGAUAGGCCAAGUUAGUUGAGGGUCAAUUACAUAAAUAGCCUUCUGUAACAGAUUUUUGGUUAUGUUUUUGAAUGAAAAGUAUCUCGCUGCUUUCUCUCUCUUGUCUGUUAUUUCCCUCCCUUUUCUUCUUUCUCUCUUCCCUCUUCUUAAUCUUGUUUCUUUCUUCUGAUUCUUCCCCCAAAUUCAAUACAAUUCCAGAAAUUAACCUGCAAGUCUGACAUUUGGUAUCAGAGCGGUCGAUUCUUGGCCGCGAAGGUAUCAGAAAUGGCUGAGAGCACGCGAUUCAGGACACUGGAGGAGCAACUCAAGAAGCAGGAGAAUCGGUUGCAAGAACUGGCGGAAUCCAUGGCUGCACUGCAGAGUACGAGUUCCGAGGAGUUGCGGCAUAAGCUACAGGCGGAAAUGGAGCAGAACAAUGCAAAAUUGGACGCGGUGGUGGGAAGUCUGGACCAGAAGUUCAAUAAAAUGGAACAGAGACUCAGUACAGUGUUGAAGCUGCUGAUGAAGGAGAAAGGUCUCCCUGAUGUCGAAGGAGGAAUUUCUGAUCCAAUCUUGCCGACUCCUCCAUCUCAUCUGAGGUUAGCAUCCUCAGUCGAAGGGAUUGGGCACCAACAAGAGUACAGAGGUAGGCAAUUCACUCCUAAUGUACCUCGAUUAGAACUGCCAAUGUUUAACUCUGGAAACCCUAGGGAAUGGACCAGGAAAUGCCAGAAAUAUUUUUUGAACUAUCAGAUAGCAGAGAGUCAAAAGGUAGAGGUAGCAGAGAUGUUUUUGGAAGGUAGAGCUGACAAUUGGUUUCAAGGAGUGAAAUUGGUGAGGCCAGGGUUGUCUUGGGGGGAAUUUAGUGAACUUUUGUGUGAAAGAUUUUCUGGAAGUAGUUCUCGUGACAUUGUGGAGGAAUUUAACAAGUUACAGCAGAAAGGAACUGUUGAGGAAUAUGAGGAGAAAUUUGAAGAACUAAAAGCUCUAAUGCUGAUGAAAACCCCCAGGUUGGAUGAACUUUACUUUGUUUCCAGUUUUAUUAGUGGCCUCAGGGAAGAAAUUAGACCUAUGGUGAAGAUGUUUAAGCCUCAAACACUGAUGAAGGCCUUUGAAGUUGCGGAGUUGCAGGAGUGUUCCCUGGAAAUCCAAUCGAAACAAAACAGAACUUCAAGGAGGACAGCAAUGGAACCCAAGUUUGGAAUGUAUAAGGGCACUACGAGUGAUUAGGGUCGCCAAAAUUCAUAUAAGUUGCCUGGAGUCACUCCUGUCUCCAGGAGGACUAAUGCAGUACACAAGGAAUUUAGUAAGAUAUCAGCGGAGGAAAUGCAGUAUAAGCGUAAGCACAGCCUGUGCUAUAGGUGUGGAGAGAAGUUUGGAAUAGGUCAUCAGUGUAAGAAAGGAAGUCUGAACUGUGUGAGCACUGAGGAAGAGGAGGACACUGAAUUUGAGGAUGCGGAAGGGGAACAGGAUGAGUUAACAGGAAGGGUCGGGGAACUUGCAGAAGUCUCUUUGAAUGCUUUAUCUGGUGCCAUAAGGAGGAAAUCCAUCCUGUUGAUAGGGAACUUAGGGGGGCUUCCAGUCAAAAUUUUGGUGGACACAGGCAGUUCUAACAGCUUCAUUCACCACAGGAUUGUCAACCUACUGCAUCUACCAUAUCAGGCAGUCAGUCCAUUUACUGUGACUCUAGCAGAUGGAACUGACAUUACCAGUGGAGCCAUCAGUCCCAGCGUGUCUUGGUUAAUUCAGGACUAUCAAUUCCAAUUUGACUUAAAAGUAAUGGAAUUAGGGGGAUGGGAUAUAAUUCUGGGGGUGGACUGGAUGUGCCAGUAUAGUCCCAUUACAUUUGAUUUCCACUCUCUUAGCAUUGCCCUUAGUGAUAGGGGUUCUUUACUACACCUCCAAGGACUUGUGAAGCAACCUACUAUGGAACUGGUGAGGGGCAGGGAUCUCAGCUCGUUUAUACAGGAGAAGCAAAGAAACUGUGCAGCCAUGCAUGCUGAUAGGGCCAGGGAAACAGGAGAGCAGCUUCCAAAAGCUAUAGAAAGGAUCCUGGAACAGCACUCUCAGGUUUUCUCCACCCCAACAGGAUUACCCCCAGAGAGGGAAUUGGACCAUCAGAUCAACCUCAAACCAGGAGCUGAACCCUUCAAGCUCAAACCUUACAGGUACCCCCACUCACAUAAAGCAGAAAUUGAAAAAAAAGUUGCUGAGAUGCUCACUAAUGGAAUUGUUAUACAUAGCACAAGCCCCUAUGCCUCCCCUGUAUUGUUAGUAAAGAAAAAGGAUAACUCCUGGAGAUUAUGCAUAGAUUACAGGAAGCUGAACGAGCUGACUAUAAAGGAUAAGUUCCCUAUUCCCAACAUAGAUGAACUAUUGGAUGAAUUACAUGGAACCAGAUACAUGUCCAAACUGGAUCUCAGAGCUGGUUACCAUCAGUUGAGGGUGAAAGCUGUUGAUACCCCUAAGACUGCCUUCCAGACACACCAUGGCCACUUUGAAUUCUUAGUGAUGCCUUUUGGACUCACAAACGCGCCAGCUACAUUUCAGUCCUUGAUGAACAGAAUAUUUCAGCCAUAUCUCAGAAAGUUUGUCCUAGUCUUCUUUGACUACAUAUUAGUGUACAGCCCCACACUAGAGAUGCAUGCACAGCAUCUACAGAUUGUGCUCAAUAUUUUAGAAGAAAAUCAGCUGUAUUACAAGAGGUCAAAGUGCUCUUUUGCCCAGUCCUCAAUUGAAUACUUGGGGCACGUGAUCUCAGAGGCAGGAGUGAGUAUGGAUGUGGCUAAGGUGGAGUGUAUCAAGUCCUGGUCUGUUCCUAGUACAGUCAAGGAGCUGAGAGGGUUUUUGGGAUUAAUUGGUUACUACAGGAGAUUCAUUAAAGGCUAUGGAGUGAUUAGCAAACCCUUGACUGUAUUGUUGAAAAAGGAAGGUUUUGCAUGGAACCAUGAAGCUCAAAUGGCCUUUGAAGAUUUGAAAAAGGUUAUGACCACAGCCCCAGUGCUGAGCAUGCCUAAUUUCGAACUUCCUUUUGUCAUAGAGACUGAUGCCUGUGGAAUAGGUAUUGGAGCAGUGUUGAUGCAGCAAGGACAUCCUAUUGCUUUCCUUAGCAAGGCAUUAUCAGUUCAGAAUUUGGGGUUAUCAGUCUAUGAAAAAGAGCUUUUUGCCUUAGUGCUAGCUGUAACUAAGUGGAGGCAUUACCUGGUGGGUCAUCACUUCAUUAUCAGGACAGAUCACCAAGCUCUCAAACAUUUGAUAGAGCAAAGGCUUACUCAUCCACUCCAGCACAAGUGGCUAACUAAGCUACUUGGUUUGGACUAUGAAAUACAGUAUAAAAAGGGUGCAGACAAUGGGGUGGCAGACGCCCUCUCCAGGAGAAGGAUUGAGGGAAACACUGUUGACUGUGGAGAGACUGGGCAUCAGACCUGCGCCAUAACCUCAGCUCAGCCUAGUUGGAUGCAGGAAAUGCUAGAAAGCUACAUUGGAGAUGCAGAGGCUCAACAGAAGUUAUCUGAGCUAUUGCUGGAUCCCAAUGCAGAUCCAGAUUAUCAGUUAAAGAAUGGGAUGCUCAAGUUUAAAGGGCGGCUGUACAUAGGAUCUGCUAACAACAUUAGGACCAAGGUGGUCAGAGCAUUGCAUGACUCAGCCCUUGGGGGGCACUCAGGUCCUGGAAUCCGUAAGGAUGUCCUUCAAUAUGUGAGAUCUUGUGAUGUGUGUCAAAGGAACAAACAUGAAAAUGUUCCUUAUCCUGGGUUGCUGCAACCAAUUCCUGUACCUCAGCAGGCUUGGUCACACCUCACCAUGGAUUUUAUUGAGCAACUACCCCCAUCCCAUGGAUUUGAUACCAUUUUGGUGGUGGUGGAUAGGUUAACCAAGUUCAGCCACUUCAUUCGACUCACUCACCCUUUUUCUGCACAGCAGGUAGCACAGCUUUUCCUUGACAACAUAUACAAGCUGCAUGGACUUCCUGAGACCAUUAUAACUGACAGGGACAUAAUCUUUCUUAGUAAGUUUUGGCAAGAGUUAUUUGGUAUGGUAGGGGUAAAGCUGCACUACAGUUCAUCGUAUCACCCUCAAUCAGAUGGUCAAAGUGAAAGGGUCAAUCAGUGUUUGGAAAACUAUCUCAGGUGUAUGUGCAGUGAGCAUCCUUCUCACUGGAGCAGUUGGCUUCCUACAGCUGAGUUAUGGUACAACACUAACUUCCAUACUAGCUUGCAGGUGACACCAUUCGAAGCACUAUACGGGUAUAAACCAAAUCACCUUCCCUUAGGACCUUUUCAUGAUAGCCUGGUACCUGCUGCUGGUAACAUGGUGCAGACUAGGCUCCAAAUUCUAUCCCUCAUCAAAGAGAAUCUAGCCACCGCCCAGAAUCGAAUGAAAAUGUUUACUGAUAAGCACAGGACUGAACGUGUCUUCCAAGUGGGGGAUUGGGUAUUUCUCAAGCUGCAACCUUACAGGCAACAAUCAGUGGCCUUACGGAAGAAUUUGAAGUUGGCUGCCAAAUACUUUGGACCUUUCCAGAUCCUUGCGAGAGUAGGGGAAGUCGCCUACAGACUUAAGUUGCCAGAGGGAGCUCGAGUUCAUUCCGUGUUCCAUGUGUCCUUACUUAAAAGGAAAGUGGGAGUUACACAGCAGGUAAAGCCCAGCUUGCCAGAAGUAGACGCAUCAGACCAAUGUUUGCUGAAGCCAGAGAAGAUUCUCCAGAGGCGUGUUAUCAUACGAGCUGCCAAACCAAUCAUCCAGUACCUGGUGAAGUGGAACAACUUACCAGAAUCCGAAGCAUCAUGGGAGGAUAAAAGCUUCAUUGACAGACAAUUUCCGGAAUUUCAAGCUUGAGGACAAGCUUUGCUUAAGGGGAAGAGAUUGUCAGGAACAAGGAAAUAGAAUGGGACGUCGUUUAAUGCAAAGGGUUGUGCGUUUAAGGCCUUAGAAGCAAUACUACGUCAUUCUAAUAACAUAGGCGGUGCUGGUGUGAUAGGCCAAGUUAGUUGAGGGUCAAUUACAUAAAUAGCCUUCUGUAACAGAUUUUUGGUUAUGUUUUUGAAUGAAAAGUAUCUCGCUGCUUUCUCUCUCUUGUCUGUUAUUUCCCUCCCUUUUCUUCUUUCUCUCUUCCCUCUUCUUAAUCUUGUUUCUUUCUUCUGAUUCUUCCCCCAAAUUCAAUACAAUUCCAGAAAUUAACCUGCAGAUCUGACAAGGAGCCCUAUUCUAACCAAAUAACACACUACCAGGGUUAUUUUAGGUUAGCCCGCGUAUUCCCCUGACAUGAAUCCAAUCAUGCCAGUUAUCACUAUUUUGAAACAAUUAAACAAUUACGGAUUUAACGUCCCAAUUGACAAUAGAUUAUCAAAUUAACUAAUUAUCCGGAUCCAAAACAAUCAAUUAAUUAAAUAAUCAUAAGCACUGUAAUCAGGGAAUAUUUGAAUACCAAUAAAUAAAAAGAAAGGACAAAAUUAAAUCGAUUUCACAAUUUUUAAACGAACCACAACCUCAGUUGUUCCUCGGCUAGAUUGAGAAAAUUAGCUCAUGUUCGAUGCGAAAAAUCCACAAGAAAUUGUUAAGAGAGCCGCGGCCAUUGUCCCUUGAAAUUGGGGAAAUUCAAUUCGGUUGAACUACGAAAGAAAAGUAAGCUACAGAGAGUUGCCGAUUGGGUUUUGCUUGUCCCUAACAUGCGAGGGAGCAAAGCCACGAAAGGACGACAAAGGUCAAAAAGAAAGGCUACAGAGCAUGUUCCAGGUCUUUUUGUGCUCUCCACAUCCGAGCCAACGAAAAGAAAUAAAAAACUACCAGGAGCUAAAGGAAAACCGCAAGAAAAGUCAAAGGCUAAAAAAACUUCCUAGUGCUUGUUCUCUGCUUAUCUCUUUAUCUAAUUCUAAGUCCCCGAUUUUUUGCUCCGUGCGGCGGCUCCCCCGGAGAGAAAGGAUUGCAUCCGCUGCCCUCUUCCACCAAUUACCAAAAUGGGCACACCGCUUCUUUUUCAAAAAUGCUCCUGGAUAAACUCUAUCAUCUGGACUUUUUUUCUGUCAAAUUGACAUUUAUUAUUAUAUUUUCGUUCUACUCCCUGAAAUAAAUGUAAAAUAUUAAAAAUGAGUAGAAUCCGACAAUUAAUUCACAUCAGGUCAGAUAAUAAAGAAAAUUAAUAAUAAAAUAAAUAAAUAAAUUGCAACCUAUCAACCAAAUACAACAAUUUCAUGGAGUUUGAUACACAAGCCCAAAUACACGAGAGUGUGUAACCUGAAUUGUUACUUAUACAUUAGUGUGUAAUAGAACGGCAAGCAUUAUGGUGGUCAUUGAGCAACUUGUAGGAGAAAUAGUCCUAUAAGCUGUUCAAUGACCAAUCACAACUUGCUAAUUGGAUGACUAAUAUAGCUCUAGCUGUAAUGUUUUAAUUAAAUUCCAUCACUAACGUUGGGAUGACUUUUUAAUCAAAAAAAAAAAAGCCUUAGUUCAAGCUUUUCCCCUUAUUGUGCAUUUUUUAAAACAUUUGAUAGGCACUGCAAAUCUGUCAUUUUGGACAUUUUAUUAUUAACUAACAAUGAAAGCCGUGGACAUCAACCCAUAUCCAACAAAAUAUUAAAUUAAUAUUAGAAAAAAUUAUUAAGUAAUUGGAAAAAAAAAGAAGAGGCUAAUUUUCAUUGAAACCCACCGACAAACUAUACGCUGCUUUCAAUCAGUUUUAACACGGGAAAAAGAAAAGGCAUGAAAAGCAAAAUUUGUGGGGAUAAUUUCGGAAACCUCCCAUGAAGUUUUUGACUAUUUUACUGGCCUCCCUUCAGAUUUUAAAAAUUGGACUAAUCUUCCUUAAAGUUAAUUAUCUUGUAACAUUUAGAUCCGAUCAAUAAUUUAAAAAAUAAUAUUAUGAGAGAGAAAAUAAUAUGAUUUUAUUAUUGCCCCCAUCUCACCACAUUAUUUAAUUAAUUUAAUAGCAACCCACACAUUAAAGAAAAUGACAGGUCGUCAACCUGUGCAAUAAUAAAAUUAAACCUAAUUGCCAGUUAAAAUGACCAAAACCCAAUUCCAAGUACUGGAGCAGGGACUCUAGGUGUGCAAUGGGUUACUUGAUUCACCCUGUUCCCGAAGAGUUUGCUUGAUCCGAUAUACCCGAAUGGAAUGGUUAUUCCUUUUCACAAAUGAUUAGGAAUUUGUAGACAGGGCAAGUAGGGUCGUAUCCACAGAGACUGGGUAUAUUUGUUUCUUAAGAAAUCCAAAGUAACACAGGGGGUGAUUUUGUAGGAACGACGAUAAUUAAAUAAAUUCAAAUGAGAAAGUAAAAAUAAAUAAUUAACUAGAAAUUAAACCACAAUUUACUGAACUCAGGAUAACAAUAGUUAAAGGCCUCAAUUAAUUAAAAUAAGGAAACAAUCAAAAAUAAAAUAAAGUAGGUAAUUAAAAGUCAAAUGGCAAUCCACUACAAUCAAGGAAAUAUUAACUAAAGAUCUAGCCAAGAAAUAACUUCAGCAAUGGUUCACCUAAUCGAUCAUUGAUGCAAAGCAAUCCCAAUUAUUUACUAAUAAAUAGGUUAUAACUACCAAACAAGCGAUGGCAGUCAACCCCUCCUUACUGUGUCGGUGAUCAAGGUACGCCCGUUAAUCACUGCUCUAAUUGAGAAAUAAUCCUAGGUACGCCCGUAGAAUUUAAUUCCCCAACUGCCUUACGUAUUAGAGGAGCCCUAUUCUACCCAAAUAACACACUACCAGGGUUAUUUUAGAUUAGCCCGCGUAUCCCCCUGACACGAAUCUAAUCGUGCCAGUUGUCACUAAUUUGAGGUAAUUAAACAAUUACGGAUUCAAUACCCCAAUUGACAAUAGAUUAUCAAACCAAUGAAUUAUCCGGAUCCAAGACAAUCAACUAAUUAAAUAAUCAUAAGCACUGCAACCAAGGAAUAUGCGAAUACCAAUAAAUAAAGGAAAAGAUAAAAUUAAAUCGAUCUCACAAUUUACAGGUGACCCAAAGCAUCAGUCGUUUCUUGACUAGAACGAGGGGGUUAGCUCAUAUUGGAUGAACUAAGCCCGCGGGAAAUUCCAGCAAAAGUCACGGCCGUUGUAUGCAUUUCAAGAGCCGCAAUUCGUCAAACACUUGGAAAGCGAAUGUAAGGCACGGGUAACAAUUGAAACUUUCUAAUUGUUCCUAGCAUUCGUAAAGCAAAUUCACUCCAGAAGUACAGUGAGGAAAAGUCAAAGAAAGUGGGCUUCAAUUCCUUGCUCCUGACAUGCGUGGAGACAAGCCAAUGCAAGACUACAAUAAACUAACAAGGAAAAGUCAAGAAUUGGAGCUAAGCUCCCCUGCCAUGCGCAGGAAUCCCAAAAGUAAAAAGUAAAGCUUCAAAGAAAAGUCAACAAUUCUUCCUAAGCUACAGACGGAAGAUCCAGCACAAAAGCCAGCUCCCUUUUUGAUCCCUUUUUCCCCCUUCUUAUUGCGGCGGCUCACCAGGAGAGGAGAGCCCUCCGUCCGUCCUUUCUUCCGGAAAUUACCAAAAUGGGCAUGACAUCUUCUCUUCCAAAAGUGCCCCUGGGACAAGCUUUCUCAUCUGAAUUCUUUUUUUUUCCAAUUUGGCACCUGUUAUCAUAUUUAUAUUCUACUCCCUGAAAUAAACGUCAAAUACUAAAAGUGAGUAGAAUCCAGCAAAUAAAUCCACAUCAAGUCAGGUAAUAGGAGGAAUUAAUAAUAAAAUAAAUGAAUAAAUUGCACCCUAUCAAUUCCCUCCACACCUAAACCAUGCUUGUCCUCAAGCAUAAGAAAAGUAAACGAACACCAAAAUUCGACGAUAGCCAUUGCCCAAUCUCCUAUAUUGCCAAGACAUUCAAGAGAAAAACACAUAUCGAGCAUUGGUGAUUAGAAUCCCAGAAGCAUCCCCCCGGUUAGCCUCUAACCCCCAGAUUCCUUCAAUUUCCAACUUAACUACUCUAAGAAAGAGGAAUGGCACACAACAUUUAUCAGCUAGUGGUCCGAAUAUUCACACAAGUCUUCAUAUCCAAUCCAUAAACCGGCAAGCUUCCCUAUUAUUUAGUCUCUCUUUUUUUCCGUUUUUUUUCAUUUUCAUUCUUCCCCUCUUUUUUUUUUUUUUUUAAAGCAGUAGCAAUCAACACAAAAGACUUAGUCGUUAGCCGUCAGGGCCUUUUGAUGCGAACUCCAACAUUUUUAGAAGGAGGAGCCCGGUUACUCAGCUCCUACCGCUAUACGACCACGCACUCAUAUAAAAUACCACCUUUUGACGCGAGAAUCGACACUUUUAGGUGCCGAUCCCCGGUUACUCAGUAGUAACUUAAUAGCGGAGCACAGUCAAGCUUAUUCUCAGCCAAACAAUGCACAAACGCAAAAUAACAGCACUAACAAUCAAACAUAGGAGCAGCUCGCCUCAUUAUUGUCAAACAUGGAGAACUGGAGUCAAUAUUGGACCAGUUCACAUUAAAAGGCCAUAUUCAUUCCCUACGCCUAGAAAAGUUAACAAAGAAAUCGAAAGAGUCAAACAGUUAAAUAUUCACCAAGGGGAUAUUCAGGACCCAACCACACUAACCCGAUACAUUUUGUAUUUUAAAAACUUGGCAAAAGUAGAUUUGGAGUCAAUGAGUCCACAUCUCAAUUUUAGCCUUCACAUGAAAGGCAAUCACCAAGAAGAAAGAACGGAAAAAUAAGCAACUAGAAAUGAGACUACGAAAAACUACUAAAACUAAAAACUCACUUUUUUUCUUUUUCUCUUUUUUUUUCUUUUUGAAUUUUUUUUUCAUUUUUAUUUUUUUUUAUUUUUUUUAUUUUUUAAACAUUAACUAUAAACAUUAACUACUAAAAACUAAAAACUAAAACUACUAAAAACUAAAAACACUAAAAACUGCUAAAAUGAAAAGCUGAAAACUGAAAACUACUAAAAACGGAGCACACUAGCAUAACUUUAGAUCCCCCCCACACCUAUAGGACACAUUGUCCUCAAUGUGACAAAUAAGAACCAAAAGUGAAGCACAAGUGAGAGGGGAAUCAGCCAAACUUCCCUGAAAUCGGGUCACAGCGGAGGGCGAGGUGGAAAUGGAGGUGCAAAGCCUGUAUGCAUCAGGAACUGUGCCAAAUUCUGUGCUAUGCCGGCGACAUUGGCGUCGACGUUGGUCAUCCGGGCCUGCAAAUCCUGAACCAGCUCCCUGAGAUGCUGCCAAUCAUCGGUCCCAGGUGGUGGAGGUGGCGCAGAAGUAGAGGUAGACGGCCCAGCAGUGUCCGCGGCCGACCCAGGGAAUGAAGAUGGCCCUGCCCGGGCCGAAUGGUGUGCACCCGGGGCUCGAGGUGGUCCCGGACGGGUAAACUGGUGAAAACCAUCUGGCAGACGCUCGACGACCCCCAUUUUCUCUAAGCAAACUACGUCCAAGUGCUCCAUCUCAAAUGCCAAAUGGAGGUCGUGGUCAUCCAGGUUAAGAACUCCCAACUGGGUCGCCAAGUGAGUGAUGUAGGACCCAAGGAUCAGUGGUUUGUUCUUCUUGGUCAAGACCGUCUUGAACUGUGCGGCCAACCAACAUCCCAAGUUCACCUUGAUAUUGUUCUUCAUACUCCAGAGAAAGAAGAAUUCGGGCCGAGAGAGUAUACCGGAGCUGUCCUUGCGCCCCGAGUAGCUAUAAGCUAAGAAUCGCUGAACAUAGCGGGCGCUAGGGUCCUUAAGAAAGGAGCUCCUGGACCGGGAAGGAUCGUAGCGUUGCCUAUCGACGGACAUGUCCUCCCAUACAUCAUGGUAGUGGGAGAGGAAAGGCUCUACGUAGUCACAGGCACUCUCCGCAUACUCCCUAGUCUCAGCAUACUCUCUAGUGAUAAACCCAAAUGCCAGAUUGAAUUGAGUAAUGGAGAAAUUGAAUUCUCGACCCAUGAGCCGGAAAUGAAUGACAUUCGGUGUUUCACCCGUGUAUCUCGUAGGUAAUUCGAACUCAAAGGUGGAGUAAAACUCCCGGAUCAGCUCAACAAAAGCGGGACAAGAAAUAUGGAAAUAUGGGCGCCACCCAAUGGCUGUGAACAUUUGCUCAACCUCCUCCCGUAUACCCAGGGCAGUUAGAGAGAGUCUAUGACAAGACUUACAGGAUAUUAUACGCCUCUCGCAGACCUUAGCGUACCUCUGCCGAUCGGCGGGUCUGGUAAAUGUUAAGUGCCCCCCAAAAUGAACAGGUGCAUCUACCUGAGCACCCCUAUCCCUACCCAAACGGGUUCGAACACUAGAAGAGGAGGGUAGGUUGGUAGGUGAGUUGACAGGAAUAGAGGCUUGUGGAGGGGGUUGAGACUGAGAGGUCCUAGACCUAGAGGAGGAUUUCGGUCUCACCAUUCCCCCCAAAGUAAGUUCAAGGCAACAGAAAAUCCGACAAGUAUAGAAACCAGCAAUUGACAAAGCAAAAAUCUCCCAGUAGUAACCCAGCCAAUAGCAAACAAAAGAGUUCCAGCAAGUAAUCAACAAGCAAUUCAGAAAUAUCUCAACUAAAAUCUCAAGAGAAACCCCAGCGAGUUAUCCAGCAAUUCAAGCAAUAUCCCCAAGCAAUGUGGUGGUCAAAAUGUCAUCUCCAAAUUGAACAAAUAAUCAGAGCAUUGCAACACAUUGAAAAUCUCAAUAAACGGCUCCAGUUGGCCAAGAAAAAUUGCUAACUCAUACUCAGCAAUAGUAGUGCAGCAAAGGGACAGUAACCACGCAAUAAAAACACUUAGCUUGCACUCAAAUGGUCACCCCAAAUAACAACCCAGUAUGAAACCCGCAGGCAGAGUAUUCCUCAAACCGUUAGCCUAAACCCAGUCAACAACCACGGCCAGAAAUAACCCCAUAAAUAGUGCAAUGAGUAAUCCCCAGCAACAUAAUCAGGUGUAAUCAACUGGAGCAAGCAAUUUACAUGGCAUAGAAACCUCCCAAUCAAACAAGUGCAUUAUUCUAGCGCACCCCAAAAUUCCAAGAAAUGGCUCCAGUUGGCCAAUUAAUUUCACAAUGUCACCCAACUCAGGAGAAAUAGCAAUUCCACACAAAAAUAGUCAAACCAGUACCACUGGCGAAAAAUCUUUCAAAUAUGCACAAUUUGCUACCAAAUAUCACCGGCUAACACUGAAAAAUUGAGGGCAAGUGUCAAAUACCUCCACAGGGACUACCCCAGGCGGCAGACAGAGAAGCGGCGUUGAAGCUGGUGGUCGAGCGGGGCGGCGCUCGCGUCGGCGUGCGCAGCGGCGACGGCGCGCGAGGAUGGAGUUUCGGGAGGUUGCGUGCGGGCUUGGCUGAAGACGCGGCGCGCGCUAGGGCUUCGCUGCGGCAGGCGUGCAGCAGGGGAGAAGAAAGAAAAGAGAAAGAAAGAAAGAAAAAGAAAGGAAAGAAAGAACAGAAAAGAAGGAAAAGAAAAAGGAAUUUUUCUUUUUUUUCUUUUUCUUUAGGCUACGGUUUAGAGGACAAAUUUUUCUUCUUCUUGUUUUCUACUUUUUUAUUUUUUUAUUUUUUAGUUUUUAAUUUAUUACUAUUAUUAUCAUAUUUAAUUGAGGAAAAAAAAUGUUUUUUUUUAAAUCCCUACCUUUCCCACGAACGUGACGCGGGCACGUCAAGAGGGCAAGAGAGCUCCCAGAAGUUUCAGAAUUUUCUGAUCGUAAGCGUCCUGCACAUCACCACGCGGGCACGUCAUGAGGACAGGAGAGCUCCCAGAAGUUCAGAAUUUUCUGAUCGUGAGCGCCCUGCACGUCACCACGCGGGCACGUCAUGAGGCCAGGAGAGCUCCCAGAAGUUUGAAGUUUCUGAUUCCUGCCCGUCAUCACGCGGGCGCGUCAUGACUGAAGGUCACCUACAAAUCAGCAAAAACGAAAACUAACACCCAAAAUCAGUCAAAUUCAGGGAAAGCAGAUUUAAACUAUGCUACAAAACCAACAAACAAUUAAAAGAAAUAAUUAGGUUGCCUCCCAAUGAGCGCCUUUCUUUAAUGUCUUUGGCUAGACAUGGUAAAGUGUCACUGAUUAGGACACGGUGGUGCGUCAAGCCUUAUUGUCUCCACCUCUCUACCUGAAAAUCCUUCGUAAUAAUAUUUGAGACGGUGUCCAUUCACCACAAAUUUGUUGUCUGUCUUAGCACUCUGGAUCUCAACUGCACCAUAGGGAAAAACAUGAGUAACAAUGAAAGGUCCAAUCCAACGGGAACGUAGCUUACCUGGGAAUAGCUUGAGCCUGGAUUGGUACAGGAGGACCUUCUGACCAACUUCAAAUGUUUUUCUUGAAAUUUGUUGGUCAUGAAAUGCCCGGCUUUUCUCCUUAUAUAUCAAGGCGUUUUCGUAUGCUUCGUUCCGGAUCUCCUCCAAUUCUUGCAAAUCCAACUUCCGUUGAGCACCGGCCUCCUCUAAAUUCAUAUUGCAGUGCUUUAUCGCCCAAAAAGCCUUGUGCUCGAACUCCACUGGAAGGUGACACGGCUUCCCAAAUACCAACCUGUACGGUGACAUCCCAAUAGGAGUCUUGUACGCCGUCCGAUAGGCCCAGAGUGCGUCUUCCAACCUUUGGCUCCAGUCUUUUCUAUCAGGGCGCACCAUUUUCUCUAAAAUGGACUUAAUCUCCCGAUUCGACACCUCCGCUUGACCAUUGGUCUGAGGGUGGUAUGACGUUGAGACCCUGUGGAGUACACCAUACUUGCGAAACAACGCAGCUAUGGUUUUGUUGCAAAAGUACGUUCCCCUAUCACUGACAAUAGCUCUAGGCAUUCCAAACCGCACAAAGAUAUUAGACCUGAUAAAAUCUGCAACUACUCUCGAAUCAUUAGUUCGAGUGGCCUUAGCCUCCACCCAUUUAGACACAUAAUCAACUGCCAGCAAAAUAUAUAAAAAACCAAAUGAAGUAGGAAAAGGCCCCAUGAAAUCUAUACCCCAGACAUCAAAAAUUUCAACAAAAAUCAACGGGACCUGGGGCAUUUGAUCUCUACGGGCUAUAUUACCUACCAUUUGACAGCGAUCACAUGACUUACAAAACACAUAGGCAUCUCUAAACAAUGAAGGCCAAUAAAAUCCACUUUCUAAAACCUUAUGAGCAGUUCUCUUAGGUCCAAAAUGACCUCCACAGGCAAAAGUAUGACAAAAAGCUAAAAUUGAUUGAAAUUCCAUUUCACUUACACAUCUCCUCAUCACUUGAUCGGCACACCUCUUCCAUAGGUACGGGUCAUCCCAGAUAAAAUACUUGGCAUCGCUCUUCAAUUUAUCCCUCUUCGAUUUCGGCCAACCUGCAGGAAAAUUACCAGUUACCAAAUAAUUGACCAAAUCAGCAUACCAAGGCAACUGAGAAUUUAAGAAAAAUAGGUAUUCUUCGGGGAAUGCAUCCUUCAAUGGCUCGCUAUCCUCUUCAACUAGUAUGCGACUCAAAUGGUCCGCUACUAGAUUUUCUGAGCCUUUUUUGUCCCUUAUCUCCAAGUCAAAUUCCUGUAGGAGCAGUAUCCACCGUAUGAGCCUCGGUUUUGCAUCUUUCUUGGUCAUCAGGUACCUCAAUGCUGCAUGAUCAGAAAAUACAAUCACUUUAGCACCUAACAAGUAUGACCUAAAUUUUUCCAAAGCAAAAAUAACUGCCAGAAGCUCCUUCUCAGUGGUGGAAUAAUUCAACUGGGCUCCAUUCAAGGCCCGGGAUGCGUAAUAGAUGACAUGAGCCGCCUUGCCUAUUCUUUGCCCCAGUACAGCCCCAACAGCGUGAUCACUGGCAUCGCACAUGAUCUCAAAUGGCAAAUUCCAAUCGGGGGGUUGGAUGAUUGGGGGUGAAGUCAGCAAUUCCUUCAGCUUGUUAAAGGCUCUCUCACACUUAUCAUCAAAUUCGAAGGCUACAUCUUUUUGUAGGAGUUGGAACAACGGGGCUCCAAUCUUUGAAAAAUCCUUGAUGAACCUUCGAUAAAAACCUGCAUGUCCAAGAAAAGAGCGCACCUCCCGCACACUCGCGGGGUAAGGUAAUGCAGAAAUAAUGUCUAUUUUAGCCUUGUCAACUUCUAUGCCCUUAGACGAUACAAUAUGACCCAGGACUAUUCCGUGCUCAACCAUAAAAUGACAUUUUUCCCAAUUAAGCACAAGAUUAGUCUCUAUACACCUGAUCAGGAUUAAUUUCAGGUUAUCUAGACAAGUAUCAAAACUAUCACCAUACACACUGAAAUCAUCCAUGAAAACUUCUAUUAUUUUCUCAACAUACUCGGAAAAGAUGCUUACCAUACAUCUUUGGAAAGUCGCAGGUGCAUUGCACAACCCAAAUGGCAUUCGUCUGUAGGCAAAGGUCCCGAACGGGCACGUGAAGGUUGUCUUCUCUUGAUCCUCCGGGGCAAUUGCUAUCUGAAAGUAUCCUGAAAAUCCAUCCAAAAAGCAAUAAUAAGCCCUACCAGCUAAACGUUCAACCAUUUGGUCAAUGAAAGGGAGAGGGAAAUGGUCCUUUUUGGUGACGGCGUUUAGCCUACGGUAAUCUAUACAUUGCCUCCAUCCAGUGGGUUUGCGCACUGGCACGAGCUCACCAGUUUGGUUGGCCUCUACCGUCACUCCUGCAUUCUUUGGGACUACCUGGACCGGACUCACCCAAGGGCUAUCAGAUAUUGCAAAAAUGAUGCCCACAUCUAGCAAUUUUAGAAUCUCUUUCUUUACGACUUCCAUCAUGAGGGGAUUGAGCCUUCUUUGAGCCUGCCUAACAGGUUUGGCAUCGUCUUCCAGCCUAAUCCGGUGCAUACAAAUGGCCGGGCUGAUCCCCUUAAUGUCUGCGAUUGUCCAGCCUAUUGCCUCUUUAUGCUCCCGAAGGACCCGGAUCAAUUUCUCUUCCUGGGUCUUUGACAGUGCCGAUGAGAUAAUCACUGGGAGUGUCUCAUUAUCACCUAGGUAUGCGUAUUUCAGGUGCUCUGGUAGAGGUUUCAACUCCAGUACAGGUGCCUGCACCACAGAUGGCAAUACCCUCUGGUGAGCCUUGGGAGUAAAAAUAGGUAAGACUUCAUACCUUUUCGUGGUGGUCUGCAACGAGUGUAAUGCACCUAUUGUGCAUUUUAAAUCCUCGCUCCACUCCACCUCAGGAGUUGUCUCCAACUCGAGGUGCUUGGUUAAAGCCACCUCCAGCUCAUCCCUGCCAUCAGUUUCAAACACUUCCUGCACUACAGGGUCAAUAGCACUCACAGAAAAAACUGAGCUAAAGUUGGAGUUAGAGGGGUACUUCAUAGUAUCAAAAAUAUUAAAAUGCACAAUUUACCCAUCAAACUCCAUGGACAAGGUACCCUUAUUAACAUCAAUUUUCGUCUGCGCAGUGCUCAUAAAAGGUCUACCCAAUAACAAAGGUGAGGGAUCAGGGGAGUGAUCAUCAUCCAUAUCUAGUACAUAAAAAUCAGCUGGAAACACCAAAUCAUUAACCUUUACCAACACAUCUUCAAUCAACCCAUCAGGAUAUGCAUUAGUUCGGUCAGCUAAUUGAAUAAUUAUUCCAGUUUCUUUUAAUGGACCUAGUUUCAAAGAAGCAUAGAUAGAUUUAGGCAUGACAUUAAUUGAUGCUCCCAGAUCCAGCAUGGCCCUUCUGAUCACAGUAUUACCUAUCUUACAGGGAAUAGUAAACAUACCUGGGUCCCCGCACUUUGGUGGGAGCUUUCUCUGCAGGACCGCAGACACAUUUUCUCCAACUAUGACCCGUUCAUCUCCCCUCAACCGCCUUCGGUUGACACACAAGUCCCUUAGGAACUUGGCAUAUUUUGGUACUUGUUUGAUGGCGUCUAAGAGGGGGAUAUUUAUCUCAACCUUGCGAAAAACCUCCAAGAUCUCCUUCUCCUUAUCCUGCUUCUUCGAUUUUUCCAACCUGCUAGGAAAAGGAGGCGGGUUAGUUUUAACUGUAAUUAUUGGGUCAGGAAGUACCUCUGGAUCUGCACCAUUGCUGUCCUCCCUUUCGAGCUCAUUUUCGAUCUUCUCUUCAUCCUUGUCCUUGGGAAUCACAGGUUCAGGCCCCUGAAUUUCUUUCCCACUCCUUAGGAUCAUUGCGCUCACGUUCUUCGGAUUCAACUCCGGUUGAGAUGGCAGCUUCCCUUGGUUCUGGGACUCCCAACGGUUCAUUCUGGUGGCCAAUUGACCUAUCUGAUUCCUUAUGUCCUGCAUUUCGGAGUCCGUCUUUUGCUGAUUUUGCAUAAUAGCUGCCUCCGUCCUUUGCUGAUUCUGCGCCAUGGUUGUCAUCAUUUGUUUCAGCAUCUCAUCCGUAGAUGAACCAGAUUGAGGGAGCGGAGGUGGUCGGGGUUGGUAUUGCUGCUGGUACCCUGGUGGCUUAUUUGGCACAAAGUUAGACUGCCUGUUUGGCGUGAAGUUGGAUUGCCUAUUUCCACCAUAACUGAGGUUGGGAUGAUCUCUCCACCCGGGGUUGUAGGUGCUUGAGUAAGGGUCGUACUGCUUCCUUGGCGCGGGCGCGUGGUCAGCCAUGUUCACCUGUUCCGCAGUUUCUUCCUGAAUCAUUGGGCACAUGUCUGCAGAGUGACCUAUACCAGUGCAAAUCCCGCAUACCCUGGCUUGUGAUGCAUUUCUCACAGCCUAUUGCCUAACGAACGCAGUCAACUCAUUUAGCUGCUGCUGCACAGAGGGUGUCUCUAUCUCAUUCACCCUACGUAUUGGGACAUCCUAUCUUGUACUGAAUUGCUGUGAAUUCUCUGCCAUCCCCUCUAUUAACUCCCGUGCUUCCUGAGGGGUUUUGUUCACCAGUGCCCCUCCACUUGCAGCAUCAAUGAUGCUCCUGUCUCUAAAAAUGAGCCCCUCAUAGAAAUAUUGUAUGAUCAACUGCUCACUUAUUUGGUGAUGGGGGCACCUGCGCAACAAGCUCUUAUACCGUUCCCAAUACUCGUAAAGUGACUCCUCGGGAUGCUGCUUGAUCCCACAAAUUUCUUUCCUUAGACUCGCAGCCCUGGACGCAGGAAAAUAUUUAUCCAGAAAUUUUUUCUUCAAUUGGUCCCACGUGGUGAUGCUACCUGGUGACAGGUAGUACAGCCAGUCCUUCGCAGAAUCUUUCAAGGAGAAGGGGAAUGCCCUCAUUUUUAUCUGCUCUUCUGUGAUUCCCGGGGGUUUCAUACUGUUGCAAACGACAUCAAACUCCUGCAGAUGCUUAUACGGCUCUUCACCUGGUAAACCAUGAAAAGAGAGUAAAAGCUGAAUCAGACCAGAUUUUAGUUCAAAUGGAAUGUUGUCAUUUAAAGCUGGGAAAGUAAUGCAUAACGGCUGCUGAGUUAAAUCAGGAGCAGCCAACUCCCUUAAUGUUUAUGCAUUAGCCAUGGUGCCUUCCUGCUGGUCAGAGUCACUCGAAGUGUUACCAAACGAAUCUGUUGGUUCAACUUCUGACUCGGGUCUUUGAGAUGUAGCACUAGAGUGCUCUUCUCUGAGCUGUCUGGUUUCCUUUCUCGUUCUACGCGCGGUCUUCUCUACCUCAGGAUCAAAAACCAAAUCACCUGUGCGACAAGAUCGAGGCAUACACUAGAAGAAAACCAGAAAAUUAGGACAAAAUUGAAUUUAAGAAGAAACAAAUAAUAACGCCAGUCCCCGGCAACGGCGCCAAAAAUUGACAGGUCGUCAACCUGUGCAAUAAUAAAAUUAAACCUAAUUGCCAGUUAAAAUGACCAAAACCCAAUUCCAAGUACUGGAGCAGGGACUCUAGGUGUGCAAUGGGUUACUUGAUUCACCCUGUUCCCGAAGAGUUUGCUUGAUCCGAUAUACCCGAAUGGAAUGGUUAUUCCUUUUCACAAAUGAUUAGGAAUUUGUAGACAGGGCAAGUAGGGUCGUAUCCACAGAGACUGGGUAUAUUUGUUUCUUAAGAAAUCCAAAGUAACACAGGGGGUGAUUUUGUAGGAACGACGAUAAUUAAAUAAAUUCAAAUGAGAAAGUAAAAAUAAAUAAUUAACUAGAAAUUAAACCACAAUUUACUGAACUCAGGAUAACAAUAGUUAAAGGCCUCAAUUAAUUAAAAUAAGGAAACAAUCAAAAAUAAAAUAAAGUAGGUAAUUAAAAGUCAAAUGGCAAUCCACUACAAUCAAGGAAAUAUUAACUAAAGAUCUAGCCAAGAAAUAACUUCAGCAAUGGUUCACCUAAUCGAUCAUUGAUGCAAAGCAAUCCCAAUUAUUUACUAAUAAAUAGGUUAUAACUACCAAACAAGCGAUGGCAGUCAACCCCUCCUUACUGUGUCGGUGAUCAAGGUACGCCCGUUAAUCACUGCUCUAAUUGAGAAAUAAUCCUAGGUACGCCCGUAGAAUUUAAUUCCCCAACUGCCUUACGUAUUAGAGGAGCCCUAUUCUACCCAAAUAACACACUACCAGGGUUAUUUUAGAUUAGCCCGCGUAUCCCCCUGACACGAAUCUAAUCGUGCCAGUUGUCACUAAUUUGAGGUAAUUAAACAAUUACGGAUUCAAUACCCCAAUUGACAAUAGAUUAUCAAACCAAUGAAUUAUCCGGAUCCAAGACAAUCAACUAAUUAAAUAAUCAUAAGCACUGCAACCAAGGAAUAUGCGAAUACCAAUAAAUAAAGGAAAAGAUAAAAUUAAAUCGAUCUCACAAUUUACAGGUGAUCCAAAGCAUCAGUCGUUUCUUGACUAGAACGAGGGGGUUAGCUCAUAUUGGAUGAACUAAGCCCGCGGGAAAUUCCAGCAAAAGUCACGGCCGUUGUAUGCAUUUCAAGAGCCGCAAUUCGUCAAACACUUGGAAAGCGAAUGUAAGGCACGGGUAACAAUUGAAGCUUUCUAAUUGUUCCUAGCAUUCGUAAAGCAAAUUCACUCCAGAAGUACAGUGAGGAAAAGUCAAAGAAAGUGGGCUUCAAUUCCUUGCUCCUGACAUGCGUGGAGACAAGCCAAUGCAAGACUACAAUAAACUAACAAGGAAAAGUCAAGAAUUGGAGCUAAGCUCCCCUGCCAUGCGCAGGAAUCCGAAAAGUAAAAAGUAAAGCUUCAAAGAAAAGUCAACAAUUCUUCCUAAGCUACAGACGGAAGAUCCAGCACAAAAGCCAGCUCCCUUUUUUAUCCCUUUUUCCCCCUUCUUAUUGCGGCGGCUCACCAGGAGAGGAGAGCCCUCCGUCCGUCCUUUCUUCCGAAAAUUACCAAAAUGGGCAUGACAUCUUCUCUUCCAAAAGUGCCCCUGGGACAAGCUUUCUCAUCUGAAUUCUUUUUUUUUCCAAUUUGGCACCUGUUAUCAUAUUUAUAUUCUACUCCCUGAAAUAAACGUCAAAUACUAAAAGUGAGUAGAAUCCAGCAAAUAAAUCCACAUCAAGUCAGGUAAUAGGAGGAAUUAAUAAUAAAAUAAAUGAAUAAAUUGCACCCUAUCAGAAAAAUGCAAAAAUUUGUUAUUUAUCAUUAAGGAUCAUAUCGCAUAUAACAUCAAAAAAUAGUAUAUUAUUUAUAUCUUUCACUUAAUAUAAUAUCCAAAUUACUCUUUUCAGUUACAUACCCAUUGUUAGACAAAAUCAACAACAAAUAACCAAAAAAUUUGCAACCAAAAUAUUACCAAAAAAAUAAACUUUAACAUCAUAAAUAUUUUUAUCAACAUAUUAAAGUUAGUUAUUGAAAUUUUUAUGGUGUUAAACUUCACUCUUAGCAAUAUUUUGGUUACAGAUUUUUUUGAUUAUUUAUUGUUGAUCGUGUUUGACAAUGGAUUUGUAACUGAAAAGAAUAAUUUGAAUCUUACAUUAAGUGAAAUAUAUAAAAUAUUAUACUAUUUUUUAUGGCAUAUGUGAUUCUUUUUUUUUUUUUUAUCAGAACGGCAACAUUGUAUUAAUAGUAAACCAAUUACAGUAUAGGUGGGCAACCGCCCUCACAAUCUGCCUGGACUUGUUCCAGCAGCCAAACUGGGAAGUUUUCCUUCCAUUCAGUAUUUUGUUCCAAAGUAAUAGCUACUUUAGCUAGUUUAUGGCUAACAAAGUUGUUCACCCUAUUUGCAAAGGUAAAACAACAUUCAUCAAAUUUUAUUCAUGUACAAUUGUUGCUAUCACCACGUCCUCCUCCUCCUCCUCACUGCACACUACUUGACUACCACCCUUCGCCAACCUUGCUGUUGCAUGUGCAACUAUCAUGGCCUCUCUUAGCGCCUUUGCUUCUUCGACCUUUGGACUGGCACAGCUAAAAUUUGGAACAGCCCAGGCCCACCCGCAAUCUUCCCAACCAAUCCCUGGCCACCCUUUUCCCACCCAGCUUCUAUGGCAUGUGUGAUUCAAUCCUUCUUGAUAGGAUUGGUAAUAGAGGCAGAGGGGGGAGCCGGCUGCAUCCGGUCUACUUUUCAUAGAUAGUACAAUAUUGCGAAAUCGAUCGCAUUCACACAAGAAUAUUUCGAAGUCAUUGCAUCGCUAAGUUGCAAAAAAGUACAAACACUUGUUAUUAUAUAGCUUAAGAUUCAAAACUUUAGAGCACAACCCUCCACCUAACACAAUUGAAUAAUGAAUAUUCACGAUUGUCAAAUCUGUCAAAGCACAGUUUGAGGACAACCCAUUCCAACCUGCAAAAGAUUUUUGACUUUUUUAAAGUUGUUGAGAGCUGUAAAAAGACUUACCAUGCUUACAUCUUCCGAGCCUUGGGAGUUAAAAAUGAAGGCACUGAGUGCUAUAAAAAGGGGGCUAGAGGCUGCCUAGAAGCAUAUCAGCCUAAAACAAGAAUUUGUAGUUAUGAUGGGAAGCAAAGCAAAAGCAAUGGGGUCUGGGCUGACUCCUCUUCUUACCACUGUUUUAGUGGUAUUUGUUGCUCUUGGCUUGCCCUCAGAAACUGCAGCUGAUGAUCACUACAAGUAUUCAUCUCCUCCUCCUCCUUACCACUAUCCCUCACCACCACCUCCAGUGCAUUUACCUCCACCAGUGUACAAAUACAAGUCCCCACCACCACCUCAUCAUGUUUACAAGUACAAAUCUCCACCACCCCCACCACCACACCCAGUUUACAAGUAUAAGUCGCCACCACCACCUCCUCAUCCGGUAUACAAGUACAAGUCUCCUCCGCCACCUCCUCAUCCGGUACCACACCCAGUUUACAAGUAUAAGUCACCACCACCACCUCCUCAUCCGGUACCACACCCAGUUUACAAGUAUAAGUCUCCUCCGCCACCAGUUUACAAAUAUAAGUCUCCUCCACCACCACCUCCAGUGUACAAAUACAAGUCUCCACCACCACCAGUUUACCACUACAAGUCUCCACCACCUCCUCCCCCAGUUUACAAAUACAAGUCUCCACCACCACCACCACCAGUUUACCACUACAAGUCACCACCACCUCCUCCCCCAGUUUACAAAUACAAGUCUCCACCACCUCCUCACCACUACUAAGCAAUUGCUUCUGAGGUAAUAACACUUGUUCAAUAUACCCACUUCUGCAUGAUAAAGCAUAUCUCUAUCAACACAAACUGUCAUGUCUAUCAUGCUAAGUGCCUUCACUUCAUCCACCAAAAUGACUGCUAGAAAAUUUUUUUUAUGUUACCAAAGAAAGGCAUCAUUUUUUCCCUCUGUUAUCAAGAACUUGUACAGUAUAUAGAUUAAAGAGUAUUUUUUUAACUAGCUUAUCAACUGAGAAAUGCAUAUAGCUGAUAGCCAGCUGAAUAUUUGCAGGCAAAGGAGAAGGAAACCAGUGUUUGAGACCUUCUUGAAGAUGUAGAAGCAUAAGAAUUAAAGCCCAAUGUGAAGAUGAUGAUUUCAAGUUUUUCUACGUUACCAUUUCUUUAUCUAAAUUGGUUGUAGCGCCUUAGUUCCUUUGUUUAUGGGAUUUGUAUCGUUUUACGUACCAUGCAGUACAUGUCAUGUUUGUAAGGUUUUCUAUCCUGCCGGCAAACCGCAGGUUCCAUGUAAUAAAUCAAUACUAUUUAUAUUACGACACUUUUCUCUGUUUCUCUUAUAUUUUGUCGUCUUUAAUAUUCUUAAUCAUAUUUUUAACAAAAAUAUUCAAACACUUAGGCAAUCUGGUCUAAUGCUAAUUGUAUGUUUUACUUUUCUUUUUCACCUGCUCCCCUUUUCAACUCAAAAGGAUGCAAUAGUUUGUGAUCACUGUUGAAGACGGAAGCAUGAUACUAAUGAAUAUAUCAUUGAAACUCAAGGAAACUAACAUUAUGAAAAGUGUAAAUCUUGAUUUGAUGCAACUAUUUAUUCGUGGAAUCUAUAGUUACAAAACUCAAACUCUGACUGCGCCAUUGAUAAAUUAUUAAUGACGCUAUCAUCAUUAUUUAUCCCCAACUAGUUUCGACUACAACUGAACCCAAUAUUUUCCCCAUGAUAAAAGUUUUUUACUAUUUUACUGGCCUCUCUUCAAAUUUUAAAAAUUACACUAAUCUUCAUUGAGAUUAAUUAUCUUGUAGCAUUUAAGUCCAAUUAAUAAUUAAAAAAUAAUAUUAUGAGAGAGAAAAUAAUAUAAUUUUAUCAUUGCCCCCCAUCUUGCUAUAUUAUUUAAUUAAUUUAAUAGCAACCCACACAUUAAAGAAAAAUACUAAAAUUUGCUGCUUUUCAUUAAAGAUCAAAUUGCAUAUGCCAUAAAACAUAGUAUAUCAUUCUAUAUGUUUCACUUAAUGUAAGAUCCCAAUUGUUCUUUUCAAUUACAAACCCAUUGUCAAACAUGAUCAAUAACAAAUAACCAAAAAAUUUGCAACCAAAAUAUUACAAAAAAAAACUUUAACAUCAUAAAUAUUCUUACCACCUCUAGUGCAUUCACCCUCAUAAAAUAAUUCAAGACCCUACUGUCAUAAAAUGACUGAUCAACUCCUGUAAACCUAAUUUGACAACAUUUAAAUGGAGAACUUUAGCUAAAAGAAUUAUGGUCAAGCUAAAGAAAAAACCAGUUAUUUUCCAACAUAUGCAAUCAUUGAUCAGGGAAAAAAAAAAGAAGCAAAAAGACAUCUUCAAUCAUUUAAUAGCUUACAGGGCAAAUUAACCCCUAAGCGAAAACUGGUUGCUCUAGAAUCAAAAUUUUACUUUAGUUACCCAGGCAACUUUUUUUGUUGCCUUUUCUUUUUCUUUUUUGGGUAUAUAUAUAGCUCCAGUUUUGCCCCCUCUGUCAAGCUUAUAUAAUUAUUAAGAUAAUAAAAGUGCCUUUAAUAGUAUUAAUAUAUCCAUUGACUUGAGCUGUCAUCGAUCGGUUUGGGCUACUUCGAUUCCAUGAGAACAAAUGGUAAUAAAAGUACUCAGAAAAUGGGGAGUCAUGAAACCCUUUUGUUCUAUUCAUUGCUAAGAUGCUUUUCUCUAUAAAGACACUUCCUAACGAAAAUACUUUGUAGAUUUCUUUACUCCAAGUGGUGCAUGGAAAAUUAAUAUUUUCAAUUAUCAAAUAAAAUUCCCUUUUUUCGGUGUAGAUUUCAUCCAUUCAGCUGUUAACACUCCGAAUUGACUAAUCUUUUCGUUUCCAUUUUCCAACUUGCGAAUACGGCAUCUUACAUAUUGUCUGCUGAAUAUGAAUACAUAUCCCUUUUCUGAGCAGGUGCAGAGUCAUUAUCAUUUUUAUUCCCACCUAACAAAUUAGUUAAUAAUCUUUUAAAGAACAUGUUAAAUUAAUUUAUUGGUAUGAAUAGUAGUCAAAGAAGUAUGUUAAAGUUAGUAAUCUUUAAAAUAAUAUGUUAAAAUUAUUCGUACAAAUUAGCCAGAGAAGUAGCAUAAACACCGCGAUGCAAUUAAUACUUUCAAUCUCAAGGUCUCUAUUAUGGAAAUUUGCAUCGGUCAACAUACACAAAGCAUUAUUGUAUGCACGUCUCUCUAUUAUGGAAAUUUGCAUAGGUCAAUAUACACUUGGCAUAGUUGCAUGCACGUCCAAUUUUUUUUUAUUUUUAUUUUUGGUAUUUUACUUCCUGCCUUAAGUUGCCUGCAGAUGUUUGUAUUACAAAUAUAUGGUAUACUAAAUAUAUAGUAUGCACAUUAAUUUCUUUGGGUUGCUUAAGGGUAUAUUGUUAAUAAUAGGGGGUUUAACCAUAAAUUAUAACAAUGAUGAAGUAAUAUAUAUUAGAAAAUUAACACAAUUAUGAUUUUUUUUUUUGUAAAAUUCAAAUUUUAUUAAUAAGAAAUGAAAUAGGCAGUAAGCAUUUACAAACCGAAAACAAAAUCCUACAACAACUCUAGGACUCUACACCUUAUUAAAAAAAAACAUUUUGAUAGCGUUUUUCCAAAAGCAGAAGAUGGAAAAUUGCCCAUUUGUACUGGGGAGUUCGUGAUCUUUUCCUCAUUCUAGUCUACUUACAAUUCUUGGAAAAAGGAAUACUCACAUCUCAAACAACAGCCUGUUCAUCUGCAGUGUCCUGCCGAAUUCUAGAAAGUUUGGUGGCAAUGUUAAUUACAUUUCAAAAUUGACUGCUGCGAUAACUAAUUCGAUGGCUUACUACAUGGUCAACGUUUGGAUCUCUUCCUGUCCUUUUUGGAUGCACAUUUUUUUUCUCUAGGUAAUAUAUAAUCUCCCAACUCAUUUCUUUACAAAUGCACCUUUAAUCACCACCAAAAGGUGUGGACAUGAUCUUUACCCUAGAAAACUAUUCACCGACAGGCAAAUUGACGUCAGAAAUACUAAGAGGAAUUCUAGUUUCCUUCGGGUUAAUGCCAUUUUGUACCCUUCAACUGUAACUCAAUUUCUAAGCUGUAAUUUGUGACAUUAUAGUCCUUAAACUAUGAAACCCUUUCUUAUUUAAUUACAAUGGUUAAUACAAUGCCCGUGACUAGACAAGUAUGAAGCAACCAUAACAAAAAAAAAAUCCAAAAUUAGAGAAAAGAAAGAAGUUGCGACCAAAGUAUGUAUCAAGGCAUAGUAUAGAAAUAAAAGUGUCAAAAUUAAGAGUUUAGGGAUAAAAAAGAAUCAAAAUAUAGUUUAGGAAUUGAUUUGUCUCAAUUAGAGUUUAGAUGUCAACUAAGAAGAGAGAUAUAGUUGAAGGGUAGAAUAUAGAUAUAACAGUUCAAUGAUUGAUAUCAACGAGACAAUGACAACUUUGGAUUAUUACCAACCUCUUCUUGAUGGAAAAGGAAAUAGAGAAGAAAGUCGGGCCUGGUCUAAGCCUGUUUCGGAGGCAAAACAACAUUAUGAAAUCACCGGCAUUCACACAAAUAUGUCAAAGUCACCGGCAUGCUAAGUUGCAAAAUUUAUACAAACACUGAAUAUUAUAUUCUUCUCAAAAUUUUUGUUUAAGAUUUAACAAUUAGAGCACGGUACACGAAUUAGCAAUAUUAAAUAAUGAAUGUUCACGAUUGAUAAAGUUAUCAAAGUACAGUUUGAGGACAACCCAUUCCAACGUGUACAAGAUGUUUAGCCUUUGAAAAGUUAAUUAGAGAAGGUGACGAGAUUUUACUAGGCUUACAACUUCUAGGCCUUGGGAGUAAAAAGUGAAGACACUGAGUGCUAUAAAAAGGGGGCUAGAUGUUGCCUAGAAGCAUAUCAGCCUCGGACCACAUUUUGUAGCAAUGGGGAGCAAAGCAAAAGCAAUGGGGUCUAGGCUGACUCCUCUUUUUACCACCGUUUUAGUGGUAUUUGUUGCACUUGGCUUGCCUUCAGAAACUGCAGCUGAUUACGACAAGUAUUCACCUCCUCCUCCUCCUUACCAUUAUUACUCACCACCACCUCUUGUGCAUUCACCUCCACCACCGCCAGUUUAUAAGUCACCCCCACCACCUUAUCACUACUUCUCACCACCACCUCCAGUGUAUCCAUCUCCACCACCAUCUGUUUACAAGUCACCUCCACCACCUUCGCCAGUAUACAAGUCCCCACCACCACCUUAUCAAUAUUCCUCACCACCACCUCCAGUGCAUUCACCUCCACCACCACCGAUUUAUAAGUCACCUCCACCACCUCCUCCAGUUUACAAGUCCCCGCCACCACCUUACCAUUAUUCCGCACCAUCACCUCCAGUGCAUUCACCUCCACCACCACCGAUUUACAAGUCACCUCCACCACCUCCUCCAGUUUACAAGUCUCCAUCACCACCUUACCAUUAUUCCUCACCACCACCUCCAGUGCAUUCACCCCUACCACCACCGGUUUACAAGUCUCUGCCACCACCUUACCAUUAUUCCUCACCACCACCUCCUAUGCAUGCACCUCCACCACCAAUAUACAAGUCACCUCCACCACCUCCUCCAGUUUACAAGUCUCCACCACCACCUUACCAUUAUUCCUCACCACCACCUCCAGUGCAUUCACCCCUACCACCACCAGUUUACAAGUCUCCGCCACCACCUUACCAUUAUUCCUCACCACCACCUCCUGUGCAUGCACUGCCACCACCAAUUUACAAGUCACCUCCACCACCUCCUCCAGUUUACAAGUCCCCACCACCACCUUACCAUUAUUCCUCACCACUACCUCCAGUGCAUUCACCUCCACCACCACCGAUUUACAAGUCACCUUCACCACCUCCUCCAGUUUACAAGUCUUCACCACCACCUUACCAUUAUUCCUCACCACCACCACUCUUCAAUUUGGAUGUAAUUCAAUUUUCCUUGUAAUCGGUGGCCCUCCUUCGGAAUCCAAAUAGUCAUUGAGUGCAGCCUUCUUUCUUUAUUUUUUACUCAUUUUCACCUCAUAAAUUGCUUUCAUCCCCUAAAACUUGUUCGCUGGAAUUUUGAAUUUACCCAUACAACUAAACUCAGAAAAUUCUUACACAAAGGGAUUAGUAGCAUGAAUAGCAAACACAGAAUAAGAGAUAACAGUAUGUUUUAUUGUAUUAAAAAUAUUAAAGUGGAUUAUUUCUCCAUCGAAUUCCAUUGUGAGAGUAUCGUUACUAACAUCAAUCUUAGUUUGAGCAGUACUCAAGAAUGACCUUCCUAAUAUAAUGGGUGAUGGAUUUGGGACACUUUCAUCAUCCAUAUAAAACACAUAAAAAUCAACAGAAAAAAUUAAUCCAUCUACUUGAACUAAAAACAUCCUCAACUACCCCAUUUAGAUAAGCAAAUAUACGAUCAGCCAAUUGAAUUAUUAUCCCUAUUUCUUUUAAAUGUUCUAAAUUUAGGGAAUCAUAAAUUGAUUUAGACAUCACAUUAAUAGAAAUCUUUAAAUCUAUCAUGGCAUUUUUUAUAUUAGAAUGUCCAAUCUUACAUGAGAUAGUAAACAUACCUAGAUUCUCGCAUUUAGGUGGUAGUUUCCUUUGUAAAAUUGCUGAAACGUUCUCAUCUACCACAAUAUGCUUGUCCUCCUCAAUUUCUUCUUGUUGACACACAAGUUUUUCAAGCAUUUAACGUAUUUUGGAACUUAUUUGAUUUGCGUCCAACAAAGGGAUAUUGAUUGCCACCUUGCGAAAAUCUCUAAAAUCUCCUUUUCUUUAUCUUGUUUCUUUGAUUUCUCUAACCUGCUUGGAAAAGGUGGUGAGUUAGUUCCAACUCUAAUUAUAGAAUCAACAAUUACCUUUGGAUUCACAUUUCUCAUUCCUUCCUCCUCAAGCUCUUUGUCGAUUCGAUCUUCAUUUUUAUCCUUUGGAAUCACAACUUCGGAUCCCUGAAUUUUCUUCUCGCUCCUUAAGGUCAUUACACUUACAUUCUUCAGGUUCAGUUCAGGUUGAGACGACAAUUUUUCAUAGAUUUGGGAUUCCAGGCGGUUGAUUGCUAUUACCAUCUGACUCAUCUGACUCUGCAGUGCUUGCACCUGUCCCAAUUGAUUCCUCAUACUUUGCAAGUCAAAAUCCAUCUUUUGUUGAUUAGCAAUUAAUUGCUUCAUUAUCUCUUCUAUAGAUGGACUUGAGUUUGAAAGAGGUGGUGGCGGGCGAGACUGAUACUGUUAUUGAUACCCUUGCUAUCUAUUUGGUGCAAAAUCUGGCUACCUAUUUCCUCCAUAGCUGAGGUUGGGAUGAUCUCUCCAACCAAUAUUGUACGUAUUCGUGUACGAGUCGUAUGGUUUUCUUGGCACGGCGCGUGACCAGCCAUGUUCACUUGCUCCGUACUUUUCUCUUGAAUCAUUGAGCACAUCUCUGUAGAAUGACCCAUAGCAGUGCAGAUCCCACACAUCUUGACUCGUGAUGCAUUUCCUAUAGCUAAUUGCCUAACAAAGGAUGUUAAUUCGGUCAACUGCUGUUGGAUAGAAUAUGUUUCUACCUCAUUUACUUUGCGUGUUGGGGCAUCCUCCCUCGUACCAAACUGUUGCGAAUUUUCCGCCAUUCCUUCAACUAGCUCCCACGCUUCUCGAGAAGUCUUGUUCACCAAUGCCCUUCUACUUGCAGCAUCAAUUAUACUCCUGUCUCUAAAACGCAGCCCCUCGCAAAAAUAUUGGAUGAGCAAUUGCUCACUUAUUUGGUGUUGAGGGAACUUGAUGCAUAACUUCUUGAAUCGCUCCCAAUAAUCAUAAAGCGACUCUCCUGGAUGCUACUUGAUACCGUAUAUCUCCUUCCUUAGACUUGCAGCUCGAGAUGCAAGAAAAUAUUUGUCCAAGAACUUUUUCUUCAGCUGAUCCCACGUGGUGAUGCUACCUGGUGGUAGAUAGCACAGCCAGUCUUUUGCGGAGUCCUUCAAGGAGAAGGGAAAUGCCCUCAUUUUUAUCUAUUUUUCUGUAAUUCUCGGAGGUUUUAUGCUGUUGCAAACGACAUCAAACUCUUGCAAGUGCUUAUACGGUUCCUCACCUGGUAAACCAUAGAAAGAUGGCAAGAGAUGAAUUAGACCAGAUUUUAACUCAAAUGAAGUGUUAUCAUUUAAAAAUAGAAAAGUAACUGAGAUGCAGCACUGGAAUGUUCUUCUCGAAAUUGUCUGGUCUCUUUCUUUGUUCUACGCGUAGUCUUCUCUACCUUAGGAUCAAAAAUUAAUUUACCUGUACGAGAAGAACGAGGCAUACACUAGAAAAACACUAGAAAAUUAGAACAAAAAUGAACAUAAAAAGAAACAAAUAAACCAACGUCAGUCCCCAGCAACGGCGCUAAAAAUUGACAAGUUGUCGAUGCCUGUGCAAUAAUAAAAAUAAACCUAGUUACCAAUUAAAAUAAUCAGAGCCUAAUUCUGAGUACUAGAGCAGGGACUAUAGGUGUGCAAUGGGUUACUUGAUUCACCCUAUUCCUGAAGUUUGCUUAACCCGAUAUACCAGAAUGAGAUUGCUUAUUCAAAAGGAAUUAUUGAUUUGUAAACAGGGCAAGUAGGGUCGUAUCAUCAGGGAUUGAAAAAAUUUGUUUCUUUUCAAAUCCACAGUAACAAGGGGAUGUUUUUGUAUAAAUGAUAACAAUCUAAGGAGUGCAAAUAGAAAUAAAUAGAUAACUAGAAAUUAAAUGACAAUUCACUAAAAUUAGAGUAAUAAUAAUUAAAGGUCUAGCUAAGAAAUAACUUCAGCAAUGGUUCACCUAAUUGAUCAUCGACGCAAAGGCAAUUCCAAUUAUUUACUAAUAAAUAGGUUAUAACUGCAAAACAAGCAAUGACAGUCAACCCCUCCUUACUGUCGGUCGGUGAUUAAGGUACGCCCAAUCACUGCUCUAGUUGAGAAAUAAUUUUAGGGACGCUCGUAAGAUUUAAUUUUCCAAUUGCCUUACGUAUUAGAGGAGCCAUAAUCUAACCAAAUAACGCUACCAGGAUUAUUUUAAAUUAACCCGUGUAUUCCCUUGAUACAAAUUCAAUCAUGUCAGUUGUCACUAUUUCAAGGUAAUGAAACAAUUACGGAUUUAAUAUCCUAAUUGACAAUAGGUUACUAAAUCAAUUCACUAUUUCGAUCCAAGAUAAUCAAUCAAUUUAACAACUAAUAGCACUGCAAUCGGAGAAUAUGUAAAUACCAAUAAAUAAGAGGAAAAGAUAAAAUUAAAUCGAUCUCACAAUUUUUAAACAAAUCAAAGUAUCCGUUGUUUCUUGACUAGAAAAGAAAAUUUAGUUCAUUCCUAAUGUGAAAGACCCACGUGAGAAUUCAAAAAUAAUAUUCACGGAUAUUGUCUUGAUUCAAUAGAUUCAAUUGCGUUGGAAUAAGGAUAAAAAGCCAAACUAUAGAGAGUGAUUCAAUGUUUUGUUUCGUUUGCAUUUUUUCUACACAUAUGGAAGAAGAAAAACAACUAAAGGACGAAAAAAAAAAGUCAAAGAAAGGCACCCAAAGUAGUGCUUGGUCUCUACCAUCCUAUUUCCUAUCUAAUUACUACUUCCCUUCUGCGGCUGCCUAGAGGAAGAAAGAGAAAGCAGACUUCAGGUCUUGUUCCAUCUCCUCCCUUUUCGGCAAUUCCCCAAAAGUAGAAAAGUUCCUCCGUUUACCAAAAUGCCCCUGGAAUGAGGACUGCUACUUGAACUCAUUUUCUUGAUAACUGUCAAAUUAGCACUUGUUAUGGUAUUUGCGUCUACUUCCUGUAAUAAAUGUAAAUUGCCAAAAGUGAGUAAACUGAUAAUUAAUUUACAUCAGGUCAGGUAAUAGGAAAAAUUAAUUAUAAAAUAAAUGAUAAAAUUGCAACCUAUCACUUAGAAUAACCAGAAAUAAAACAAAACAAGAAAUGAAAGAAAUAAGAGGGUAGCAUAGACAUUUUGGAUUUUUCUGUUAAUUUGGAUGAUUUCCACCUACGGUCUAAUUUAAUCCAAAACACAAAUGGAUUAUGUGGAGAUUUUUAAACAAUGAGGGAGUAUCGUGACCGAAUCCCAAACCACAAAGGGGAUUUACUAUAUUUUACUCUUAAAUUUUGGUUUCAUCUCAUAGCAUACAAGAGUACUAUUUCACUGUCUGUCGACCAGGGAGGAGGGUUGGGUUGGGUGGUACGGGGGAGGGAGUCUAAGUAAGAGGUCUCAGGUUCGAAUCCUCCUGUUUAUACUAAAAAAAAAAAUUUACUAUCUGUCGACAAAGAUUUUCUAUGGUUGAUGUACCAUAGGAAAAAUCUGCCUAUACAAUUAUUUGGAAAAAUUAUCCAUCCAAACAUAGUCACGAUAGCAUUUUUUCAAAAACACUAGAUGCAAAAUUGUCCCCUUAAACGUGGAAAUUCAUGAUCUUUCCUCGACUAGUCUACUUGUCAAUUUUUGAAAAAAGAAUACUCACGCCAAAAACACGGCCUCUUCAUCUGCAGAAUUCUAAAAAGUUACGUAAACUCUAUAAACAAGUUGAUAGGUACAAUCGUACCCAAGAUCAAGUACAGAUAGUUGUACAUUCACUGCUGCAAUAACUAAUCUGAUGACUUACAAACACAUCAUGGUCAAUCGUUGAAUGGUAAUGAGUCUUUUGUUAUGCAUUAGUAUUAGUGUGUACACUCUAAUAGAUUGAUACUUAUACUCUUUAAAUUAUCAUAAUAAUACCCUUAAUUAACUUUAACCCUUAAAAAGAAUACGUGUUAAUACACGAGAGUGUGUAACCUGAAUUGUUACUUAUACAUUAGUGUGUAAUAGAACGGCAAGCAUUAUGGUGGUCAUUGAGCAACUUAUAGGAGAAAUAGUCCUAUAAGCUGUUCAAUGACCAAUCACAACUUGCUAAUUGGAUGACUAAUAUAGCUCUAGCUGUAAUGUUUUAAUUAAAUUCCACACUAACGUUGGGAUGACUUUUUAAUCAAAAAAAAAAAAGCCUUAGUUCAAGCUUUUCCCCUUAUUGUGCAUUUUUUAAAACAUUUGAUAGGCACUGCAAAUCUGUCAUUUUGGACAUUUUAUUAUUAACUAACAAUGAAAGCCGUGGACAUCAACCCAUAUCCAACAAAAUAUUAAAUUAAUAUUAGAAAAAUUAUUAAGUAAUUGGAAAAAAAAAAGAAGAGGCUAAUUUUCAUUGAAACCCACCGACAAACUAUCCGUGUCCAUAGCUUUUGAAUAGUGCAUUCAACGUUUAAUUGUAUGGUCCAGUUCAUUGCCGAUUACAUGGAGUAAAGAUUGUGCUCUUUCCUUUUUCACCCCUUUUGGAAUCGAUACUGUGGAGAAUUGGGUUUUUCCCUCCUUUUUUUCUUUUCUUUCCUUCUGUGCUUUGCAAAACAUACGUAAAAAUAUGAAAUCCGAAGCAUUCUUUAAUUGGGAUUAAGUAUUGUUGUUGAAAUUAAAAAGAAGAAAGAAAGAACAACAAAAAUCCCAAUCUGGGUUGAUUGUUGAGCUCUAGAUUGGCUGCAUCGUGCUUCCAUAGAAGUUCUCUUAGUGUGAUACGCUGCUUUCAAUCAGUUUUAAUAUUUAAGUAGAGUGCAAAAUAACUUUACUAUUUAAUGGGUUAUAAUGCACCAUUUGGUACCUCUCACCCACCUAUGAUUUGAUUUACUACUGGCAUGGUAAUGGACAGAGUUGGGGGAGCAGGAGGAGGGAGAUGGCGGUACCAGUCCGUCAACCACAGCACACCCUCCCUCGGACUUUGCGUGGUAGCGAAGUGGAGGCAGAUCGAGCACACAUGCACUAACGCCUUAAGUAUGUACAAUAUAUGUAUGCCAAAAGCAUAGCCAAGCCUACCAGCGCAUUUCAAUAAUAUAACCCGGAAAUUAAGGGCAUUGAAUUAAGUACGAUGAAUCAUAUUGGUGCACAAUUACAGUUUGAAGCUACCGAUUCGAGUAAAUUUAAGCGUAAGCACAAUCAAUCGCCAGUCAAAUGCUGAAAUAUGCAUAUGCAUGGAUGAAUGUAUGGGUUUCUUAGUUCCAGACCAAAGGCCAACAAUAAGGGAAGGAAGGACAGUUCUCAUUUUUAGCACGGACAAGGAGAUGAAGAAAAGUGUAUGUAGCUUGAGACAGAACAAUGGCAUGUGACCGCUCCUGAGACCACAUAACGUGGGGUGGGGAUGGGACGGCCAAGAAUGAAGAUGCCUGUCGGUCUCUCCGUGCUGCUACCAUAUGAAUCCCCCGUUAACCAAUUCAAGAUAAGCCUGAAGUUCUUUUCAUCCCCAAACCCUGUCCCAUCUGUGUAAAUCCAACAUCAUCAUUUACGACCUGCAACUCAGGUUAAGCAUGUUCUAUUGAGAUUCAGACACCACCCUUCAAAAGAUAUACUACUGUGAAACCAGCAGCUUAAUAUCAUUGUAUAAAAAAAAAAAAAAAAGAAAGAAGAAAAGACAUGAAAAGCAAAUUUUGUGGGGAUAAUUUCAAAAUCUCUCCUAAAGUUUUUUACUAUUUUACUGGCCUCCUUUCAAAUUUUAAAAAUUACACCAGUCUUCCUUGAGAUUAUUUAUCUUGUAACAUUGAGGUCCAAUCAAUAAUUAAAAAAUGAUAUUAUGAGAGAGAAAAAAAAUAAACUUUAACAUCAUAAAUAUUCUUAUCAACAUAUUAAAGUUAGUUACUGAAAUUUUUAUGGUGUUAAACUUCACUCUUUGUAAUAUUUUAGUUACAGAUUUUUUGAUUACUUGUUGUUGAUUUUUUUUUUUUUAGUGUAAACAGGAGGACUCGAACCUAAGACCUCUCACUUACACUCCCUCCCCCCGUACCACCCCAACCCAACCCAACCCUCCCCUCGUUGUUGAUCAUGUUUGACAAUGGAUUUGUAAUUGAAAAGAACAAUUUGGAUCUUACAUUGAGUGAAAUAUAUAGAAUGAUAUACUAUUUUUUAUGGCAUAUGUGAUUCAAUCCUUGAUGAUAAAAGCAAAUUCAAGUGUUUUCUUUAAUGUUUGUGCUGAUAUUAGAUUAAUUAAAUAAUUUAGUAGAUGAAGGAAAAUGGUGAAAUCAUAUUAUCUUCUCUUUCCUAAUAUCACUAUUUAAUUAUUGAUUGAACUUAGAUAUUACAAAUAAUAAAUCUCAAGGGAGAUUAGUAUAAUUUUCAAAUUUUGGAGAGAAGCUAAUGAAAUAGUCAAAAACCUUAAGGGAGGUUUACAAAAUUAUCCCAAAUUUGUGGGAAUUAGAAUAAUUGUACUGGACGGCACUGCCGCAACAGAGGGAAAGAGGAGGAGGUGCAGUUAACUUUUUGUUGUUUGAAAUCCUUGGUGAAAUAUUACAGAAAGACAGAUAAAACAGUUAGUACAUAGAUGUAUAUGACAGGGAAAAUGGUACGUCUGUUAAUCACAUUUGAAACACUUUCAUUGGUGAAUGACGAAAACUAUCAGGCUUGCCCAAUAGUUGAUCAUUGACCAAGACAAAUCUUGCCAUGCUAGAGGUACCAUCUUUUCGUACCUCUUUAGUGCACAGGACAUUCCUUUGUUUCAUCUAGCUAAUAAUCUACCAACUCAUUUCUUUGCAAAUGCACCUUUUAUGGUCACGUCUACGAAAGCUUUACAGGAUCUUUACCCAAAAAAUCAAUUCACCGACUCGCAUUUGAUGUCAAAAUUUCUUUACUUUACUCCAAGAUUGACUGUUAAUAAUAAUGCCACUUUGAAUUAUCACACCAUCCUUCUUGAUAGGAUUUGUGCUAGAGGUAGGGAGGGAGUCGCUGCAGCCGGUCUUCUCUUCAUAGACAGUACAAUAUUGCGAAAUCGAUCGCAUUCACGCAAUAUUAUAUUUCCAAGUCGUUGCAUGGGUAAGCUGCCAAAAAGUACGAACACAUGUUAUUAUAUAGCUUAAGAUUCAAAACUUUCGAGCAUAACCCUCCACCUAACACAAUUGAAUAAUGGAUAUUCACGAUUGUCAAAUCUGUCAAAGUACAGUUUGAGGACAACCCAUUCCAACCUGCAAAAGGUUUUUUUACUUUUCUAAAGUUGUUGAGAGCUGUUAAAAGAUUUACCAUGCUUACAUCUUCCGAGCCUUGGGAGUUAAAAAUGAAGGCACUGAGUGCUAUAAAAAGGGAAUAGAGGCUGCCUAGAAGCAUACCAGCCUAAAACAAGGAUUUGUAGUUAUGAUGGGAAGCAAAGCAAAAGCAAUGGGGUCUGGGCUGACUCCUCUUCUUGCCACUGUUUUAGUGGUGUUUGUUGCUCUUGGCUUGCCCUCAGAAACUGCAGCUGAUGAUCACUACAAGUAUUCAUCUCCUCCUCCUCCUUACACUAUCCCUCACCACCACCUCCAGUGCAUAUACCUCCACCUCAUCCUGUUUACAAGUACAAAUCUCCACCACCCCCACCACCACACCCAGUUUACAAGUAUAAGUCACCACCACCACCUCCUCAUCCGGUACCACACCCAGUUCCUCAUCCGGUGCCACACCCAGUUCCUCAUCCGGUGCCACACCCAGUUUACAAGUAUAAGUCACCACCACCACCUCCUCAUCCGGUACCACACCCAGUUCCUCAUCCGGUACCCACACCCAGUUUACAAGUAUAAGUCACACCACCACCUCCUCAUCCGGUACCACACCCAGUUUACAAGUAUAAGUCACCACCACCACCUCCUCAUCCGGUAUACAAGUAUAAGUCUCUCCGCCACCAACACCCAGUUUACAAGUAUAAGUCACCACCACCACCUCCUCAUCCGGUGCCACACCCAGUUUACCACUACAAGUCACCACCACCACCUCCUCAUCCGGUACCACACCAGUUUACCAUACAAGUCACCACCAAUCCUCACCCAGUUUACAAAUACGAGUCUCCACCACCUCCAGUUUAUAAGUACAAGUCACCACCACCUCCUCCACCAGUUUACAAGUAUAAAUCUCCUCCACCACCACCACCAGUUUACCACUACAAGUCUCCACCACCUCCUCCCCCAGUUUACAAAUACAAGUCUCCACCACCUCCUCACCACUACUAAGCAAUUGCUUCUGAGGUAAUAACACUUGUUCAAUAUACCCACUUCUGCAUGAUAAAGCAUAUCUCUAUCAACACAAACUGUCAUGUCUAUCAUGCUAAGUGCCUUCACUUCAUCCACCAAAAUGACUGCUAGAAAAUUUUUUUUAUGUUACCAAAGAAAGGCAUCAUUUUUUCCCUCUGUUAUCAAGAACUUGUACAGUAUAUAGAUUAAAGAGUUUUUAUUUUAACUAGCUUAUCAACUUAGAAAUGCAUAUAGCUGAUAACCAGCUGAAUAUUUGCAGGCAAAGGAGAAGGAAACCAUGUUUGAGACCUUCUUGAAGAUGUAGAAGCAUAAGAAUAAAAGCCCAAUGUGAAGAUGAUGAUUUCAAGUUUUUCUACGUUACCAUUUCUUUAUCUAAAUUGGUUGUAGCGCCCAAGUUCCUUUGUUUAUGGGAUUUGUAUCGUUUUACGUACCAUGCAGUACAUGUCAUGUUUGUAAGGUUUUCUAUCCUGCCGGCAAACCGCAGGUUCCAUGUGAUAAAUGAAUACUAUUUAUGUUACGACA
RNAcentral lists this long non-coding RNA (124668 nucleotides) under Coffea arabica (coffee). RNAcentral describes it as "long non-coding RNA (CARA_LNC007267)". The stretch from base 116925 to 117031 matches the Rfam family "Plant small nucleolar RNA R71". The record is from RNAcentral. Lineage: Eukaryota; Viridiplantae; Streptophyta; Magnoliopsida; Gentianales; Rubiaceae.